This 89595-nucleotide long non-coding RNA is filed under the name Citrus x clementina. RNAcentral's name for it is "Citrus clementina (C. clementina) long non-coding RNA (CCLE_LNC006817)". Lineage: Eukaryota; Viridiplantae; Streptophyta; Magnoliopsida; Sapindales; Rutaceae. The record is from RNAcentral.
AAGUUGAUAAUUCUGCAUUCUUAAACCAAUGUUCAAACAGGGGUAAACAUGUCUGCAAACAUAAACAAUCAUCAAACAGUGUAUGCAGAAGCAUCGAUCUGCUUUGUAAAUUAGACCUGCUGGCGUGAUAUGGCGGAGGCUGCGGUGAACUUUGCUCUAGAGACCUUGGGUCCUUUGCUUGUCGAAGAAAUCAGAUUGUGGGGAGGUGUUAGAAAAGAAGUUCAAAGCAUCAAAAGCGAUCUGGAGAGUCUCAGAUCUUUCCUCAAAGACGCAGAUGCAAGCGCUUGCUGAUAUAAAGUGAAGGGGAGAAAGCUAUCGAUUCAGAUCUAUUGAUGAACCAUCGAGCAGUGGAACCAGAAAUGUUAUCCCACAUGACUCUCGAGUUCGUUCCUUUUUCGUUGAAGAUGAUGAAGUUGUGGGCAUCGAAUCCAUUAAACGUAAAUUGAUUGAUUUGAUGGUGAACGGAAGAUCCGAACGUUCAGUGGUUGCUGUGGUGGGUGUAGGAGGGCUAGGCAAGACCACUCUUGCUGGAAAACUUUUUAACAAUGAUGGUUUAAAAACUCACUUCAGUAGCCGGGCUUGGGUCACCGUUGGGAAAGAAUACAACAAAAAUGAAUUGUUGAGGACAGUUAUAAAGGAGUUUCACAGUUUCUCAGGGCAGCCUACUCCAGUCGAGAUACACAAAAUGGAAGAGAUGGAGCUGAUCACCACGCUGAGGGGCCACUUGAAGGACAAGAAUUACAUGGUUGUGUUCGACGAUGUUUGGAAGAUUGAUUUUUGGGGAGACGUGGAGCAUGCUUUACUUGAUAACAAGAAAUGCGGCAGGAUAAUUGUCACAACACGGCACAUGAAUGUCGCUAAGGCUUGCAAAUCAUCUUCCCCUGUUCAUAUCCAUGAGCUUGAAACUUUGCCUCCGAAUGAAGCGUGGAAACUUUUUUGUAGAAAGGCUUCCGGACCAAGCUCCGGAGGCUGUUGUCCUUCAGAGUUGAAGGAGUUGUCCCAGGACAUCCUUGGAAAAUGUGAAGGUUUGCCUCUUGCUAUCGUGGCCGUAGGUGGACUUCUUUCAACCAAGAACAGGGUUGUAUCUGAAUGGAAGAAAUUAUUUGAUCGGUUGGGCUCAAUCUUAGGAAGUGAUCCCCAUCUAAAAGACUGCAACAGAGUUUUAUCUGAAGGAUAUCAUGAUCUUCCUCACCAUCUCAAAUCAUGUCUUCUGUACUUUGGCUUAUUUCAAGAGAGCUGCAAAGUUAACUGUGCUAGACUCAUCCGUUUGUGGAUAGCCGAGGGCUUUGUCCAAUACAGCAAACGCCCCACAUCUGAACAAGUUGCAGAAGAAUUCUUGAAUGAGCUCAUUGACAGAAGCUUGGUACAAGUUUCAGAGAGGGAUAUUUCUGGACGAGCUAGUAUCUGCCAAGUUCAUGAUCUUAUGCACGAGAUCAUCAUCAGAAAAACUGAAGAAUUGGGCUUCGGUCGUCCGCUGAACGGAGAGGACUUGAGUCAUUGUAGUAAAACUCGACGCAUUACUAUACAGGGAAGUAUUGAUGAUGGUGCUUUAGAGAGCAUCAAGGACUCGAAGGUCCGUUCUGUUUUCCUUUUCAAUGUAGAUAAGCUUAUGAAACUACUAGAUCUGGAAGAUGCUCCUGUAGAUUACCUUCCUGAAGGAGUGGGAAACUUAUUCAAUUUACACUACUUGAGUGUGAAAAAUACAAAUGUAAAAAUAAUUCCCAAGUCCAUUGGAAAUCUUCUCGGUUUAGAGAUUUUGGAUCUGAAAAAUAGUUUGGUGAGAGAACUACCAGUAGAGAUCAGGAAUCUUAAAAAGCUGCGCUAUCUAAUGGUGUAUCAGUACCAUUAUACCUCAGGUUCUAGUGUAGCAGGAGCAGCAGUAGCCAAAGUACACCAGGGCCUUGGGUCGCUAACGGAUCUGCAGAAGUUGUCUAUUAUAGAAGCUGACUCUCAAGCGCUUGACGAGCUUAUGAAGCUAAGGCGGUUAAGAAAGUUGGGCAUUAGGCCCCAAAAUGGAAAUGGCAAGGAUGUGUGUGCUUUGAUUGCAAAUUUGGAAAACCUAGAGUCUUUAACAGUAUAAAUGGCAAGCAAAGAAGAAAUACUUGACUUGCAGUCUUUGAGUAGUCCUCCUCAAUAUCUGCAGCGUCUCUACUUGACGGGGAAUAUGAAGAAACUGUCGGAUUGGAUUUUUAAACUUAAAAAUCUAAUCAGAUUGGGUUUGGAACUGUCGGGAUUGGCUGAGGAGCUUUUUCAUCAUUUGUUGGAACUUAGACUCACAGGGACAUACGAAUACGAGCUUUUUCACUUUGAAGCAGGUUGGUUUCCAAAACUCCAAAAGUUGCUUCUCUGGGACUUCGUCGCGGUGAAAUCGGUUAUAAUAGAGAAAGGUGCGAUGCCUGAUAUUAGAGAACUGCGGAUGGGGCCUUGCCCGCUGUUGAUGGAGAUUCCUACUGGAAUUGAACAUCUUCAAAACCUUAAGCUACUUGUAUUUGCUUGUAUGGUUAAACAAGUCUAUUGCAUGACAAAAGACGAGAACUGGGGGAAGGUUACUGAGCAUAUACCAGAUGUCCUUGUCACUUAUAUGGAGGCAGGGCAAUUGUUUCAUUAUGGAAAAGAAUAUCUGUCAUCUCUGUCUCCUGAAUAUGUCGAGCAAAUCUGCUGAAGAAGAGGACUCAAAUAGGGAGCAGUCAUGCACAUCUAUGAAAUAAGUAAACAAGUCUGCCACUCUCCUGCGUAUUUGGAUUAUUUUCUAUUUACUUUUAAGAAAAAUUAUUUUUCUCAUUUUUAAUUUGACAGACAAUUUAAUUAUAUAUAAUUCAAAUAAAAAUUCACCAAGAAAAUUCCUUUUUCCCUGUAAUUUGAGUACGUUUAAUAAAUAAAUAAACAAAUGCGGUAGGUCAGUAAAUCAUUUUCUAGUUAAAUAUAUAGUUAGAAUCAUAUAAUGAUUAGGUAUUAAUGUUAGUAUAGUAAUUUCCGUUAUAUUUUUUGUUACCAUGGACAGAUGGAGUAUAUAUAUCUUGCUUCUAGCGAAUUCAUUGAUGAGUUCAUCGAUCACAUACUGCAUCAGAUUGUGGCGGCAAUGCUACUAUUGAUAUGCUUUGAGUUUGAGUAAUUAUUAUCAGUGUUAUCAUGUAAUAAAUGCUUAUGUGAGUUGUUGCUGCUGUGAGUGUGAGUGUAUUCUUCUACAUAUCUAAGACUGAGAUUAUGAUUUUUGAAAUAUUGUAGUAUUGCAAGGAAUCGUCAUCAUAUAAUAUUUAAUGUUUAAUAAUAAAAACUGUGCCAAUGUGGCUAAUUUGUGUGGACUGAUGCAUUUGCCUUAAUUUUAAUCUGUAGCUUAUUGUUUUCGUCAUAAUAACUUAGCAAAAUAUUGUAUCACAUGCAUUUUCAUUUUCUCAAGUUUAAUUUCCUCAUCAUUUGCAUAAUUGUGCUUAUUAUUUUGCGACAUCUAUCUGGAUUAGUCUACAACUUUCAUGGAUUUAUUUAUUUGAUUUAAGAAGUGAACUGGACAUGUAUGUGAAACCGUUAUUCUAAAAAUUAAAUGCAUAUUUAAGAUUGCGGUUAAUGAAUUUUCAAACAAUCACUUAUUUUUUUUAAAAAAUUUACUCAAUUAUAUUUGAGUUGUCAAAUUAUUUUAAGUAAACAUAUAUCAUUUUUGGACUGGAUACACUCACAAUCAUCAAAUAAUUGAUUUUCAAAUAUAAUUUGAGAAUAAAAUCCAUGUGGAUUGCAGACUUUUUGCAACACAGAGAAAGUCUAUAAUUGGGAUUGGGGAAUUAAACUUACUAAGCCAUUCUACUAUUCUUGGGGAAAAAGUGUAAGUGGCUGCAGUUAGGGUUAUAAGGUAAAGAAUAGAGAGAAACUUUAUAAGAAAAAGCAUAGGUGACUCUAAAUUUACGAUCAAAUAAAAGAGAAAUUUUAUUUAAAAAAAUAGUAUGGGUAACUCUAAAGUUAGAAAAUUACAGAUGAUUGCGAUUGAAUUAGUAAUUUUGCUUUCGAAAUUGCUUUAAGUUGCUCAGUAAAUUGGUCCUGCGGAGACUCACUCCUUAUAAUCUAUAUGUUAGAUCAAAGUGUUAGUUUUUGCAUGAGUUAAAGAGAAAGAUUGCUAGAAAUUUCAUCUUCUUUAUUUUUUCAUGUCAUGGAUAAAUGAGAGCCGAAACAAUGUUGAGUCUCUUCACAACAAAAGCAAUUUUCAUACAUCUUUUCCUUCAGCUUUAUGAUAUUCAAUGCACGUAGUCCCCAGUCCCUACCUCUAGCCCUUUAUUAAUUAUUGGAUAAGAAACUUGUGGGCCUUAAAUGAUAAGAUAUAUACUUCUUAACUCCACCUUCACGGUUUCGCACUAAGUCUCACAAUUGCACAUUGUUGACUUAAAACAUGAUUAUUAAAACAAAUUUAAGAAUAAAGAUAAGAGUUAAGGCAACAUAUAUAAGAAAUAAAAUUAAAAAAAUCAUUAAAAGAAAUUGUAACCGCUGCUCAUCAAUAAAAAGCCAUCUUGGUUGGAAGAAUUUCAAUAAAAAUACAGAUGGUAUUUGAUUUGAACUUGAAAAGUAAAUUAAGGAAACUAAUAAAUAAGGAAACACAAAUAAAAAAGCCAAAACACAAACGACCACAUAUACAAAGGCCGGGCCGUGCCCUUGGACAUGACAACACGACCCUCAAAUAAUUUCAAUCUCUUUAUUAUCGUUCCCAAAACACCUUUCCAAACUUUCCCUGCAUUAAAAGUCAUGAAGAUAAUUCCUUAAUUUGAUCAAACAGUAAAGUUAAUUAUGUCAUUGUAUAUUUGUGGGUCAAGUUAAAUGAAGCAUUUUCCUCCAUAUUGAUCAUUUUCCCUGCGAACGUAUAACAAACUUUUCAGCACUUUAAUCUCACCGUUAAGUGUUAAACACUCUCUGUAUUCAACACACCGACCCUUGAAUCUUGAUGGCAAUAUUAGUAGCAGGUAUAGCUGCUGCUAAUAGAAGAAGAAGAGAAAAGAGAAAUGAGCUUUACGGAAAAAGAUGAAGAAGAAGACAAAUGGAUAAUGCAUUAUUCAUCAAAGCAUCAAAUACUGUUAGUGGGUGAGAGAUUUCUCGUUUUCUUUUGGUUAUCGCAGAAAUUUGGCUCUGCUUCUAACAUCUGGGCUUCUUCUCUUGAUUCUUAUGGGAACUCAUUCAUUUCUCUAAUCUCUUUCUCUUGUCUUACAUCUUUUUUUUUCUUUAAAUUUUUAUUUUAUCAUAUGAUGUGGCAAAAAUUACCUUGUUUAUAGAUCUUUAUCCUCAAUUUGAUGUUAAAUUGUCACUUAAUUUGAUGUGUAACCGUAAAGAAAUGAAAAAUUUUACAGGAAAAUAGUAAAAUGACCAGGAAAAUCAGGAAAACAUAUUAUUAAUGCCACAUCUUAAAGUAAAGCUAUUGAAUUAAACCAUAACAAUAAGUUCACAUUUUUUAGGUUUUAAAAAUAUUUUGUGAUUUAUGUUUAUUUAAAAGUAAAAAUUAUCAAACUUCAAAACUGUGACUACAAUACUCCAUGAGUGCCAUACUCCACAACUUGGCACUGUUACAUGGUUCUAGAUUAUUGACUUUUAAUUACUUUUUAAUUAUCUAAUGAUGCUUAGUCUAUAGAGUACGGUAUCCUUAGAAAUCAUAAAUAGACACUUUAAAGAAUUAAAAGCUAAAUGAGUGAUAAAUAUCUUUUUGUAAUUAGUUUAAUUGAGACCAAAAAUAGAUUUCUAAAAUGAGAUGGAGUGGGGAAGAAGUUGGGAAAAAUGACCGUGAGAUUGAGUGAUUAACUUGUAAAUUAUGCUGUGGUGUUUUGUUAAAAAUAACAGUGGCAGCUAGUUUUAUAAAUUCUGCAUGGUAAUUUUGUGAACAAGAUAGAAAAAAAUAAAAAACUAAAAAACUAAAUUAUUAUUAUUAUUAUUUUGUUGGCGUAUCUUGCUUAUUUGGAAGUGAACAUAAAUUGUAUAUUUGGAUGGACUAGAAUCUGUGAUUCAGAAAUUCAAGGAGGCACGGUCAAAUUUGGACACCCUAAGGAAGCUGGGAGCAUCCAUUCUCCAUGGAGUUGAUGCAACUGAAAUGAAGGAACAUCCUCAAUUUAGCAAGCGGAAGUUCGAUAGAAUAAUCUUCAACUUCCCCCAUGCUGGCUUUUAUGGAAAGGAAGAAGAUGACGAAGUUAUUGGUGAGCUGCCUGGUGAGUCCAUUGGACAUAUGUGUCAAUAUAGUGAGUUAAAAAUGGUUAUAAUACGAGGGAACUUGAUAGAUAAAGUGAUCCAUAUUUCUUAAUAAUUCAAGAUGCAUGUAGUGUUCAGGAGUUUGCCGUGAUAUUUCCACGUCACCAAUUCUUAAAAUGUUGGCUCCUACACCUGUUCCAUGAUCUUUCUUCUGGUAAUUAUCGCAGAAUGCAUAUGAGCCUUGUGGAAGGUUUCUUCAGAAAUGCAAGUGGUAUGCUGAGGCCAGAUGGUGAAGUUCAUGUAAGCCACAAAACAACAGCUCCAUUUUGCAAAUGACAUAUCGAUCGAGGAACUCGCCCGCAAGCACUCUUUUUCAAGACUCGACUGUGUCCAAUUUAGAAAAAAAGACUACCCAGGAUACAACAACAAGAAAGGAGCUGGUUCGCAAUGCGAUGACCAUUUUCCCUUGAGAAAGUGCAGUACCUUCAAAUUUGGAUUCUAUCGUGCUCGCAAGAGGUCUAAAGUAAUGAGUUAUGGUGGAUUUGCUGUCGAAAGACCUAAGGCUGUUCAAGAGAUUCCAAUCCAAGUGCAGAAGCGUGAAACGGAUCCAUUUGACAGGAGAUAUACUAAUGCCAGGUCAGCCACUGAUAUGAAUGAAUUUCCAUUUUGUGUGAAGUUUGAUGGUAGCUGGGUGGGUUACUCUGUUCCAAGCUUCACUGAAAUAUGACUGAUCGUCCAGGAUAUAAGAGACAAGCUUUGAUGAGCAAUGCUACGUUCCAUAAUGGCUGCUGUAAUACUCCCAACAUGAGGCUUGAAACAGUUGCUGACGACGUGCGCUAUCUUGGUCCCGAAUCACCAAUUCCAUAUGAAAGAUAUAACACGGAAGUAGCAGGAUUCCAAAGAGAAAAUGCUAGGAUUUCUGAUAAAGCAGUGGGACCAGGAAGAACCUUAAACGGAUUUUUGUAUCCUAUGGAGGGACGUCCCUGUGAGGGAACUUUGAGACCAGCACAGCCGCCAAGGAUGAGGUUGGGAUUUAGUCACUAGCUGCUUUAAGGGAGAAGUGGUGCUAUUAUGCUUUCGUGGAACAUUGAGCGACGUUUUGUCUUUAGUCGUGAAUUCUAGCUAGUUAAGCAUAUAUAGGUAUCUUAGUGCAGGUAAAAAGUUUUUAUUUGCUUUCAUUUGUGUUUGUUUUAACAAUUAAGAAUUUCAGCAAUCUGUUGGUGCGUUGCAUGGUGUUGUCAAUCUCCUAUUUGCAAAGAACUCGAUCUGUUUCCUGUUGAUAGAACUAAAUUUAGCUUAACAAGAUCGAUGAACUCAUCAAUGCAUUCACCGCAAGGAAGAUACUCCCCCGUCGGUCAAUUAAGACAUGCAAAUUAUAGUAAUGCUACAAUUAAUAUACUUUUAUCAGUGUUAUUAUGUAAUAUAUACUUAUGUGAGUGGAUGCUGCUGUGAGUUAGUGUAAUCUUUGUAUAUCUAAGACAGUAAUUUUAGAAUUGUUGUAAUUCUAUUGUCAUCAUAUCGUAAUCAGGUUUUAAUUAAAAAAAGAAAAAGAAAAUUGUGUCCCAAUGUGAUUACCUCUGCUGUAUGUUAAUUUAUGCGGAAUGAUGCAUGCUUUAAUUAUGUUUGAGUUUUCAAAAUUUUUUAAUCAAACAUAUGCAGUUGAUGAGAAUUGUCCUUAGUUUUAGAUUCGAUAAUCAUAAUUUCACUAUAUUUUCUUUUAAGAUUAAAUCACAUAGAUCUCAUCUUCAUAUUCUUAAAAAAUGUUACAAAAUCUUAUUUGCACCAUAACUUAGUAAACCCGUUCUCUAAAUCUUAUUUGGACCAUAACUUAGUAAACCCAUUCUUAGUUAGAGAACCCGCCAGCAACCCAUUCUCUUAUUUAUUUCGUAUCCUUCCCUCACAUUUUUAAUUGGCUUUUGUAAUUAAUAAGAAUAUCAACCUAAUAUACCAAAAAGAACAUUAUAAGUAUCAUAUAUUAAUGUAAAAAGAUACAUAUGUUAUAUAUAUUUUUUAUUUUUCUUGGUUUGUUAAGGUAAACAUUAUCAAACUUUUCUUUUACUAAUUAAAUAAUUUAUCUAUAACUUGUCAUGUAUUUAACCAGUAAAAUUUAAGUAUUGUUAAUAUUUAUAAGUUAUAUAUGUCAAAAUAUCAUAUUUUAGAUGUUUUAAUUUCGAAAAAUAAACAACUUAACACUUAUAUUCAGAUAUUGAAAAAAAAAAAAUAAGCAUGUUAUUCAGAUAUAUGUAUUUAAACCUAUUAAAACUUUUGUUAAAUUUAAACCAAUUCAAAUUUCAGACAAAAAAAAAAAAAAACACGCUACCUAAGUCCUGUAAAUAAAUUAAAAUACAUAAAUUAUGUGAUUUUAAAGGGCUCAUUUCAGCAAUUUAACUGGGUCGUGUACUGCCUUUUGUGAAUUACAAGACCAUGUGCGGAUUGACCAAAGAAAAUCAUAAUUUCACCAUAUUUUCUUUUAAGAUUAAAUCACAUUGAUCUCAUCUUCAUAUUCUUAAAAAAUGGUACAAAAUCUUAUUCGCACCAUAACUUAGUAAACCCAUUCUGAACCCGCCAGCAACCCAUUUCUCUUGUUUAUUUCGUAUCCUUCCCUCACAUUUUUUUCCUUUGCUAAAGAAACCUCCUUCCUAUUUUCUUAUCGUGAAGCUAUUGGAACCCCUUCUUGAAAAACCUCAAUUCAAAUAAAAUUAUAUUAUAUUAAAAAAAAUUAAACGCACUUAAAAUAUUUUUCAAUAAAUUACUUAUGUUCAUAAUCAAUUUAUUUUUUUCUACUCAGUCACUUCUGUUUAAUCAAAAUAAAUUAUAAAAAUUUAAACUAAUAUAUUUUUCUUUUUCUAUUUCUUACUGAUUAAAAAUUUUUAUACUGAAGCUUGCUUUCAAAUUAUAGUUUAAUCUAUGUGUAAUUUUAUUUAAUAAUUGACUUUAAAAAUCCAUUACUCAAAAAACUUUUUGACGUAUUGUGUAGGACAACAAGAUUAGAAAAGAAAAGAAGAAGAAAUUAAAAUAAAAAUAACUGAAAAAAAGAUUUUAUGACGAGAUUAGAGAGUUGUCAAUAAUCCAACUCAUGUCAAAAAAAUUUAUUCAAGUCGAUGUGGGUAGAAAUGGGCUUCCAAAAUAAAAUAUUUAUUACGCUUGGGCUUUGGGUUUUGGGCAAUUAAAGCUUACCAAGCCAUGGUAUUCUAGCGCCGAAAAAAAAAAAAAGCCAUGGUAUUCUUAAAAAACAAUAGCGACCGUUUUUCACAAGAAUUGGUCUUAGUUACUUUCUUUUCUGCACUCCUCCCUGUAUUCUCUUGUUAAUAUUCUGUUUUUCUUCAGUUUUUAUAAUGAAAAUGAUUGUGCAUCUCGUGAAUGUAAUCUUUUUAUGUUGAAUCAUGCAAAAACUCGUCUCAUAUGUUUUUGAAUAAUGAUAUGUCCUGUAGUUAAUUUUUUUAUAUUAUAGUAAUGAUGUGUUAUUCUUUGUGCUAAUUUUAUGCACCUAUUACUAUGGUUUUUUUCGGUACUGCCUUUUUUAAAAUUUUUUUUUUCAUUUAAUGUCUUCCAACAAAGUUUUGCUGGGAAUUUAUACAAAUACUGAAUUAAGCUACUUUAUAUAUAUAUGUUGAAUAUAUAAAAUAAAAAAAAGACUCAACCAUAGGAGUUCGGAAGGAAUCGUUUUCAUUUUAUAUGAUUACGCAUUAAUAACUUAGCCAGGACACUUUGUGUACACUGAAUGCCUCAACUUUGUAAAUUCAAUUGAUCUCGUCUUGGUUGAAGUAGAUGAUAGUAAAUAGUAUCUGAGUUUCAUUUCAAAUUCCAAAAACAAUCCUCCAUGUGAAUGGUUAAGUAGAGAUUCACAUUGCUUUCUUUUUCUUUAGAGGAAUGGCUGAUCCUUUGAUCAUGAAAUUAUAUCACGGCUAUCACAAAAACUCGAGUAAUUCUAUUCAUAUAAUCAAAAUAGAGUUGAGUUCGAGCUCCUUCAUUUUAACUGAUUUAUUAUGAUGCAUAACCACAAAUGAUGAGAUGGUGUUGGAUAUGAUAAUGGGAAUUAGUUGUCAGCGAGAAAAUUAAUUUAUCAAGAAUACAGUUAGUCGCAGAAACUCUCCUAGUUCUUGGAAGUAAUUUAAAGGAAAGGUGCAUCCAUUUGUUUGUGUAGCAUACUGUAUGGCUAGAGAGUUUCAUGCUCUUGGUCUUCGCAGUUUUCUUAUUUGUAUGGUUUGGUUUUCUUUAUUUUUUGCCGACAAAUAAACAAAUCAACUUGCAAUAAAAUAAAUAUUAAAAUAAACUGAAAAAGCUCAAAUGCCCACAAAUUCCAGGUUGUUCAGUUCAAAAUUAAUUCUAUAGUAAGUAUGAAGAAUAAAAUAUAAACAAUCAACCUGCAAGUUGAUAAUUCUGCAUUCUUAAACCAAUGUUCAAACAGGGGUAAACAUGUCUGCAAACAUAAACAAUCAUCAAACAGUGUAUGCAGAAGCAUCGAUCUGCUUUGUAAAUUAGACCUGCUGGCGUGAUAUGGCGGAGGCUGCGGUGAACUUUGCUCUAGAGACCUUGGGUCCUUUGCUUGUCGAAGAAAUCCGAUUGUGGGGAGGUGUUAGAAAAGAAGUUCAAAGCAUCAAAAGCGAACUGGAGAGUCUCAGAUCUUUCCUCAAAGAUGCGGAUGCAAGGGCAGCAGUCGAAGAAUUAGAAGGAGGCGGUGAGGAAAGUGUCAGAACUUGGGUGAAACAACUGAGGGAUGAAGCUUAUCGCAUUGAAGAUGUGAUCGACGAGUACACACUCAUGGUGGCAAAACUCCCUCAUGGGAGUGGCCUCGUUGGUGUUCUCCAUAGAAUCAGUCGUUUCAUAAAGAAGCUGAAGCUGCGGCGUGGAGUUGCUACUGAGAUUCAAGAUAUCAAAUCAGCGCUUGCUGAUAUAAAGCGAAGGGGAGAAAGCUAUCGAUUCAGAUCUAUUGAUGAACCAUCGAGCAGUGGAACCAGAAAUGUUAUCCCACAUGACUCUCGAGUUCGUUCCUUUUUCGUUGAAGAUGAUGAAGUUGUGGGCAUCGAAUCCAUUAAAGAUAAAUUGAUUGAUUUGAUGGUGAACGGAAGAUCUGAACGUUCAGUGGUUGCUGUGGUGGGUGAAGGAGGACUAGGCAAGACCACUCUUGCCGGGAAAACUUUUAACAAUGAAGGUUUAAAAACUCACUUCAGUAGCCGGGCUUGGGUCACCGUUGGGAAAGAGUACAACAAAAAUGAUUUGUUGAGGACAAUUCUAAAGGAGUUUCAUCGUGUAACAAAUGAGCCUGCUUCAGUGGAGACACACGACAUGGAAGAGAUGGAGCUGAUCACCGCGCUGAGGGACCACCUGAAGGACAAGAGUUACAUGGUUGUGUUCGACGAUGUUUGGAAGAUUGAUUUCUGGGGAGACGUGGAGCAUGCUUUACUUGAUAACAAGCAAAGCAGCAGGAUAAUUGUCACAACACGACACAUGAAUGUCGCUAAGUUUUGCAAAUCAUCUUCCCCUGUUCAUGUCCAUGAGCUUGAAACUUUGCGUCCGAAUGAAGCGUGGAAACUUUUUUGUAGAAAGGCGUUCGGACCAAGCUCCGGAGGCUCUUGUCCUUCAGAGUUGAGGGAGUUGUCCCAGGACAUCCUUGCAAAAUGUGGAGGUUUGCCUCUUGCUAUUGUGGCCGUAGGUGGACUUCUUUCAACCAAGAACAGGGUUGUAUCUGAAUGGAAGAAAUUGUUUGAUAGGUUGGGCUCAAUGUUAGGAAGCGAUCCCCAUCUAAAAGAUUGCAACCGAGUUUUAUCUGAAGGGUAUUAUGAUCUUCCUCACCAUCUCAAAUCAUGUCUUCUGUACUUUGGCUUAUUUCCAGAGAGCUACAAAAUUAACUGUGCUAGACUCAUCCGUUUGUGGAUAGCUGAGGGCUUUGUCCAGUACAGCAAACGCCCCACAUCUGAACAGGUUGCAGAAGAAUACUUGAAUGAGCUCGUUGACAGAAGCUUGGUUCAAGUUUCAGAGAGAGAUAUUUCUGGACGAGCUAGAAUCUGCCAAGUUCAUGAUCUUAUGCACGAGAUCAUCAUCAGAAAAACUGAAGAAUUGGGCUUCGGUCGUCUGCUGAACGGAGAGGACUUGAGUCGCUGCAGUAAAACUCGACGCAUUACUGUGCAGAGAAGUAUUGAUGAUGGUGCUUUAGUGAGCAUCAAGGACUCGAAGGUCCGUUCUGUUUUUCUAUUCAAUAUAGAUAAGCUGCCCGACUCUUUCAUGAAUGCAAGUAUUGCCAAUUUCAAGCUCAUGAAAGUACUAGAUCUGGAAGAUGCUCCUGUAGAUUACCUUCCUGAAGGAGUGGGGAACUUAUUCAAUUUACACUAUCUGAGUUUGAGAAAUACAAAAGUAAAAAUAAUUCCCACGUCCAUUGGAAAUCUUCUCAGUUUAGAAACUUUGAAUAUGAAAAAUACUUUGGUGAGAGAACUUCCAGUAGAGAUCAGGAAUCUUAAAAAGUUGCGUUAUCUAAUGGUGUAUCAGUACCAUUAUACCUCAGGUUCUAGUAUAACAGAAGAAGCAGCAGUAGCCAAAGUACGCGGGGGUUUGGGGUCGCUAACGAAUCUGCAGAAGUUGUCUAUUAUAGAAGCUGACUCUCAAGUGCUUAAAGAGCUUAUGAAGCUAAGGCAGCUAAGAAAGUUGGGCGUUAGGCCCCAAAAUGGAAAUGGCAAGGAUCUGUGUGCUUUGAUUGCAAAUUUGGAAAACCUAGAGACCUUAACAGUAGAAAUGACAAGCAAAGAAGAGAUGCUUGACUUGCAGUCUUUGAGUAGUCCUCCUCAAUAUCUGCAGCGUCUCUACUUGACGGGGAAUAUGAAGAAACUACCGGAUUGGAUUUUUAAACUUGAAAAUCUAAUCAGAUUGGGUUUGGACUUGUCGGGAUUGACUGAGGAGCCAAUCAGAGUCCUUCAAGCCUUGCCUAAUUUAUUGGAAUUUAGAUUCGCAGGGACAUACAACUACGAGCUUUUUCACUUUGAAGCAGGUUGGUUUCCAAAACUCCAAAUAUUGAAUCUCCUUGACUUUGUCGCGGUGAAAUCGGUUAUAAUAGAGAAAGGUGCGAUGCCUGAUAUUAGAGAACUGCGGAUUGGGCCUUGCCCGCUGUUGAUGGAGAUUCCUAUUGGAAUUGAACAUCUUAAAAACCUUAAGCUACUUGUAUUUUCUUGUAUGGUUAAACAAGUGUAUUACAUGACAAAAGACGAGAACUGGGAGAAGGUUACUGAGCAUAUACCAGAUGUCCUUGUCAUUUUUGUGAAGGCCGGGGAAGUGUUUCAUUAUCGAAAAGAGGUUCUCUCAUCUCUGUCUCCUGAAUAUGUCGAGCAAAUCUGCCGAAGAAGAGGACUCAAAUAGGGAGCAGUCAUGCACAUCUAUGAAAUAAGUAAACAGGUCUGCCACUCUCCUGCGUAUUUGGAUUAUUUUCUAUUUACUUUUAAGAAAAAUUAUUUUUCUCAUUUUUAAUUUGACAGACAAUUUAGUUAUAUAUAAUUCAAAUAAAAAUUCACCAAGGAAAUCCCUUUUUCCCUGUAAUUUGAGUACGUUUAAUAAAUAAAUAAACAAAUGCAGUAGGUCAGUAAAUCUUUUUCUAGUCAAAUAUAUAGUUAGAAUCAUAUAAUGAUUAGGUAUUAAUGUUAGUAUAGUAAUUUCCAUUAUAUUUUUUGUUACCAUGAACAGAUGGAGUAUAUAUAUCUUCCUUCUAGCGAAUUCAUUGAUGAGUUCAUCAAACCUAUACUGGAUCAGAUUGUGGCGGUAAUGCUGCUAUUGAUAUGCUUUGAGUUUCGGUAAUUAUUAUCAGUGUUAUCAUGUAAUAAAUGCUUAUGUGAGUUGUUGCUGCCGUGAGUGUGAGUGUAUUCUUCUAUAUAUCUAAGACUGAGAUUAUGAUUUUAGAAAUAUUGUAGUAUUGCAAGGAAUCGUCAUCAUAUAAUAUUUAACGUUUAAUAAUAAAAACUGUGUGCCAAUGUGGUUACCAUUGGUAUGUGAUUAAUUUGUGUGGAAUGAUGCAUUUGCCUUAAUUGUAAUCUGUAGCUUAUUGUUUUCAUCAUAACAACUUAGCAAAAAUUUGUAUCACAUGCAUUUCCAUAUUGUGAAGUUUAAUUUACUCUUCAUUUGCAUAAUUGUGCUUAUUAUUUUACAGGAAAUAUGCUGACAAUGCGCAUUAUUACGAAAAUCAUAGUAAUUUGUGCAAAUUGAUUUUGAUUUUGAUUUUUGGACAUGUUAAGCUAGACGUCUUAUAGAAUGUUUUGAAACUUGUUUCAAGUUAAUCGGAUAAGAUUUCAUUUAGUUAUGAUUUUUCAAACUUAGGUCUAAAAGCCUGGAAAUUUCUGAUUUCAGUGAAUAACAUGAAUUACGAAAUUAUUUUUACCAUAGCUAGACUUCUUCAAAAAUUAUGAAAUUUGGAUCAGUGAUUUUUAUAUAUGUCUAAUAUGAUUCUGUAUGUUUUUAUGAUUUUAUGAUAAAACAAUAAAUUGUUUUGUAUUUUUAAACAAGUAUGUUCAAAACAGAAAACUGUUUGAUAGUAUUGAUGAUGUCUGAAAUGUCAAUUUGUUUUGAUAGAUUUUAAAGGAAUUAAGUUAUGAAAUUUUUAUCAAAGAAUUUUCAAUAUGUCAGCAUAUGGUCUAUAAAAUUUGAGAUUUUUCCAAUGAGAGAAUAAUUUAUUAAAAAUAGAAAACAAGGACUGUUUCGUUUUGAGGGUCGAACAUUGAGGACAUUUGAGGUUGAGUUUAGGAGCUAUUUAAAAUGAGAUAUUUGAGAACAUUAAAGUUUAUGAUUGAGACUUGAUUAUAUCUUAUGAAAAUUUUAUUGAUAAUUUUAGGUCGACGAUAUCAGUACGCAUUUGUUACAUGAUGAUGCCAAGAAGUAAGUAAACUAGACUUCAAAACAAAUCACAAUAAACAGUAUGUAUAUGUUUGACUUGUUUGAAAAGUCUAUUUUUGAUAUUUACAUAUGUAGAUUUAUAUGUUUCUGCCCAUGUGUUUAUGUGAUGUAUUGCCAUGUGUUGAGCGUGAUUAUGUACACGGGUAUAUGUAUGUGUGAAAUUUAAUUGGCAUAAGCACGAAAAUGCAUUGAGUUUUCUAUGAAUGAGAAAGUGGAUAUUAACAAAUGAAAUUUCUACUUUAGUAAACCCGUUCUCUAAAUCUUAUUUGGACCAUAACUUAGUAAACCCAUUCUUAGUUAGAGAACCCGCCAGCAACCCAUUCUCUUAUUUAGUUCGUAUCCUUCCCUCAUAUUUUUAAUUGGCUUUUGUAAUUAAUAAGAAUAUCAACCUAAUAUACCAAAAAGAACAUUAUAAGUAUCAUAUAUUAAUGUAAAAAGAUACAUAGGUUAUAUAUAUUUUUUAUUUUUCUUGGUUUGUUAAGGUAAACAUUAUCAAACUUUUUUUUACUAAUUAAAUAAUUUAUCUAUAACUUGUCAUGUGUUUAACCAAUAAAAUUUAAGUAUUGUUAAUAUUUAUAAGUUAUAUACUUAUAUAUGUCAAAAUAUCAUAUUUAAGAUGUUUUAAUUUUGAAAAAUAAACAACUUAACGCUUAUAUUCAGAUAUUUUAAAAAGAAAAAUAAACAUUUUAUUCAAAUAUAUGUUUUUAAACCUAUUAAAACUUUUGUUAAAUUCAAACCAAUUUAGAUUUCAGACAAAAAAAAAAAAAAAACACGCUACCUAAAUCCUGUAAAUAAAUUAAAAUACAUAAAUUAUGUGAUUUUAAAUGGUUCAUUUCAGCAAUUUACCUGGGUCGUGUACUGCCUUUUGUGAGUUACAAGACAAAAGUUUACUUUCAAAUUACAGUUUAAAAUAUGUGUAAUUUUAUUUAAUAAUUGACUUUAAAAAUCCAUUACUGAAAUUUUUUUUAACGUAUUGUGUAGGACAACAAGAUUAGAAAAGAAAAGAAGAAGAAAUUAAAAUAAAAAUAACUAAAAAAAAAGAUUUUAUGACGAGAUUAGAGAGUUGUCAAUAGUCCCACUCAUGUCAAAAAAAUUUAUUCAAGUCGACGUGGGCACAAAUGGGCUUCCAAAAUAAAAUAUUUCUUACGCUUGGGCUUUGGGUUUUGGGCAAUUAAAGCUUACCAAGCCAUGGUAUUGUUCUUCAAUUCUUAGAAAACAAUAGCGACCGUUUUUCACCAGAAUUGGUCUUUGUUACUUUCUUUUCUGCACACCUCUCUGUAUUCUCUUGUUAAUAUUCUGUUCUUCUUCAGUUUUUAUAAUGAAAAUGAUUGUGCAUCUCGUGAAUGUAAUCUUUUUAUGUUGAAUCAUGCAAAAACUCUUGUCUCAUAUGUUUUUGAAUAAUGAUAUGUCCUGUAGUUAAUUUUUUUAUAUUAUAGUAAUGAUGUGUUAUUCUUUGUGCUAAUUUUAUGCACCUAUUACUAUGGUUUUUUUCGGUACUGCCUUUUUAAAAUUUUUUUUUUUCAUUUAAUGUCUUCCAACAAAGUUUUGCCGGGAAUUUAUACAAAUACUGAAUUAAGCUACUUUAUAUAUAUAUGUUGAAUAUAUAAAAUAAAAAAAGACUCAACCACAGGAGUUCGGAAGGAAUCGUUUUCAUUUUAUAUGAUUACGCAUUAAUAACUUAGCCAGGAAACUUUGUGCGCACUGAUUGCCUCUAGAUUGUAAAUUCAAUUGAUCUCAAAUGCCGACAAAUUCCACUUUGCUUCAAAAUUAACUUUAUAGUAAGUAUGAAGAAUAAAAUAUAAACAAUCAACUUGCAAGUUGAAAAUUUUGCAUUCUUAAACCAAUGUUCAAACAGGGGUAAACAUGUCUGCAAACGUAAGCAAUGAUCAAACAGUGUAUGCAGAAGCAUCGUUCUUCUUUGUAAAUUAGACCUGCUGGCGUGAUAUGGCGGAGGCUGCGGUGAACUUUGCAAUAGAGACCUUGGGUCCUUUGCUUGUCGAAGAAAUCAGAUUGUGGGGAGGUGUUAAAAAAGAAGUUCAAAGCAUCAAAAGCGAACUGGAGAGUCUCAGAUCUUUCCUCAAAGACGCGGAUACAAGGGCAGCAGUCGAAGAAUUAGAAGGAGGCGGUGAGGAAAGUGUCAGAACUUGGGUGAAACAACUGAGGGAUGAAGCUUAUCGCAUUGAAGAUGUGAUCGACGAGUACACAUUCAUGGUGGCAAAACUCCCUCAUGGGAGUGGCCUCGUUGGUGUUCUCCAUAGAAUAAGUCGUUCCAUAAAGAAGCUGAAGCUGCGGCGUGGAGUUGCUACUGAGAUUCAAGAUAUCAAAUCAGCGCUUGCUGAUAUAAAGCGAAGGGGAGAAAGCUAUCGAUUCAGAUCUAUUGAUGAACCAUCGAGCAGUGGAACCAGAAAUGUUAUCCCACAUGACUCUCGAGUUCGUUCCUUUUUCGUUGAAGAUGAUGAAGUUGUGGGCAUCGAAUCCAUUAAACGUAAAUUGAUUGAUUUGAUGGUGAACGGAAGAUCCGAACGUUCAGUGGUUGCUGUGGUGGGUGAAGGAGGACUAGGCAAGACCACUCUUGCCGGGAAAAUUUUUAACAAUGAUGGUUUAAAAACUCACUUCAGUAGCCGGGCUUGGGUCACCGUUGGGAAAGAAUACAAAAAAAAUGAUUUGUUGAGGACAAUUCUAAAUGAGGUUCAUCGUGUAACAAACGAGCCUGCUUCAGUGGAGACACACGACAUGGAAGAGAUGGAGCUGAUCACCGCGCUGAGGGACCACCUGAAGGACAAGAGUUACAUUGUUGUGUUCGACGAUGUUUGGAAGAUUGAUUUCUGGGGAGACGUGGAGGAUGCUUUACUUGAUAACAAGAAAAGCAGCAGGAUAAUUGUCACAACACGGCGCAUGAAUGUCGCUAAGUUUUGCAAAUCAUCUUCCCCUGUUCAUGUCCAUGAGCUUGAAACUUUGCGUCCGAAUGAAGCGUGGAAACUUUUUUGUAGAAAGGCGUUCGGACCAAGCUCCGGAGGCUCUUGUCCUUCAGAGUUGAGGGAGUUGUCCCAGGACAUCCUUGCAAAAUGUGGAGGUUUGCCUCUUGCUAUUGUGGCCGUAGGUGGACUUCUUUCAACCAAGAACAGGGUUGUAUCUGAAUGGAAGAAAUUGUUUGAUAGGUUGGGCUCAAUGUUAGGAAGCGAUCCCCAUCUAAAAGAUUGCAACCGAGUUUUAUCUGAAGGGUAUUAUGAUCUUCCUCACCAUCUCAAAUAAUGUCUUCUGUACUUUGGCUUAUUUCCAGAGAGCUGCAAAAUCAACUGUGCUAGACUCAUCCGUUUGUGGAUUGCUGAGGGCUUUUUCCAGUACAGCAAACGCCCCACAUCUGAACAAGUUGCAGAAGAAUACUUGAAUGAGCUCGUUGACAGAAGCUUGGUUCAAGUUUCAGAGAGAGAUAUUUCUGGACGAGCUAGAAUCUGCCAAGUUCAUGAUCUUAUGCACGAGAUCAUCAUCAGAAAAACUGAAGAAUUGGGCUUCGGUCGUGUGCUGAACGGAGAGGCCUUGAGUCGCUGCAGUAAAACUCGACGCAUUACUAUGCAGAGAAGCAUUGAUGAUGGUGCUUUAGUGAGCAUCAAGGACUCGAAGGUCCGUUCUGUUUUUCAUUUCAAUAUAGACAAGCUGCCCGACUCUUUCAUGAAUGCAAGUAUUGCCAAUUUCAAGCUCAUGAAAGUACUAGAUCUGGAAGAUGCUCCUGUAGAUUACCUUCCUGAAGGAGUGGGAAACUUAUUCAAUUUGCACUACUUGAGUUUGAAAAAUACAAAAGUAAAAAUAAUUCCCAAGUCCAUUGGAAAUCUUCUCGGUUUAGAAACUUUGGAUCUGAAAAAUACUUUGGUGAGAGAACUUCCAGUAGAGAUCAGGAAUCUUAAAAGGUUGCGUUAUCUAAUGGUGUAUCAGUACAAUUUUACCGCAGGUGUUGCAAUAGAAGAAGCAGCAGCGAAAUUACCCGAGGGCNNNNNNNNNNNNNNNNNNNNNNNNNNNNNNNNNNNNNNNNNNNNNNNNNNNNNNNNNNNNNNNNNNNNNNNNNNNNNNNNNNNNNNNNNNNNNNNNNNNNGUUAUGUUUAUAAAAGGUGAAAAUAUAUAAAAUAACAUUUGAUUCCAAUUCCAUAAUGCAAAAUCAUUAAAACACAGAGAAGUAAAGACUGAUGCAAUUGAUAACCCAAAUGGAAAAAAAAAAAAAUGAAAUCUGAUGAUUUAAUAAAUACCUCGAGAGCAUCCAAGUAACAUGCUUUGUUUAGCAACAGAUCCAUAUUGAACUCAAUGUCAUCUUUGCCUACGUCUUCUCCCAUUUUAGCCAUUUCAUCGAGCUCCUCAAACACCCAGACUGCCGGGCUUCCGACAGUCCGACUGGGGAGAUCUUUUCCGUUGAACCCCAAAAAGCACUUGUUGUUUGGUCUCGUGUUGUUGUUGUUGACAGCCGGGAAGCUCCCAAUAAGUUUGCAUGACUAAAUUGGGUUUUCUUAAUCCUGUGCAAAAUAGCACCCAACCGUAACAUCAGUGCAGCCUACUGAGAUAUUGUACAUGGAAGAAGAAAGUGAUAGCCGAUUGUUAUAAAAUAUAUAUCCAAAGGUUUCUUGGGAAAGAAGCAAUCAAUGACUGUCAGUUAUGGGGGUAAAUUUGUAAUUGUAAUCAACGACGGUUUUUAGGUAGCGUUUACUUUUUGGAUUGGAUUGGGAAUCCUGGGGAGUGGGAAUCCUAGGAUUGGGAGUGUGGAGUGGGAGUGGGAGUAGGUUGUUUACUUACACUGGAAUGGAAGCAUGGAAUGGAGAUCAGAAUUCAAUUUAUGUGUUUACUUUGUCUUGGAUUGGAAGUAAAUAGUUUCAAAUUACAAUUUUAUCCUUAUUUAAAGAAUUAUAAUUUUUAAUUACAAAACUAAUAAAAAAUAUAUUUAAUGAAUAAUAUUUAUUUUAUUAUAUUUGUAAAUUUAUUAUAAUUAUUAAUAUUCUUAAUUAUGAACAAUAAAUUAUUAAUUGUAAUUUUAAUAUAAAAUGAAAUGUUAUUUUAUUUUAUUUAAUAUAAUUAUAUUAAAUUUAUUAUUAUAUAAAAUAAUAAUAUAAUAUUAUUUAGUACAAAAUUAAUAUUUUCUUAGAAUAAAGUAUUUAUUAUUAUUAUUAAAUAAAUAUAGUACUAUUAUUUUUAAAAUAAAUAAUAAUAUUAUAUUUAUUAAUUCUCUAUUAAUAUAAUAAUAUUAUUUUAAAAUAAUUUUAACUUAGAAUCAAUGUAAAUUAUUAUUUAGUUAAAUAUAAUAUUAUUAUUUAAAUAAAUAUAAUAUUAUUUAUUUUAUUUUAUUAAUUAUAAAACAUAAAAUAAAAAAAAAAGGUAGNNNNNNNNNNNNNNNNNNNNNNNNNNNNNNNNNNNNNNNNNNNNNNNNNNNNNNNNNNNNNNNNNNNNNNNNNNNNNNNNNNNNNNNNNNNNNNNNNNNNNNNNNNNNNNNNNNNNNNNNNNNNNNNNNNNNNNNNNNNNNNNNNNNNNNNNNNNNNNNNNNNNNNNNNNNNNNNNNNNNNNNNNNNNNNNNNNNNNNNNNNNNNNNNNNNNNNNNNNNNNNNNNNNNNNNNNNNNNNNNNNNNNNNNNNNNNNNNNNNNNNNNNNNNNNNNNNNNNNNNNNNNNNNNNNNACUUAUAUCAUUUGAUAUAUACAUCAUAAUUAGAGCACCACUCAUAUAUUUACAAUUAAAUUUUUAUUGAGAUCAACCUACAUUAAUUCUGUUGUGACACACUUCAAACUAAUUACACAAUAUUUACAAUCAGCUAUUUAUGGUGAUUGAUCAAAAUCAAUUUCAUUAUUGCACAGCCCAACCCAAGUAUUGUAAUAUUUACAGGCGUAAGAGUAGCUGGGAUGCACGGGUUAGGUGACAGUGGGCUCAGAGUCAGUUUCAUUAUAAGCUUCUUCUAAUAUUUAAGAUCUAUUUGCUAUAAUAAUAAUUUUACUUCGUUGAGAUAUUUAAUAUGUAUACCAACAGAUGUGUAAGUGAUUAUGUUGUAUUAUUUGAUUGGUUCAAGUGAACUUAACUACUCAGUCUUAUCAUUUCAUAUCUAAAUGAUAAAUUUAUAUUGGUGACACAUUAAUUAGUACACCAAUUAAGAAUCCUAACUAAAUGAAUAUAACAUUUCGUUACUCAUGAAGCAUAGUUAUAGUGGAUAUUUCACUCUCAUUUCUCCACAUCAUCCUCCACUUCUCAAUUCACCCCACUAAAAAUUUUAAAAUAAUUUUUUUAUCACUCAAUUUAUCCUGUCUAAUCCUCACUUUACUCUUAUGACAAUUUUUAUCCUCUUCUCAUACACUCCACCGUAUAAAACUUUAAAAAUCUGCUUUAAAAACGAAAAGGGACUCUUUGAUAAUCUCUGUGGGUUCAUUAUCAGUGCAGCCGUGGGUUUCUUUCAAAUAUUAAAAAUGUUUCUCAAUUAUAAUCUCCCAAAUUGCCAUCGUAGAACAAAAACACUCAACAAAAGCCAAAAAAAUAAAAAUAAUAAUAAAUGCUUGAUAGAAAGUGGAUUAGAUUAACAAAAGAAACGAAACAUAACAUUGCAUUUUUCGCCUUGAAAAUGGAAUUGAAAGGCCCUCUCAAUUUGUUUCUCUACCUCUGUUAUAACAGGAAUGACAUUUUCGAAAAAAUGAUUAUAAAAUAAUGUAAUGAAGAAUCUCUUUGAAUCUAGCUGUUGGAGAUCUUCUAAUCUAACCUCUCUUUAUAAUUUAUUAUGAUAUUUAAUUAGAGCAAAGUUUAGACCAGACUUUACAGAUUGUUAACUUUAAACAUUCAUUGCAUACUUUGCUGUUUGUAGGGUGAAGAAAGGAAGUGAAAAUAUUAAUCCUAUUACUGUUACACCUCAUAAAAUAUUAAAGGUUUCAUAAAUACCCAACAAGUUACCAACUCUAGAAACUGGAUAAAAAAAAUUUACGAGUAACAUUGUUUGGUUUUGAAAAUAAAAAAUAAGACUGUAAGUUCCCAAUUGAAAAAAUGAAAAAUAAAAACAAAUCAGUUGCAUAUUCUAUUGCUUGAAGAUUAUCAAUUAAGAGCAUGAAUUGGAUUCUAGCACAUAACUCUCUAGUAAGGAUAAGAGAAAAUUCUCUUUUUAAAAAAAAUACUAUUUCAUUUAAAGGUAUCAUAGUGAUAUUUUGUUAAAGAGAGGCUUAAAUAUCACUUUAACAAAAAUAGAAUUAUAUAGAAUGAAGUUCUGUGAUAAAGAAUUAAAUUGUGUGAGAUAUAAUAAGAUAUAAACAAAAGACUGUUUUGAUACAUAAAAGAGUAUAGAAUAAAAAUUAAUUUUAAAAUUUAUUAAAUGAGUGUAAAAAUCAAAUGAUAUUCAAAAUUAAAUGUAGAGUGCAAAUAAUUCAUUCUAAGAUUAUCUUUAUCGUCUUAAUGUUGCACUAAUCAGUGUCCUUAUAAAAGUCAAAAUUCUCUCGAAUUUUCAUAUUAAAAUUGAUAUUUUAAAGCACACAAUUACAGUACAGUACAUCCUGAGGAUUAUUUAUACAUGAAUUUCUCGUUAAAACACAGACCAGCUGAGUCUACAGCAGAGAAAAGAAACAAAAAUGUAAUAGCUAGAAAUCAGUUAAUCUAAAUCUAUAUAAUAUGGGGACCAAAGCAACAGUUAUUGGGAGUUCUCUGGUGGAGCCUUCGAUUCUGGAGCUGGCAAAUAAUCAGCCACUGAUCACAGUUCCUCCACGUUAUGUUCGCGCUGAGAUAGACCAUCCCCUGAUUCGCAACGACGAUUCUUCAACACGACAACUUCCAGUCAUUGACAUGCACAGGCUGCUCUCUGGGGAUGACUCAGAGCUUGAGAAGCUUGAGCAUGCAUGUAAAGACUGGGGUUUCUUUCAGGUACAUAAUAAUUGAGCAGUGAUAUUCAGAUAAUAAAAAUACUUGAUCGCAAAUCAUUGCUUUUGUUAGCGUUCUUUCGGCUCUCGGUGUUUUUAGCAUUUUCCAUAAAAAUCAUUUUAUUUCCUGAGCUUUAAGUUUCCUAUAAGAACCAUGUAUGGAAAGAACAGCUUGUUUUAAUCUGCAUAUAUGCAGUUGAUGAAUCAUGGAGUGAGCAGUUCAUUGGUGGAGAAAGUGAAAGAAGGAUUCAAGACUUCUUUAAUCUUCCAAUUGAUGAGAAAAAGAAAUUUUGGCAGCAGCCAGGGGAUAUUGAGGGAUUUGGGCAGCUUUUUAUUACGUCUGAGGAGCAGAAGCUUGAUUGGGGAUACGGCUUUACUAUGUUCACUCUCCCAACCCAUCUGAAGAAACCCCACUUGUUCCCCAAGUUGCCUCUCCCAUNNNNNNNNNNNNNNNNNNNNNNNNNNNNNNNNNNNNNNNNNNNNNNNNNNNNNNNNNNNNNNNNNNNNNNNNNNNNNNNNNNNNNNNNNNNNNNNNNNNNNNNNNNNNNNNNNNNNNNNNNNNNNNNNNNNNNNNNNNNNNNNNNNNNNNNNNNNNNNNNNNNNNNNNNNNNNNNNNNNNNNNNNNNNNNNNNNNNNNNNNNNNNNNNNNNNNNNNNNNNNNNNNNNNNNNNNNNNNNNNNNNNNNNNNNNNNNNNNNNNNNNNNNNNNNNNNNNNNNNNNNNNNNNNNNNNNNNNNNNNNNNNNNNNNNNNNNNNNNNNNNNNNNNNNNNNNNNNNNNNNNNNNNNNNNNNNNNNNNNNNNNNNNNNNNNNNNNNNNNNNNNNNNNNNNNNNNNNNNNNNNNNNNNNNNNNNNNNNNNNNNNNNNNNNNNNNNNNNNNNNNNNNNNNNNNNNNNNNNNNNNNNNNNNNNNNNNNNNNNNNNNNNNNNNNNNNNNNNNNNNNNNNNNNNNNNNNNNNNNNNNNNNNNNNNNNNNNNNNNNNNNNNNNNNNNNNNNNNNNNNNNNNNNNNNNNNNNNNNNNNNNNNNNNNNNNNNNNNNNNNNNNNNNACACGUCGCUUGCAUAAAAGCUAAGCUGUUAGCAUAGGAUAUGUAGUUGAUGACUAGUUUCAUCUAAUUUUUUCCUCCUCUUGAUUAUACUCUCUAACUUUUUUUUUUUUUAGGUUCAAUUUAUGAUCCUGUAGAUUUUUAGCAAUGGAACUUAUCGUGAUAUUGAACAUCGUGUGACUGUAAACUUAAUGAAGGAAAGGUUAUCUUUCACUACAUUUUACAACCUAAAAUUAGAUGGAGAAUUGGGUCUAGCACCAAGUCUUAUGAAAUUUCCAUGCGGAUACACUUUAAAACCACAUGGUUUAAAAGAAUUAGUUUUUAAAUCUUUUAAAACUCACAGUUUUAUAGUUCAUUCACAAACUAUUUUUUUUUAAAUCACACAGUUUAAAAUUGUGACCGCAUUAAUAAAAAUGCGGGCGUCCGCACCUGAGAAUAAAUUUUAUUGAAUAUUGAUAAAUUAAAAAAUAAAGUCGUGAAACAUAUACUAAGGUGACGUUUGUUUUUUAACUUAAUGACUUAAAGUGACUUAACUUAAUUAAUUAAGUUAAUUAGAUGUGUUUGUUUUUAUAACUUAAUGAGACUUUUUAGAUAAUUUUGACUUAAUAAAAUAAGCUAAUUUUUUUGGGUUUUUACUUAAUGGAGAAAUUUGAAUUAAGUCAAUUACUUGCUAAUGUCAAAAAUAUCCCUGUUUUAUAAUUUAUUUUUCACGUCUAUCCCAAAACUCACCCAUAGAUAUUUACCCCACAUAAAAAUAUCUCUGUUUUUUCUUUCUUAUAUUAUAUACGAUAAAAUUUGAAAUUUAUGGUAUUUUAUAUAUUAAAAUUCUAAAAUAAUUAUGUAUUCACUUGAAUAUAGUUUUACUUAUAAAUGUUAAAAUAUUGUGGUAUUUAAUAUAUUAUUUAUUUGACAUUCAAAUUUAAUAAGGAUACAAAUGUAAAAGUACAUAUUUUCAGCUUUUUAAGUUGAAAAAAACAAACAACUUAAUACUUAUUUUUUGAGAUUCAGACAAAAAAAUAAACAUAUUAUUCAUAUUCAGACAUUCAGACUAAUUCAGAUCUAUUCAGAUUUCAGACAAAAAAACAAACGCCACCUAAGUGUUGAUCUUGUAGCAAUGAUAUUUGCAGUAUUGGAGAAUUAUUGAUGGAAUAUAAAAACAAAAGAAGAAGAAUUGGGGUAGAGAUCGUGCAUAAAGAAAAAAAAACGCACACACACACACGUGGUACUGAAUUUUUUUUAUUUUAUUUCUUAAUAAUUAAGGAUAAUUUUUUUUUAUGUCAUAAUAUAUUUAAAAUUAUUUAAGUAUAAAAUUUGUUCUCAAAAUUAAAGUUAUCAAUAAUUUUAAGAAAAUUACCAAACAAAAUUAAAUUUUAAUAUUUUAAAAUUACUUUUGAGUAAAAUAGUAAUCUUAAAUGAGCCCUUAUUCAAUUACCAGGAUAAAACGAAAAUGAAUUUAAAUUUAAAGGACUUAAAUUAUAAUGCAGUUUAAAAAGUCACGGUCCCCUUCUAAAAUUCGUGAUUUCUACCAACGAUGCGGACCGAUCAACUAUGAAAUAUCCCAAUAGUUUCGUAACUUCUAUGAUUGGGCACGCGAACUUGACAGGCAUUGUCAUUGUUGUAUAUUUGUCUAUAUUUAAUUUACGAUUUUACGACGUAACACUUGAAAAAAAAAAACAUAAAAUUGUGUACACAAGUUUGUGUGGUCAGCCUGGUUUUAUAUUUCAAAAUGCCAGUUUUGUGGGAUUAGUACCAAUCUAAAGAUAAACCACACAAUGUGACACUACAUGGAUAAGAAUACUAUUCUACUGUGAAAUCUUAGCUUACCUUAGCUUUAAUUGAACGAACGUUUGGGAUAGACAAAUGAUAUUUGAACACUAUAAUGGCAUUAGGAUAUAAUACAAGUGAUGGUAGGUUGCGUAAAUGAUCCGCAUCAUUUUAGUGUGCCACAAAAUUAUGAUUUAUUGAAUAAUAAUAUUAUAGAGUGAUGUUAUUUGUACCCUAAAUUUUAUUUUAAAGACUGUAAUUUUUAAUAAAAAUAUUAUUACAAAAACUCCUCCAAUAUCAUUUACUAAUAAAGACAAUUCAAUUUAAGUUAAUGGAAUAUGAUUACUCUUCACACCAUUGAACGCACAUUCAAUUCAAUAAUCCAAUUACAAAACCCUGUAACUUUCUUUAACAAUAAAUCUAAUUUAUCAUUCGUAAAAGAAAAUAUUAAGGGUUUAAUAAAUAACCAACAAGCUACCAACAACAGCAAUUGAAAAAAAAUUUUUAUUUAUGCGGAAAAAAUGAGAAACAUUAUUUUGAUUUAAAAAAUUAAAAAUAAAACUGUACGUUUCAAACCCCCAAAAAGAAAAAGGAAAAAUAAUAAGAAAUCAGCUGCAUAUUGCUGCUGCUUCAAAAUUAUCAAUUGGAAAUACAAACUUGACUCCAGUCUAUAACUCUCUGGUAAAAUGAAGAGACAUUUCUCUUUUGACGGAAGUUUAUUUCAUUCAAAGAGAUGAGGGUCAUUUUUUUUUUUCAAGAGAUUUGAAUAUCAUUAACAAUAAUAGAAUUACAUAGAAUAAAGUUCUUUAGUCAACAAAGAAUUAAAUUGGGUGAGACGUAAGAUAUAAAUGGAGGACUAUUUUGGUAUUUAAAAGAAUGUGCUCAAUAAAAUCAAUUUUUAAAAUUUAUUAAAUGAGAGAACGAGUGUACAGAAUAAAGUGAUACUGUAAAAUCUAGAUUUCAAAUAGCCCCAUAUUAAGUCAUGGUUUGUCUUUUUAUUUUAAUUUUGAAAUAGGUUUGAAUGUUACUGAAGUUUGAAUGGCUUUGAAUGCUUAAGCUAGAAUAAUAUGUUUGGUUUUUAUUUUUUGGCAUCUGAGUGUAAGUGGUAAGUUGUUUGUAUUUUUACACUUAUGACUAGCUUAAAUAGAUAUGUAUUCAUAGUGUUUUCUAGUACAAUAGUUUUUAUAUGUUAUAAAUAUUUACAAGAAAAAUAAUUGAUAUAUAAUUUAUGAAAAAUAAUUUUGGUAACAUUAAUUUUUACAAUUUAGCAUAAUAUUUAUACAUAAAAAAAGUUGUUAUCUAUUAAUAAAAGAUUUUUUUUUUUAAAUUCAAAUUGAAUGUAUGUUAAAUACUUAAUAUGUAGUAAAAUUUCUUAUCUAUUGCCGCUGGAAGAUGGUAUCUCUACUGGAAGUCUUACUGUUAGAAUAUUUCCAUUAAUCUUUCGAAGUUUUGUUGGGUAACUUGGCUUGAUGGCUAGAAUUUGAAUUGCUUUUCUUAGAUUUUAAUUGGGAUUUAACUAUUGUUUUAUAUUUUAGAUUUUUUUAUAUUUGGGAUGUUUUAUUAUGUAUUGGUGGUGACGACAUUGAAUACUAGAUGUAUUUGUUUUGAAAUUAAUUUGUUGGAUUGAAUGGAGGUUAAUUAAUAUUAAUUACUUUUAGUUUUUUUGAUGAUAUUCAUUUUUAUUAGUUAAUUAAAUUUGUAAUCAGGAAUUCACAAAUAAAUUAUAAUCACAAUAGAAUUUUUUUUAAAAAAAAUUGACUUUAUGAUGGGAAAUAAUGAUCAUAAUGUUUGUCAUAAAACAUUUUGAGCCAAAAUUCAAUAAUAAAUUUACAAAUGAUAAUUUAAUUUCCCACCAAAAAUUUAAAAAAAUAGCGCAAAAAUAUAUAUAAAUUCAAAUUUUAAUUUAAUUAUUUUUCACAUUAAGAUAUUGUGUGACGUAUAUAUAACUGUAAAAUACUAUCAUGAAUUCAUGAUGGAAAAUAUUUUGUCAUAAAUUAAUGACAGUGAAAUAGAUGACAGAUGAACUGUUUGUCAUGCACCCCCUUUUACAAUAGUUAUUUCUCGUCAUCUAUUACCUGUUUUCUUGUUGUGAAAAUAGAUAUAACUUUAAAUUAUCUUCUUUUUUUUUAAGUAUAUUUAAUAAUGUUUAGACAUGCCUUUUUCUCUUUAAAACAAGUAAAAUUGCAUAAAGUGAAAAAAGAACUCUAUAAAUUUGUUAUAUAAAAAAUAUGAUUAAAAUUCAUACUAAUACAUAACUGAGAUAAAAUAAAAAAGUAGUAUGUAUUACAUUCGUAUUAAACUUGAUGCAAUAAACACCAUAACUAUAAUAUAUAUAUAUAUAUAUAUAUAUAUAUAUAUAUAUAUAUAUAGAGAGAGAGAGAGAGAGAGAGAGAGAGAUUGAAUAUUAAAAACCAUGGUUAUAAAAUUAAUUUUAAAAGUUAUGGUUAAUUUUCAUGUGAAAUUGUUCAAAGUUAAAAAAAAAAAUUUGCAUAAUUAUAUACAUACGUUUUUUAAUCUUAUAAUAGAAAAUAAAAGUAAAAUAUAAAAAAAAAUACAAACUUACUAGGUCAAAACUUUGAUACUAGAGAGAAUAUAUAAUAGUUGUGUCGGUAAUUUGAUUGUGAUGGUAAUGUGAUAUCUAAUGGUUUAAUAUUAUGGUGUAUGAGAAAGUAAGACAAUUAUUUUUUUAAUUAAAAUAUUAAGGCUAUAAUAGGAACUUUAAAAAGGUAUGAUAGUUUAUUUAAUAAGCUGCUUAUGAAAAGUAACUCUCUACUUACUUUUAAAAGUUGUUGUCAAAAUGGAGAAAAUGAUUAAAUAAGCAACUUUUACAAAAUUUACCAAACAUUAUUUUUGUCACAAAUUACAAAAUAAGUUGCUUAUUGAGUUUCAACAUCAAUUCCAAACGGGGCAUAUAUUAUUAAGUCAGCACCAGUUAGUCAUUUAGGUGCAAUAAGCAGUCUCUAUUAGAAAAUUCUGGUACAAGUGGCAGAGGGAAAGAAGUAAUAGAGUAAUAGGAUUCUCAUAUAACUAAUUAUCACCACAUUAUUGAAGUCCAAAAAGCUAUUAAGCUAUAUGGCUUGAUAACUUUUCCGAACUUUAAUAAAUCCAUGUUUUAGAUUGGAAUGUGCGUAUAUAAUUCACCUUAAAUUUUAUUAAAUAUUUAAAAACACAUAUUAACCUAAGUGUUGAUCUUGAAACAAUAAUAUUUACAUUAUUACAGAAUUCUUGAUGGAAUGGAAAAUAGAAAGAAGAAGAAUUGGGGUAAAGAGCGUGCACGAAGAAAAAAAAAAGAAAAUCAAAAUAAUAACGAUCUUAAAUUUUCUAAUUUUAUUAGUUAACUAAUUAAAAAUAAUUUUGUUUUAUGAAAAUGUGUAACAAUAUAUGCGAAAUUAUGUUAAGUAUAAAAUUGAUUCUUAAAUUCAAAUUUUGUGGUGAUUUAAAAAAAAAUUAUCAAAAUUAAAUUUUUGAGUUAAAAAAUUAUCAAAAUUAAAAUUUUGAUUUAAAAAAAUAUCAAAAUUAAAAUUUUGAUUUAAAAAAAUUAUCAAAAUUAAAUUUUAACUUUUAUAAGUGACUUUAGAGUCUCAAUAGUAAAUCUUAAAUGAGUCCUUAGUCAAGAUGAAACAAAAACAAAUGUAAAUUAUUUUAAAAAGUCAGCGUGCCCCUUAAAUUUCGUAAUUUCUACCAACGACAAGGACCGAUCAACAAAAAAAAAAUCCCAAAAAUUUCGUAAUUUCAAGAUUGGGGACGUGAACUUGAUAGCGAUAGUUGUCCAUUUUGUCAUUGUUGUAUGCCUGUCUGUAUCUAUUUUACUACUGUAUGCUCAAUUCAAUAAUUAGGGUACACAAUUUUGUGUGGCCAGCCUGGUUUCAUCAUUCAAAAUGCCAAUUUAGUCGUAUUAGUACCAAUUCAAAAAUUAAUCACGCAAAUGCGAGAAGAGAUGGAUACGAAUACUAACCAAGUCGAUAACAAUCCUUUGGCAUUCUGAUCUUAUCUGAGCUUUAGUUAGGGGAGCGUUGACAGAGACAAAUGAUAUUUAAACACUAUAGUGACAUUAAGAUAUGACUGAAGUGAUAGUACUGCGUGCAAACAAACAGUACAUACCAUUUUGGUCUGCCAUAGUGUUAUUGUUCAAUGAACAAAACAUUAUGGGUGGAACGUUAUUGCAAAAGAUACGAAUACUAAGUGGAUAAAAAAGAAAUAAAACUGUAAGUUUUAUUGCAAAAGAUACGUUAUUGCAAAACAUUUAUUUUUAACAUUUAACAUUAUUUUGUUUUUAAAAAAUAAAAAAUAAAACUGUAAGUUCCGAUUAAAAAAAAUGAAAAAGAAAAACAAAUCAGUUGCUUAUUACUAUUGCUUGAAGAUUAUCAAUGAAGAACAUGAAUUGGAUUCUAAUAUAUAACUCUCUAGUAAAGAUAAGAGAAAAUUCUCUUUUUUUUAAAAAAAAAAAUAUAUUAUUUCAUUUAAAGACAUCACAGUGAUAUUUUGUUAAACAGAGACUUAAAUAUCUUGUUAACAAUAAUAGACUUAUUUAGAAUGAAGUUCUUUGAUAAAGAAUUAAAUUGGGUGAGAUAAUAAUCAUAUAUAAAUAAAAGACUGUUUUGGUAUAUAAAAGAACGUAUAGAAUAAAAAUUAAUUUUUAAAAUUUAUUAACUGAGUGUAAAAAAACAAAUGAUAUUCAAAAUUAAAUUUAGAGUGUAAAAAAUCGAAUGAUAUUCAAAAUUAAAUGUAGAGUGUAAAUAAUUCCAUUAUAAAAUUAAUUUUAUCGUGUUAAUGUUGCACUGAUUUGUGUCCUUUAAUAAAAGUCAAAAUUCUCUCGAAUUUUCAUGAUAAAAUUAAUAUUUCACUGCACCCAGUUACAGUACAGUACAUCUAGAGGACUAUUUAUAUAUGAGUUUCUUGUCAAAACACAAACUAGCUAAGUCUGCAGAAGAGUAGAAGAAAACAAAAAGGUGAUAGCUAGAAAUCAGUUAAUCUAAAUCUAUAUAACAUGGAGGCAAAAGCAACAGUUAUUGGGAAUUCUCUCGUGGAGCCUUCGAUUCUGGAGCUGGCAAAUAAUCUGCCACUGACAACUGUUCCGCCACGUUAUGUUCGCCCUGAGAUAGACCAUCCCUUGAUUCGCAACGACGAUUCUUCAGCACAACAACUUCCAGUCAUUGACAUGCACACGUUGCUCUCUGGGGAUGACUCAGAGCUUGAGAAGCUUGACUCUGAUACCAAUUGUUGGGAAAAAUUAUCUUUUGAAUUUUUAUAAAACCUUUUGAAGAUCGCUCUCAUAUAAUAUAUAAGAAUUUGUAUUCUAGAAAUCGUACCUUGAAAAUCCGAGUUGGCUUUUUCCGCUGAAGUGAUUUAGGCUCCUAGAUCACGAUCCGCCACCACCACUCCUGUUAGAUCACGAUCCGUCACCACCACGCUUGUUAGAUCACGAACUGUCACCAAUGAUCUUCCAGGUUAUGACUCAGGUUCGAUCUGCACUUGACGUGUGGGCGCCUUUAUCACUACCAAAGCAACUAGCACGAGAAAAUUUUUCUCUCAACAAUAGAGAGAAAAAUCUUAUUCUCCAAUUUGUAUAAAGUGGCUUCUCUCUUUUCCUUUAGAGAAAAUAAACCUUAUAUAUCUUCCUUUAGUGAAAACCCUAGGCUCCAAAUAAUUCAAAAAACAAAACCCACGUUAUUUUCUUUUUCAAUAGGGGACCCACCUUGUAAAAUAACAUAAGGCCCCUUAUACAAAAGCUAAUUAAAUGGAGCCUCCCACUAAAUGAUAUAUUUAGGCUUUUGACCCAAAUAGCUAGUUAUCUUACUUAUUAGUCCAGUAGUGGUGCAGUCAAUUAAAUGAGCUAACCCGGGGAUCAUUUGGGAACAUACAAUAGUGGCUACAAUAAUUAGGCCUUUAAUUAAACUAGCCCAAUUAUUUAAUUCCAAAUCUACUCCACUAAAAGAUUGGAACUGACUUCCAUAAUUGUAUGCUCGAAUAAUAAUUCGCCCCAAGCCACAUUGAUUUCUUUACUGCACAAUCCUUUGUACCACAUCGUUAAUUAAAUUGAUAUCUCAACUGUCCAAUCAAUUUAAUAACAUCUUAUUCCUUGAUCCUUACUGGUUUUCUCUAAUGAUCAUUUUCAACAUACUAAAUAUGUUGACACACUCUGGCCAGAGAAUUCUAUGAUCAAGUACCGAAAACCUAUCAAGAGAUGUGUUGUACAAAUUCUAUAUUGUUAAUCCAUAACUCCAAUACUCAUAAUUGCUCCCACCAAGAUACCGGGUAAUCUUGACCACAAGGAUGUGUCGUGCCCAUUGGUAACUCAAAUGAAAUAACAAUCACAAUCAUGAAAUCAUAAUUAACUCAAGAUUAAGAUUACAGUAAAAUCAACGCCUAUGAGAUUUAAUAAGUCUGACAGUUAUUACAAAGUUAAUUAAAUCUCAUAUGUGAUCCUGUUCAAUGUAGUCGUACUACAUCAAUAAAUUCAUACAUGAUUAAGACAAAUCAUUCAAUGAAUUUAUUACAGUCUAUACCUAAAUAAAGUGCCCAACUUUAUUUAUCAACUGCGAACUAAAUUUAUUUAAUCAUAAGAUAACUUGUAUUUAUGUCUUCUGUGAAUCCACAUGGUGAUCACAUAAAUACAUAUAAUAUGAUUAAAUGGACUUUAAUACAAAUAUUAAUGCAAUUAAGAUAUUUGAAUAAAAUACCUCAUUUAUUUUAUUAAUCAGAAAAAUUGUUUAUUACAAUUAAAUAAACACAUAUGCUUUUAAAGAGCAUAUUUUCCCAACAAUCUCCCACUAGCUCUCAAAGCAUAUCUGGCAUAUUGCACAUGCUCUAGGGCUCUAAGUGCAGGUUAUAAAGGUUUCCCACUAAUGGCCAUUGUAAUAAGAUCUGCCAUUUAGCAUCUAAUGCCAUUUGGGGUACUGUCAUAUAACCUUUCUACACUAUUCCCUUAUAAGAUGAUACUUCCUUUCAAUAUGUUUUGUUUCUUGUGGUUCCUUGGUUCCUUAGAUUGAGCUACCGCACCACCAUUAUCACAAAAUAGUUUAAGGGGUGCAGUUACAACAGGUACCACCUCAAGAUUUCGUAGGAACUUGCAGAGCCAUAUAGCUUCUUUUGCAGCUUCAGAUGUAGCCACAUAUUCAGCUUUAGUUGUUGAGUCUGUGAUACAAGAUUGUUUCACACUCAUCCAACUAGUAGCUCCACUUCCCAAUGUAAACACAUAGCCGGAAGUUGAUUUUCUAAAAUCCUUAUCUGACAAAAAAUCAGAAUUAGUAUAACCCACUAGAAUAAGUUCAUCACCAGAAUACACAAGCAUAUAAUUUUAAGUUCUUUUCAGAUACUUCAUUAUAUGCUUGACCGCAGUCCAGUGUUCAGGUCCAGGAUUAGAUUGAUAUCUACUAACCAUCCCUACCGCAAAACAGAUGUCUGGCCUAGUGCAAAACAUGGCAUACAUGAGACUUCCCACAGCUGUUGCAUAGGGAACUCGUCUCAUUCUCUCUAUCUCUUCAGAUGUUUUAGGUGAUUGAUCCUUAGAGAAUGUAAUUCCAUGUCUGAAUGGUAAUAAACCAGUCUUGGAAUUUUCCAUACUAAAUCUAGCCAAUAUCUUAUCGAUAUAGACCGCUUGAGACAAGGCUAAAGUUUUAUUCUUCCGGUCUCAUAGUAACUUGAUACCAAGAAUAUAACUUGUCUCUCCCAGGUCUUUCAUAUCAAAUUGUUUUGCUAACCAAAUCUUUAUUGUAGUCAAUACUCCUAUAUCGUUUCCAAUCAGGAGAAUAUUGUCUACACAAAGAACUAGGAAGGCUACAAAUUUUCCCUGAAUUUUCUUGUACACACAUGGUUCAUCAAUGUUCUGAAUGAAUCCAAGUGAUUUAAUCGCUUGAUCAAAUCUGAUGUUCCAUGACUGGGAUGCUUGCUUCAAUCCAUAAAUAGAUCUCUGCAACUUACAUACCAUGUGUUCUUGGCCUUUUUUGUAUAAAUCCAUCUGGUUGCUGUAUGUAGAUGUUUUCUUCAAGAUGCCUGUUAAGAAAGGCAGUCUUGACAUCCAUUUGCCAAAUUUCAUAAUCUAGCACUGCAGCAAUGGAGAGCAGAAUCCUGAUGGAUUUAAGCAUAGCAACCGGAGAAAAGGUUUCCUCAUAAUUGAUUCCUUCUUUCUGAGUAAACCCUUCGGCUACUAAUCUUGCUUUAAAUGUUUCCACCCUUCCGUCUACUCCUCUUUUUCUCUUGUAGAUCCACUUGCACCCUAUAGGUUUUACCCCAUUUGGUGCCUCUACAAGUUCCCAGACUUUAUUGGAAUACAUAGAUUCCAUUUCUUGAUUCAUGGCCUUUUUCAAAAUUCAUCAUCUCUAUCUAUUAGAGCUUCAUUGUAACUAGUGGGAUCUUGUACAUGUUCAUCUAAGAUAGCCUUAUAGGUUUCUCCCAAAAACAUGUAUCUUGCAGGUAACCUAGUUACCCUCCCACUACGACGAGGUUCUAAAAGUGAUGAUUGUUCAAGGAUAAUCCUGUGCUGAUCAGCUGGUUGUUGCUGUUCUUCCUGUUCUAUAACAGGUGUUGAAAGCUGAGCAUCAACCUGAUCUCUUUUAUUUCUCUAGUUUUACCUUACUCUUAGGUUAUAAGUCAUUAUAUAGUCUUCCUCAAAGAAAGUAAAAAAUAUUUCUAUAAAUACAUUCCUAUCUUGAGGACUAUAAUUCAGACUUUCCCUUAUUCCUUUAAGAUACCUAAAACAUGCAAGCUUCUGAACACGAAUCCAUCUUCUCUAUCUCUGAUUCUAGUAGAAAUACUAGUAAACUCCAAAUACGAAUGUGUCUCAAACCAUGUUUGUGACUUUUUCAUAAUUUCUUGGAGUAGUGGACACCGAGAUAGAUGAAACUAAGUUCAAUAAACUUUGUAGUUUCAAAUACUAGUAUCUGGAAUCAAAAAGGUAAAUGAUAAACCACUUAGUAUAUAUCUUGUCUUAUCCAAAAGAAUCUUGUUUCUCCAUUUAAUUACACUAUUGUAUCAUAGUGUUCAUUGACAACCAAAUAGUGCUUGAAUUCUCCAUAGAGAUAUUCUUUGUUUCGAUCAUAUCGAAAUUCUUUUAUGUUCCUGUCUAAUUGCUUCUGUCUUAUUCACGUACUCUUUUGAAUUUCAAAAGCAAUGGAAUCAUGACUCAUUUAGACAAACAUAAAAUGAAUAUUCAUCAACUAGAUUGAUAGAAUACUCAUAACCUCUUAUAACAUGUAAACUGAUUAGUCCGUAUACAUUUGUAUGCGCUAAAUCAUCAAAUACAAUGUUAUGCUUUUAGCUCAUAAAGAGUAUCCUUGUCAUAUUACUUUUCUAAAUAAGAUUUAUAGAGUUACAAUGAUCAAUCUUAAUAGGCCAACAAGUCUAUCAUUAAUCAUUUUCUUAAAAUCUUAUUAUAGUUUAUAUGACUUAAGCAUAACUAUCAGAGGUGAUUUUUGGUUAGAAGAAACAUUUCUUUUCUUAGAUAAAUGCAUAUACUUUUAAUCAUUAUAUCUUACUUUGAAUAGAUCAAUGUACUUUUAUGAUAUAAAUUGUCUUUAUAAAUAACCAAAAUAAGUAAUAAACAGAGGAUCCAAAAAUAACAGUGUACUCCUGUUUAUUAAAACAAGCCACUGAAAUUAAAUUCCUCUAAUAUUUGGAAAAAUAAAGACAAAUAUCAAAACUAAAGUCUUGUAAAAUUGAUCUAGUCUUUCAAUUGAUAUAAACUAGCACAUCCUCAACUGCUAUUUGAAGCUUUCUUCACUUAAUCUCUUGGUUUCCUGAAAACCAAAUAAAUGAAUUACAAAUAAGAUUAGUUAUCUCAGAAUUCAUUAUUGUAUGAAUCAAUAGAAAUCUGAACUAAUUAGGAAGCUUAAAGAUUUCCUAUACCUGAUUUUAAUAAUCUUAGGACAAUCUUUCUUCCAGUGACCCUUCUGUCCACAUUUGUAACACUUGCCUUUUGGCUUGCCACUUCUUUUAAUGGACAGUUUGCCGAUCCCAACUCUUGCUUGCUCAUUCUUGUCUUUUGACUUAAGCCUUGAAGAGAAUCCUUUUUCAGGAAGUUUUCUGCUAUGAUAAAAUUCUUCUAUAGCAUGUAGUUCGUGCAUUAAUUCAAUUAAGGUCAUAUCUUUAUUGUUUAAGAUAUAGCUGACCUUAAACUCUUUGAAUGUAUCAGGUAAAGAUUCAAUCACCAUGUUAAUCUUUGAUUUAUCACCAUGAAUCUCUACCUCAUUCAAAUAGUCCAUCAUUUUGAGGACAUGAUCACGAACUUUUGUGCCCUCUUCCAUCUGAGUAUCUGAGUAUCCGUAAUACGUUUUAAUGCUGCUUCUCUGGCAAAAUGGGUAUUUUGCCCAAACAUCUGAUGAAGACUAGCCAUUAUUUCAGUGGCUGUUUCCAUGCUCCGAUGUUUCUUAUGCAGUUCCACAGAAAUCGAAGCCAAUAUAUAGCGCUUAGCCAUUUUGUUAGCUUCGCACCAUUUCUCAUAAGGCUCCCUCUGAUUUCUAUAAUCGUAUAACGAUGGUUCAGGAGGGCAAGGCUGGGUCAACACAUAUUUGCUUCCCUUAGCAGUGAGAAUAUUAAAUAGAUUGCGUUUCCAAUCUAAAUAAUUUUCGCCAGUGAGUUCAUUUUUAACAAGGAUAAAUAAUAAUGGGUUGAUGGAAGACAUUUUCUGAAAAAAAAAAAUACACAUGCAUAAAUACUUUGAAACAAUAUUCACAAUAAAUGACAAAAAUGCAAAAAACCAUAAAUGCAUUUUAAUUUAUUGUAACGAUAAUCUAGUACCGCUUUGACAAGCUAUCCGUUGGGGAAGUCAUGUCUACACUUACUAGACCCAAUUAUCCAUUGGAUUAUUUACUUUCAUGUAGAGACAUGAUAAAUAAUUAUCGUUAUCCCUUUGGACCUAAAUUUGUUAACAGAGCUUCGUUGGGAAGGUUAAUAACAAAUUUUAGUUGAGUGUAUAACCAUUGUUUCAAUCUACGUAUUUUUCAUAUCAAUAGUCACCGUUGGGGUGAACAAUCGAUUGAAAAAUAUUUCAAUUUUAUCUUUGAAGAAGUUCAUCAAAUAAAAUAUCUAAUAUAUAUACCCUCCGAAGGGAGCAUCACCGUAUCAUGAAGUCGAGGUAUAUAUAUAAUUUUAUUAUUGAACUAACAAUGGAGCCCGUGGGAAAAUUAUCUUGAAUUUUCCCUCUCCCACUCAAUAUUUUAAAAUUGGUUUUUCCUUUUUAAAACAUACAUAUUGUUAAUUGCAUGCUUCCUAUAAUAUUAUCUAGAUGAUAUCAAAUAUUAUUAAGCAUACGCAAAUUUCAAACAAUAUAAUGAAAUUCAUUAUUAAUGAAUGACAUGUAUCAUUAUGCAUAGAGUGGCACUACCUAUUCUAUAUGACAUGUUAUCAUGGCAUGUUAUCAUCCAAAACAUAACAUAUAGAAAAACAAUUAAAUAAUCUUAAUUCAUGGCUUUCCUAAUAAUGAAAAAUACAUUAACCCUAAGCCUAAUCUUCAUUGGGCUUCUUGUCAAUGUCCAUCUUCCAUAAUCUUGUCUUUGUUAAUGGACUAGGGGAAAUUGGGCUUUUAAAUUUAUAAUUGGUCCAAUUUUUAAUUUUAAAAAGAAAUAAAUAAAUAAAUAAAUAAUUUUAUUAAAAUAAAACUUUUGGACCAAAAAUAGAUUUAAUGUGUUCAAUUUUAUCUAUGCAUUAUAAUCCAUUAAACCCAAUUGAAAUUGGGCCUAAAGCUAGGAUUCACAAAGCCCAAAACUGUUUUUGGACUUAAAUGCAAAAAACUUAAACGUGUCUACCCAAAAGAAAAAAUUAUGGAGCCAUAGGGACCUCAAUGAUAAAAACCAUGAAACCCUAAAUCCAUAUUUUUCUUUCUCUCUUCCCCAGCCGCCAUCUCCAAAAACCUCCACCACUGUUCAGAUGCCAGCCGACCUCCGACGCAUCUCCGACAUCGAACCACCUGCCACCGCGUCGCCGGAAACGCAUCAAACUCGCGCGCGCUGCUGGCCACGCUGGCCCCGCGCGCUGUUUGCUGCGCGAGCAGCCUGUGCCAUCGCGUGCUGCGCGCACAAGCCACGCUUCCCGCGCGCGCUGGCUGCUGCGCGCUGCUGCUGCGUGCACGCUUGCGUUGCAGCGCGCGCUGCUGGCAGCAUGUGCUGCUGGCCGCGCGCUGCUCGCGCAGCAGCGUGUGCUGCUGGCCCCUCGUUGCUGAAAUUUCCGGCCUCGAUUGUUUGCGCUCGUUUUCCAGUGAUGAUGCUUCGGUGAUUUNNNNNNNNNNNNNNNNNNNNNNNNNNNNNNNNNNNNNNNNNNNNNNNNNNNNNNNNNNNNNNNNNNNNNNNNNNNNNNNNNNNNNNNNNNNNNNNNNNNNNNNNNNNNNNNNNNNNNNNNNNNNNNNNNNNNNNNNNNNAAGACAAACCAAAACAUGCUUUAUUCAUAUAUUAAACAAUUAAUAUAUAUCUGAAUAAAUUGUGCCACUCUAAUACAUAAAUUUCAAGAAUGAUUUCAUACGAAAUUCUUAUAUAUUAAUAUGAGAUGGCUCUGAUACCAAUUGUUGGGGAAAAAUCAGGUUUUUAAAUUUUUAUAAAACCUUUUGAAGAUCGCUCUCAUAUAAUAUAUAGAAUUCGUAUUCUAGAAAUCGUACCUUGUAAAUCUGAGUUUGCUUUUUCCGCUGAAGUGAUUUAGGCUCCUAGAUCACGAUCCGCCACCACCACUCCUGUUAGAUCACGAUCCGUCACCACCACGCUUGUUAGAUCACGAACUGUCUCCAAUGAUCUUCCAGGUUAUGACUCAGGUUCGAUCUGCACUUGACGUGUGGGCGCCUUUAUCACUACCAAAGCAACUAGCACGAGAAAAUUUUUCUCUCAAUAAUGGAGAGAAAAAUCUUAUUCUCUGAUUUGUAUAAAGUGGCUUCUCCCUCUCCUUUUUGGGAAAAUAAGCCUUAUAUAUCUCCCUUUAGUGAAAACCCUAGGCUCCAAGGAUUCCCCCAAAAUAAAACUCACGUUACUUUUCAUUUAAUAGGGGACCCACCAUGUAAAAUAACAUAAGGCCCCUUACACAUAAGCUUAUUAAAUGGAGCCUCCCACUAAAUGAUAUAUUUAGGCUUUUGACCCAAAUAGCUAGUUAUCUUGCUUAUUAGUCCAGCAGUGGUGCAAUCAAUUAAAUGAGCUAACCCGGGGAUCAUUUGGGAACAUACAAUAGUGGCUACAAUAAUUAGGCCUGUAAUUAAACUAGCCCAAUUAUUUAAUUCCAAAUCUACUCCACUAAAAGAUUGGAACUGACUUCCAUAAUUGUAUGCUCGAAUAAUAAUUCGUCCCAAGCCACAUUGAUUUCUUUACUGCACAAUCCUUUGUACCACAUCGUUAAUUAAAUUGAUAUCUCAACUGUCCAAUCAAUUUAAUAACAUCUUAUUCCUUGAUCCUUACUGGUUUUCUCUAAUGAUCAUUUUCAACAUACUAAAUAUGUUGACACACUCUGGCCAGAGAAUUCUAUGAUCAAGUACCGAAAACCUAUCAAGAGAUGUGUUGUACAAAUUCUAUAUUGUUAAUCCAUAACUCCAAUACUCAUAAUUGCUCCCACCAAGAUACCGGGUAAUCUUGACCACAAGGAUGUGUCGUGCCCAUUGGUAACUCAAAUGAAAUAACAAUCACAAUCAUGAAAUCAUAAUUAACUCAAGAUUAAGAUUACAGUAAAAUCAACGCCUAUGAGAUUUAAUAAGUCUGACAGUUAUUACAAAGUUAAUUAAAUUUCAUAUGUGAUCCUGUUCAAUGUAGUCGUACUACAUCAAUAAAUUCAUACAUGAUUAAGACAAAUCAUUCAAUGAAUUUAUUACAGUCUAUACCUAAAUAAAGUGCCCAACUUUAUUUAUCAACUGCGAACUAAAUUUAUUUAAUCAUAAGAUAACUUGUAUUUAUGUCUUCUGUGAAUCCACAUGGUGAUCACAUAAAUACAUAUAAUAUGAUUAAAUGGACUUUAAUACAAAUAUUAAUGCAAUUAAGAUAUUUGAAUAAAAUACCUCAUUUAUUUUAUUAAUCAGAAAAUUGUUUAUUACAAUUAAAUAAACACAUAUGCUUUUAAAGAGCAUAUUUUCCCAACAGUAAAGAGUGGGGUUUCUUUCAGGUACAUAAUAAUUGAGCAGUGAUAUUCAUAUAAUGAAAAUACUUAAUUGAUUGCAAAUCAUUGCUUUGGUUAGCGUUUUUUCAGGUCUCAGUGUUUUUACAUUUUCCAUAAAAAUCAUUUUACUUCCUGAGCUUUAAGUUUCCUAUAUGAACCAUGCAUGUAAAGACUGGGGUUUCUUUCAGGUACAUAACAAUUUAGCAGUGAUAUUCAGAUAAUAAAAAUUAGACAAAACGUUUACAAAAAACAAAGUAAAUCAGUACCGGAUUAGUCACUUGAUUGUAAACCCAUUAAACAGACUAAUUUAUCGUUGUUUUUGUCAGCAUUUUAUCAGCUCUCCGUUUCUUUAGCAUUUUCCAUAAAAAUCAUUUUGUUUCCAGAACUUCAAAAUUUCCUUUAUGAACCAUGUAUAUAUGGAAAGAACAUCUUGCUUUAAUUUGCAUAUAUGCGGUUGAUGAAUCAUGGAGUGAGCAGUUCAUUGGUGGAGAAAGUGAAAGCAGAGAUUCAAGAAUUCUUUAAUCUUCCAAUUGAUGAGAAAAAGAAGUUUUGGCAGCAGCCAGGAGAUGUUGAGGGAUUUGGGCAGCUUUUUAUUACGUCUGAAGAGCAGAAGCUUGAUUGGGGAUACGGCUUUACUAUGUUCACUCUCCCAACCCAUCUGAGGAAACCCCACUUGUUCCCCAAGUUGCCUCUUCCAUUCAGGUUCUAUACUUAAAUUUUAGACUUUUCUUAUAUAGUAUAUUCUAUCUUAUGAUAAUUACUGGACUAUAUAUUAUUAUUUGCAUGCGGAGAUGACUUGGAAGUUUACUUAACGGAACUUAAAAAUCUUACCUUGAAAAUCCUUGACCUAAUGGCUAAAGCUCUAAGAAUGGAUCCCAAUGACAUGAAAGAGCUGUUUGAAAACGGGAUGCAAUCAUUAAGGAUGAAUUAUUAUCCUCCUUGUCCGCAACCAGAGCAAGUUCUCGGCUUUAAGCCUCAUUCUGAUGGCUCCAUACUCACCAUCCUCCUCCAAAUCAAUGAGAUGGAUGGUCUCCAAAUUAAGAAAGAUGGAAAAUGGUUUGCUGUUAAACCCCUUCCUGAUGCCUUAAUAGUCAACGUUGGUGACGUUUUAGAGGUUAACACUUGUCUUUCUCUACGGCCUAUGAUAAGUAAGGCUAUGUCUCUCCGUAGUUUGUAUCUCUAGUAAGAGCAGUGGUAGGUGUAGAGAAGCACGAGAGAAAGAAGAGAGAAUUUUGUCCUCUCUCUCUCUACCCACUCACUUUCUCUCUACCAUUUUAUUCUUUAUUUCUCUCGUUUUUCUCUCGUGUUUUUCUUCACCAAGCAUUUUUCCCUCUAAUAAUGUUACGUGACAUCUGACGUGUCUUUUAUUAGUAAGUAGAGUAGAAUUAUUGUAUAAUUUGUAUUAAUAAUAGAAAAUAAAGUCAACUAAAUGCGAAUCUAGAAAUAAUUGGUGACGCGUCGCUUGCAAUAAAAACUAAGUUAAUUGUUAGCAUAGGAUAUAUAGUUGAUGACUAGUUUCAUCUAAUUUCUUCCUCUUCUUGAUUAUACUCGUUAAUUUUUUUUUUUUUUUGGUUCAAUUUAUGAUCCUGCAGAUUUUUAGCAAUGGAACUUAUCGUAAUAUUGAACAUCGUGCACUGUAAACUCAAUGAAGGAAAGGUUAUCUUUUGGUACAUUUUACAGUCCAAAAUCAGAUGGAGAAUUGGGUCCAGCACUGAGUCUUAUUACUCCAAAGACUCCAGCAUUAUUUAAGAGGAUAAGUGUGGUAGAUCACUUGAAAAGAUUCUUUUCAAGCGAGCUGCGUGGAAAGUCAUUUAUUGAUUUCUUGAGGAUUCAAAAUUAGGCGGUUAAAAGUUGUUGAUUGUUUUGAAUUACAUGAUAAGAUUAUAUGGAGUCCAUACCAAUAAAAUGAGUGAAUUAAUUAUUAAGUUGUGAACUUUUAAUUUUAUUACACACACACAUAUAUGUUUACCUUAAAUUUUAUUGAAUAUUGAUAAAUUAAAAAAUAAAGUCGUGAAACACAUACUCAGUGAUGAUCUUGCAGGAAUGAUAUUUGCAGUAUUAGAGAAUUAUUGAUGGAAUAGAAAAACAAAAGAAGAAGAAUUGGGGUAGAAAGCGUGCAUGAAGAAAUAAAUGAAUAAAAAUAAUAGUGAUCUUGAAUUUUUUAUUUUAUUUUUUAAUUAAUUAAGAAUAAUUUUGAUUUUAUGUAAGAAUAUAUUUAAAAUUGUAUUAAGUAUAACAUUUGUUCUCAAAAUUAGAUUUACCAAUACUUUUAAAAAAAUUACCAAACAAAACUUAAAUUUUGAUAUUUUAAAAUUAUUUUUAAGUCAAAAUAGUAAUCCCAAAUGAGUGCUUAUUCAAUUACUUGGAUAAAACAAAAAUGAAUUUAAAUUUAAAGGACUUAAAUUAAUAAUGCAUUUUGAAAAGCCAUGGUCCUCUUCUAAAUUUCGUGAUUUCUACCAACGAUGCGGACCGAUCAACAAUAAAAUAUCCCAAUAGUUUCGUAAGUUUUAUGAUUGGGCACGUGAACUUGAUAGGCGCAAUUGUCUAUUUUUUUUCAUUGUUUUAUAUUUGUCUAUAUCUAAUUUGCUGUUUUACGACGUAACACUCGUGGAGGAAAAAACCCAAACAAAAUCGAGUACACAAGUUUGUGUGGUCAGCCUGGUUUUAUAUUUCAAAAUGCCAAUCUAGUGGGAUUAGUACCAAUCUAAAGCUAAACCACACAAUGUGACACUACAUGGAUAAGACUAGUAUUCCACUGUGAAAUCUAUAAUGGCAUUAGGAUAUGAUACAAGUGAUAGUAGGAUUAUUUUGGGUAAGACUCAUUUUCUUAGUAAAGAAUUAAAUUGGGUGAGAUGUAAGAUAUAAAUGGAGGAUUAUUUUGGUAUUUAAAAGAAUGUGCUCAGUAAAAUCAAUUUUUAAAAUUUAUUAAAUGAGAAUGAGAGUACAGAAUAAAGUGGUAUUCAAAGUAAAAUCUAGAUUGCAAAUAGCCCAACAUUAAGUUGGCGUUCUUUUUUUUUUUUUUCUUUUAUCUUAAAUCUGAAAGAGGUAUGAAUGUUGCUAAAGUUUGAAAGGGUCUGAAUGCCUAUGUCAAAAUAAUAUAUAUAUAUUUUUUUUUGACAUCUAGGUGUAAGUGGUAAGUUGUUUGUACUUAUUAAACUCAAAACAUUUUAAAUCUAAUAUUUUUACACUGAUGACCUUGAAAGUGUUAUAUAUACUUGAAGCUUAAACAUAUAUAUAUUUAUGGUGUUUUCUAGUACAAUAGUUUUUAUAUGUUAUAAAUAUUUACAAGGGAAGUAACUCAUAUAUAAUUUAUGAAAAAUAAUUUUGAUAACAUUAAUUUUUACAAUUUAACAUAAUAUUUAUACAUAAAAAAGAUGUUAUCUAAUUAUAAAAAAAAAUUAAAUUCAAAAUGAAUUUAUGUUAAAUACUUGAUACGAAGUAAAAUUUGAUAUCAAGAAAAUUUGUGAUAUGACAUCUAAUAGGUAAGUAGAAAAUAAAUACAUCUAAUGAGGGUAUUUGGGAGAAAAAAAGUUGAGUUUCCAUUCAAACAUUUUAUUAAUUCAGAUAAAAGUGAAAUUUUACUUUUUUUAUUCAGAUAAAAAUGUCUAACAAUAAAACUUUCAGAGACAAAGGCAAACAAGCCAAAAUAUCAAAAUAUCUUAAAUUAAGCCCAAUUAAGACUUUAGAUAUAAAAACAAAUAAACCCUAACAUUAUUUCAAUUGUCUUAAUGUUGAAUGGUGUACCCUUUAAUAAAUGGAAUGGGAUCUUCUCUUGAUCUAAACUAGGGCUGGAUAUAAAUCGAGUUUGGAUCAACCCGAUCUAAUUUUUGGAUUGAAUCGAAUUAAACCAAUUUGAAUAUAUUCAAAUCAAAUUGAAUAAAAAAUUCGGGUAAAAAAUUUAGGUCAAUUGGAUGAUUAAUCGAAUUUUACCUAAUAUAUCAUAUCAAAUUUUGCCGAUCAAAGAAAAGAAUUGUUGGAAAAAAAUUAAACUCAAACCCCGUCCAAAUAUUUAUGGUACAACGAGAAGAAAUUAAUACAAUAUCUUAGGGAUAAAUUAAAUCUUUUAGGUUUCUUACAAGGCAAACCAUUUAGCGGUGGAGAGCUGCAGAUCGGAGUGCCAGCAGCAGUCGUGGUACAUGACAGCAGAAUGCGUAGGCAAGUUACGGAUCGCAUUAGGGCUGCUUUGCUCUGCCAUGACUGCCGUCUGCCAUGCUAUGUUUGGUGAGUGCCGCCGGCUGCCACUGCGUAUGUGACUAUGUGUGGUGUGCUGCCCCUAUGUUGUGUUGUGUGUGUGAAGUGCCAUUGUGCUCUGUGUGUGAAAAGGAUACCACGAUGUUCGCUUGUUUGUACUUUGUGCUUGUAAAUUGAAAUGAUCAAUUAGGUUAGCUCAUUUUUUCCUUUUUUUUGUAAGGGACCAACCCGAUUGGAUUUUCAGAGUGGAUUGGGUUUAAUCCAAUCCGAUCACGAUCUAAUCGGGUUUGUUUCUACCACCGAUUGGAUUAGGUUAAUAAUUCGAUCCGAACUGAACCCGAUAUUUUUUGGAUUAGUUGGGUCGAAUCGGAUUAUUUAUCUAGCCCUAAUCUAAACUUUACUGAAGCUUUAAAGAUCUCCAGUCAUAUAUCAUUUAGUGAUAGUGUAAAGAUAAAAUUUAACUUCUUUAUUUUUUUAAUUCAUUAUCUACUAAUCAACACCUAAAUUAUUUGCUCUACAUAUGAUCAUAUCAAGACAGAAGUCAGGAUCCUCUUGAAUUUUUAUAACAAAAUUAUUAUUUUAUUACACCUAAGUGGAUUACAGUACAUCCAAAGGACUAUUUAUAUAUGAGUUUCUUGUUAAACACAAACCAGCUGAGUCUGCAGGAGAGGGAAGAAGAAAAGAAAGAAAUAGCUAGAAAUCAGAUAAUCGAAAUCUAUAUAAUAUGGAGGCAGAAGCGACGGAUAUUAGGAGUUCUCUCGUGGAGCCUUCGAUUCUGGAGCUGGCACAUAAUAAGCCACUCAUCACAAUUCCUCCACGUUAUGUUCGCCCUGAGAUGGACCAUCCGUUGAUUCGCACCGACGAUUCUUCAGCACAACAACUUCCAGUCAUUGAUAUGCACAAGUUGCUCUCUGGAGAUGACUCAGAGCUUGAGAAGCUUGACCGUGCAUGUAAAGAGUGGGGUUUCUGUCAGGUACAUAACAAUUUAGGAGUGAUAUUCAGAUAAUAAAAAUUAGACAAAACGUUGACAAAAAGGAAGUAAAUCGGUACCGGAUUAGUCACUUGAUUGUAAACACAGUAAACAGAGACUAAUUUAUCGUUGUUUUUGUUCGCAUUUUAUCAGCUCUCCGUUUCUUUGGCUUUUUCCAUAAAAAUCAUUUUGUUUCCUGCACUUCAGAAUUUCCUUUAUGAACCAUGUAUAUAUGGAAAGGACAUCUUGCUUUAAUUUGCAUACAUGCAGUUGAUGAAUCAUGGAGUGAGCAGUUCAUUGGUGGAGAAAGUGAAAGCAGAGAUUCAAGACUUCUUUAAUCUUCCAAUAGAUGAGAAAAAGAAGUUUUGGCAACAGCCAGGAGAUAUUGAGGGAUUUGGGCAGCUCUUUAUUACGUCUGAAGAGCAGAAACUUGAUUGGGGAUACGGCUUUACUUUGACCACAUUCCCAACUCAUCUGAGGAAACCCCACUUGUUCCCCAAGUUGCCUCUUCCAUUCAGGUUCUAUAUUUGAAGCGUAGAGUUUUGCUAUAUAGUAUAUUCUAUCUUAUGAUAAUUACUGGACUGUAUAUCGUAAUUUGCAUGCAGAGAUGACUUGGAAGUUUACUUGACAGAACUUAAAAAUCUUGCCCUGAAAAUCCUUGACCAAAUGGCUAAAGCUCUAAGAAUGGAUCCCAAUGACAUGAAAGAGUUGUUUGAAAACGGGAUGCAAUUAUUAAGGAUGAAUUAUUAUCCUCCUUGUCCGCAACCAGAACAAGUUGUCGGCCAUAAUUCUCAUUGUGAUGCCGCCGCACUCACCGUCCUCCUCCAAGUCAAUGAGAUGGAUGGUCUCCAAAUUAAGAAAGAUGGAAAAUGGGUUGCUGUUAAACCCCUCCCGGAUGCCUUUGUAGUAAAUAUUGGCGACGCAUUAGAGGUAAUACUUGUCAUUUUCUAUAGCCUAUGAUGACUAAUGCUAUAUUUUUUGUAUCUCUAGUAAUGUCAUGUGAUAUGUGACGUGUCUUUCAUUGUAAGUGGAGUAUAAUUAUUGUAUAAUUUGUGUUAAUGAUGGAAAAUAAAGUCAACUAACACCGAAUUCAUUAAAAAAAAAAAGGGGUUGGGACACCUUGCUUGCGAUAAAAAUUAUGUUGUUAGCAUGGGAUAUGUAGAUGAUAAUUGGUUUCAUCUAUUUAUUUAUGUUCUUUUUAUAUUUUUUACUUUAUGAUCUUGUAGAUUUUUACCAAUGGAACUUAUCGUAGUAUCGAACAUCGUGCGACUGUAAACUCAGUAAAGGAAAGGUUAUCUUUUGCUACAUUUUACAAUCCGAAAUUAGAUGGAGAAUUGGGUCCAGCACCAAGUCUUAUUACUCCGAAGACUCCAGCAUUGUUUAAAAAAAUAAAUGUGGUAGAUUACUUCAAAAGGUUUUUUUCAACUGAGCUGCGUGGAAAGUCUUUUAUUGAUUUCUUGAAGAUUCAAGACCAGGGCACUUAAAAGUUGUUGAUUGCUACCAGUUACAUGACGAGAUUACACGGAGUCCAUUCUGAUAAAAUAAGUCAAUUAAGUUGUGAACUUAUUCUGUUGGAUUGUGUUUAGACUUGCUGGGCUGUGUAUACUCCAAUGGAUAAACUUAAAUAAGUCUACGGAGUUGUGUAACUUCUAUUUGUGUGUGAAUUAUAACUUGUAGAAAAGUUAAAAUAAAAUUACAUAAUAAAUUAUGUGUAUAUUCUAUGUUUCUUUGUCGAUUUAUAUAUAUCUGCAGUUUCAAUUGUUGUCCUAGGACCUGAUUUGAACCUACAAUUGAGAUUGGCGUAUUUUCAACAAAUUUGACUUCCUUCUAUUGGGCAUGAAAAUUAAUUUGUUUGCCUGGAAGGUUUAAAAGAUGACAGUUUUCAAUUUCUUUUGGAAAGAUGAUGUUUAUGAUGGUCCCUUUAAAAUCAUAUUAAUUGUAUAACACAUGGUGCUAUUUCAUGGAAAAAGUUUAUAAUAUUUUUCUUCCACUCACUGUGGUCUAUUUUUUCGUUCACUUUAUAUGGAAAAAUUAUAUCAAACAUCCAACAUUGUUUAAAAAAUAGUAAAAGUAAAUUGAUGAAGAAAUAUUAGACAAAAGUAAAAAGUUAUAAAAAGACUGUUAUUUUUUUUUAAUAAGACAACAUAGUGCUUUUUCAUAAAAAAAACUUUGUAUGUCUCCUUUAUAUAGAGAAACACUUUAUGAACCUUUUUUUUAAUUUGAAUUAGCUAUUCAUGUAUCGCAUAAUUUAAUUUAAGAUUUAGUUUAUUCAACUAUAAAUUGUAAUUAAAUAUAACGUAUGACUAAUUUCAAAUCAAAUGCAAAGAAAAUUGCUCCCACUUUUCUUGAAUGUGAGACAUUAGUAUUUUAAAAUGUCAAUAAAAAAUAAGAGAUUUCUUAUAUAAUUAUAUAAGUUACAUCGAUCAUAGAGUUGCACUAGAUAAGCACAGACUUUGUGUAAUUCUAUAAUUGAUAUAACUUAGAUCAUUAAGUAAGGGAUCAAGAUCCAACAAAAUUCCAAAAAACAAGUCAGGCCACGUGCAAACCUAAUGUAUAUAUCCUUUAUGCUGAAUAAUCUUGCUCAAGCAGUGUGGUCAGACAUCCACAUUUGAAAAAUGCUUAAGCGUGCAUUGACUUUACAUCUUAUAUCAACAAAAAUUGACAAAAAUAAUACAUGUAAUUGGCUUUUCCAACACGUGAUUUUUUUUAAAUAUUAUUAUUAAAGAGUAAAAUAUAAAUAUUGAUAAAUGUUGAAGAUAUUAUUACACAUUAGUUGAGAAUAUUUAUUAGGUUAAUAUUACUUAGAUCAUUAUGUACGGGAUCAAGAUCCAACAAAAUUCCAAAAAAUAAGUCAGGCCACGUGCAAACCUAUUCUCCAAAAAACAAGUCAGACCACGUGCAAACCUAAUCUCCAAAAAACAAGUCAGGCCACGUGCAAACCUAAUGUGUAUAUAUAUAUUUUUUUUUCUUAUCCACAAGGUAUUUUGGGGAGAGUCCCAACCGUGGGAAGCACCUUUAAGCCCGUACCACAACCUAGAUUAGAAAUCCCCACUCGAACCGGGAGGCACAAGUUUUCCCAACAAAGGUAAUUUCCCUGCGACUCGAACUGAGGAGCAAAUCCAGUCAAGCCACUUAAGGGGACUCCAUUGCCAGUGGAGCCAACACUUUGUUGGUUAAUGUAUAUAUCCUUUAUGCUGAAUAAUUUUGCUCACGCAGUGCGGUCAGACGUCCAAAUUUGAAAAAUGCUUAAGCGUUUUAAACACAAGUUACACAACUCCAGUCUCCAGCGACGCAAGUUACACAAAAUCAACGAAUAAAUAAAAAAUUAAACACAAGUUACACAACUCCAGCGACGCGACAGCGGGCUACCGACGACACGAGCAAGACCGGAUGGACUAAGACAGGCUGGCUGCGCCGACGACGACAGGCUGACACAAGCGCGAUGGCGACGAUGACGGCGACAGGCUGGCUGAUAAGGGACAGUGGUGGAUGGAAUGUGUGUAUUGGCGAGAGUGAGACAGAUGGUGAGGGGGUGUGUGUGUGUGUCGGCUAGUAAUUAGUAUGAUAGAGAGAGAUGGUGGAUGUGUCAUGUGUGCAUGAUUUUAAUGUUUAGAAUUAUUUUAUUUAUUCAUAAAACCGAAAUUAAAUCUAAUUAACAUAAAUUUUGGUUCGGCUCAGUUUGGAAAACCGAAUCGAACCCACCCCAAAUCAGAAUUAAAAUCCAUCCGAAAAAAAUAAUAAAUUAAUAAACUCUUCUUCACUUUAGGGGUGUUCAAAAUCCAAUCUGAUUUAUGGAUUGAUGGAUUGGAUUGAAUUAAUAAUUCAAAAAUUCACAGUCAAUGGAUGUAUAUAUGUUUACUUCUAUAAAUUCGUAAAAAUCUACGAAUUCGCAAAAAAAUAAAAUAAAAAUUAUUUAAUUAAAAAAUUAAACUUGUAAAUGUGGCAUUACUACUUACUAAUAACAAAAUAAGUUUAAAAUGUAGUUACAUCAAUAGCAUAUUAUGUAUUAUCCAUGAUAAUAUAAAAUAAAAAAUAAUUAAAUAAGCAAAUAUAACUUCCUAAACAGUUAGUUUUCAUAAUUUUAGUUAAUUUUUAUGUAUUAAUCUAAACAAAUGAGAUUUUUUUCUUUUUGUUGCGAUAUAUUUAAAACUUUGAACGUAUUAUUCUGGCUUUAUUUAAAUAAUUAAUUUAUUUAAAUCUUAUUCAAUUUUAAAUUUGACAGAAUUAAAAAUUCUUAACCUACAAACUAACCCAUAAAAUGGUGAAUUGGAUAUGAAUUAGGUUAAAUUUGCAUCCGAUUUACUGACAUAUAGAUUGGAUUUUAUUUGAAUUUUAUCAAUCUGUGGAUUAAAUUAGAUUAACAAUUUAUAAUCCAUAAAAUUAUAAAUCUAAUCCAAUCCAUAAAAUUUAAUCCGCGAAUACCACUACUUCACUUCCGUCAAGGAGUUGGUGCCUUUACCAAGUCGUAGGUAUUUAGUUAUCUAUUUGAUCAAUUAAUGUAUAAAAUAUCUUCUUUACUAUUUAAAGCAAUAUUUUUCAAAUGACUCUACUUGAAUAAUUGAGAACUCUGUGUAGUCUUGUUUAAUCACAAGAGUUUGGAGAAGAAAGAAGGGUAAUUAGUCAAAAACGAUGGCAGCAAAAGCAACAACGAUAGCAAGUUCUCCCGCGGAGCCUUCGAUUAAGGAGCAGGCAGUGAAGCCAAUGAUGACUAAAGUUCCACCACGAUAUGUUCGCCGUGAUGUAAAAGGUGUAAUGAUUUGCAACGACGACAAUUCUUCAACAGAACAACUUCCGGUCAUCGACCAGCAGAAAUUGCUCUUUGGAUAUGAUUCAGAGCUUGAGAAGUUUGAUCUUGAAUGCAGAGAGUGGGGUUUCUUGAUAAUUAUUGGUUAAUUUGUUAAUUAACUUUUUUUAUGGAUAAAUUAAUUAAUGCUCUCAAGAUUGUAGCAUGGGUAUUAUUACUAUAAUGGCAAGGAAAAAUAUGGGCAAAAUGUCACAUAUUUAAUAGUAAAAAUAUCUUGAGGUGUUUUUAAAAAAUAUAGAGACUAAAUAGACACUUAAUUUAAAAUAUAAGGAUUGAACGAACAUUUAUUUAUUGAGAAUUAUUGAUGGAAUUGAAAAUAAAUAGGAAAAGAAUUGGAGUGAAGAUACGUGAAGAAAAAAAUAAAUCAAAAUAAUAAUGAACUUAAAUUUUCUGAUUUUAUUUGUUAAGCAAUUAAAGAUAAUUUUGGUUUUAUGUAAAAUAUGUAAAGAUAUAUAUAAAAUUGUAUUAAGUAUAAAAUUAAUUUUUAAAAUCAAAUUUUUGAAAUGCAAGUUAUGCAACCCAAGAGGGGGGUGAAUUGAGAUUUUAAAAAUUAUGCUAAACAAUUCGCACAAUAAUUUAAUCUAUCGUCUUAAUCAAAUAAAUAAUAAUAAGUUGAAUAAUGCACAAUAAUAAAAGAGUAAGGGAAGAGAGAGCAAAUACAAUAAUUUUUACGUGGUUCGGCAAUCCCCGCCUACGUCCACGCCUCCACGCAAGCCAAACUCGAGAAUUUCACUAUCCAAGCCUCCUAAGGCUUCAAGUUCUUUACAAUUGACUUUCAAGGUGUCAAUAAACCUUUACAACUAAGAAAUUACCUCACAGUCUCUUCACUCAAGUGUUUCUCACACUUAUACUCUCACAAAUUUGAUGAGAAAAUAAUUAUUACAACAAAUAACUCUCUUUUAGAGUGGAUAUGCAAAUAAUAGCACAAUAAAGAUUUAAUCUACGAUGAUUUACAAAUUGAAAGCUCAAAGUAUGUUGUUUAAACUUGUUUGUGCUUGCUAGAGCCUCUAAAAUGAAUUUGGAGUUGAUUUUUUAUAGGUAAAGCCCAAAAACUAGCCGUCAUAAGUAAAUUCUCACAAUCAAGCGGUUAGCCGCUUGAUUUAUCCAGCUAGCCACCCAGAACAAUGAUGUUACCGUUAAAUUUGAAUUUUGCUACAGUAAUACUGUUAACAAAAUUAGAUUUUUGCCCAAAACUUUUUGUAACUACACUAUGGCCCACAAUGUCAUUAAACUUUGCAAACAUGUCUAAUUUCAGAAUUUCUAAAUAAUAAUUAUCAUUCCCAAGACUUUUUGAAAUUAUGAUACGGCCCCAAGUAUAAUAGUAUUUUUUAAAGAAGUCCUUUUUAAAAUUUAGUAUAUUACCCAUUUUAAAGUUCUCAAAACCUUUCACUUUAGUCUAAAAUUUGAAAAUAUGAGAUUUUCCUCGGGCUGCAAGCCACUAGCCUCCUCAGGCGGUUAGCCGCUCACUCUCUAUCCAAUUUUGGAUUUCAAAUGUUUGGAUUACAUUCGGAUCCUCAAACUUUUAUAAAUUAUAGUAUGACCCAAAACAUUUCAAAUAUUUGCAAAAAGGUCCAACACCGGAAUUCAAAAUAAUACUUAUUAAAUUCAAAGAUUGUAAAACUUUUCAUUUAAGUCAAAAUUACUCAAAUCCACAAAAUACUCUAUCUUAUAAAAAUAAAACCUUUUAGUUUAUGAAAAGUAAUUAUUUAAAUUAAUCUCUUGAGUUUCUCAAAUGCUAAAUCAUGCAUCAAUUAAAUCAUAUCGGCUUAACAAAAAUUUAUCGCAAUAAUUUAUCCGUUGAGCUCUAAACUUUAUUCUUGAUUUCGCCGUUGUCCGUUGAGUGUCUUCAACUUGAUUUCACUUGAUUUACUUACAUAAAUAUUAUCCUUAAAAAACUAGUGAAAAUGUGAAAUACAAUAUUUAUUAAAUCACUUAAGACACAUGUUUGUUAUCAUCAAAAUUACAUUAUGUAUAGUCCUUUAGGCUAACAGUUUUAUCAAGAUUGAUUUUAAAAAAAUUACUAAAUACUUUAGAUUUUAACCUUUUAAAAUUACUUUAGAGUCUCAAUAGUAAUCGUAAAUGAGCCCUUAGUCAAGAUGAAACAAAAAUAAAUUUAAAUUAAUGAUGCAUUUUAAAAAGUCAUGGUCCCCUCUAAAUUUCGUAAUUUCUACCAAUGACACGGACCGAUCAACAAAAAAAUAUCCCAAUAAUUUCAUAACUUCUAGUUUGGGGACGAGAACUUCAUAGCUACAGUGGUCCAUUUUGUCAUUGUUGUCUAUGUGUCUAUCUAUAUCUAAUUUACCAUUUUACAACGAAACAGUAUUUGGAAAAAAAAAACGUGUACAUAAAUUUGUGUGGUCAGCCUGGUUUUACGUUUCAAAAUGGCAAUUCAGUGAGAUUAUUUAAAAUUUAACCACACAAUGUGAGAGACUACAUGGAUAAGAAUACUAUUUUAUUGUAAAAUCUUUCAUGAUUAGCAGCUACACAAGUCAUAAUCAAAGGAAUAUUUGACACCAUUUAACACACACUCAAAUUCAAUAAUCUUAUUUAAACCCGAUAACUUUCUUGAAUAACAAAUCUAAAUCAUCAAUUGUAAAAGAAAAUAUUAAAGGUUUAAUAAGUACCCACAAGUUACCAGCUACAGAAAUUGAAAAUAAAAAAUUGUUUAUGCAGAAAAAAUAAGUAACAUUAAAAAAUAAUGUUACUUAAUUUUAAAAAAAUAAAAAUGUAAAUUCGAAAAAAAAUGAAAAAACCAGCUGCAUAUUGUUGGUGCUUGAAAAUGCCAAUUAGAAAUACAAAUUGGACUCUAACUAGUCUGCAACUCUCUAGUAAAAUUUAAUCAGUUAUCAAUUAUAUUAUAUUAUAUACAAUAUAGUUAUAUAGAAUGAAGUUUUUUUUCUUAAUACAAAAAUAAAAUUGGAUAAAUGAUGGUAAGAUAUAAAUAGAGAGGUUUUUUAGUAUUUAAAAGAAUAUACAAGAGUGAAUAUUAAUUUUUAAAAUUUAUUAAAUAAGUGCGCAAAAUAAAUAAAUCAGCACUUUAAUUAUUUGCACAGAUUAUAAAAAUUCUAAUACCCAAAGUAUGGACAGUUGUCAGGAUUCUCUCAAAUUUUAUAAUAAAAUUAAUAUUUUAUUACACCCAACUAGAGUAUAGUUCAUCCAGAGUAGUAUUUAUUUAAGAGUUUCUUGUUAAAACACAAACCAGAUGAGUCUGCAGGCGAGAGGAGGAAAAACAAAAAGGUAAUAGCUAGAAAUCAGAUAAUCUAAACCUAUAUAAUAUGGAGGCAAAAGCAACAGUUAUUGCGAGUUCUCUCGUGGAGCCUUCGAUUCUGGAGCUCGCAAAUAAUUAGCCACUGACCACUGUUCCUCCACGUUAUGUCCGCCCUGAGAUAGACCAUCCCUUGAUUCGCAACGACGAAUCUUCAGCAGAACAACUUCCAGUCAUCGACAUGCACAAGCUGGUCUCUGGGGAUGACUCAGAGCUUGAGAAGCUUGACCGUGCAUGCAAAGACUGGGGUUUCUUUCAGGUACAUAAUAAUUGAGCAGCGAUAUUCAGACAAUAGAAUUGGUCAAAAUGUUGACUGAAAGAAGGUAAGUUGGUGUCGAUUUACUCACUUGAUGGGAAACGCAGUAAACCGACACUAGUAUAUCGUUGUUUUUGUUAGCGUUUUGAUUAUCAGUUUCUUUAGUAGUUUUCCCUCAACUUUAAAUUUCCUACAUGAACCAUUUACGGAAAGAACAUCUUGAUUUUAUUUGCAUAUAUGCAGUUGAUAAAUCAUGGAGUGAGAUGUUCAUUGGUGGAGAAAGUGAAAGCAGAGACUCUAGACUUCUUUGAUCUGCCAAUUGAUGAGAAAAGGAAGUUUUGGCAACAACCAGGAGAUAUUGAGGGAUUUGGGCAGCUCUUUAUUGCGUCUGAAGAGCAGAAGCUUGAUUGGGGAUACGGCUUUACUUUGUUCACUCUCCCAACUUAUCUGAGGAAACUCCACUUGUUGCCCAAGUUGCCUCUUCCAUUCAGGUUCUAUGUUUUUUUGUUCGUUUAAGAUCCGAAGGCAAAUCAAAGCGAAGAUUUUUGUCAUAUAGUAUAUUCCAUCCAAUAAUAAUUACUGGAAUAUAUAUUGUUUUUUGCAUGCAGAGAUGACUUGGAAGUUUACUUAUCAGAACUGAAAAAUCUUGCCCUGAAAAUCCUUGAUCAAAUGGCUAAAGCUCUAAGAAUGGAUCCUAAUGAUAUGAAAGAGUUGUUUGGAAACGGGGUACAAUAAUUAAGGAUGAAUUAUUAUCCUCCUUGUCCGCAACCAGAGCAAGUUAUCGGCAUUAAUUCCCAUUGUGAUGCCUCCGCACUUACCAUCCUCCUCCCAAUCAAUCAGAUGGAUGGUCUCCAAAUAAAGAAAGAUGGAAAAUUGGUUGCUGUUAGACCCCUUCCAGAUGCCUUUAUAGUCAACAUUGGAGACAUUUUAGAGGUAACACUUAUCAUUUGCUAUAGCCUAUAACCACUGAUAAGCAACGUACAUCUUUACAGAGUUUGUAUGUCUGGUAAUGUGACAUAUGACGUGUAAUUUAUUGAUAAGUAGAGUAGGACUAUCGUAUUAAUGAUUAAAAAAAAUAUAGUUAACUAACACCAAAUUCAUAACAAGAAAUUAUUAGUGACAUGUCGCUUGCAAUACAAGCUAUGUUGUUAGCAUAGAAUAUAUAGUUAUCUAGUUUCAUCAAUCUAUUUUUCUCCUCUUUUUACACUUUCUAACUCAUUUUUUUUUCAUUUACUUCAUGAUCUUGUAGGUUUUUACCAAUGGAAUUUACCGUAGUAUGGAACAUCGUGCAACUGUGAACUCAAUGAAGAAAAAAUUAUCUUUUGCUACAUUUUAUGGUGCAAAAUUAGAUGGAGAAUUGGGUCCAGCACCAAGUCUUAUUACUCGAGAGACACCAACAUUAUUUAAGAGGAUAAGUGUGGUAGAUCACUUUAAAAGAUUUUUUUCAAGAGCUACGUGGAAAAUCAUUUUUUGAUUUCUUGAGAAUUCAAAACCACGGUAAUUAAAAGUUGCACUUCCAGUUACAUGAGGAGAUUAUAUGGAGUCAGUUCUGAUAAAAUAAAUCAAAUUAAGUUGUGAACUUAUGAACUCUGUUGGGAUUUGGAUUGUGUUUAGUCUGUGUGUAAAUUAUAACUAGUAGGAAAAUGAUAUAUGCUGCAGCCUUUGAUUGUCUGCAGUAUAUAUUCUGCAAUAUGUAAUAUGAGGAAAUGCUCAAAUAAGACCAAGACAGGAGUAGCUAUUAGUUGAUAAACUCUGCAUAAGUUGGUGGCUGACAUUUAGUGAUUAUUCAGUUGCUAUUUUCUCCUUUUUUUUCUUUUUUUCUUUUUUUUUUAUUGAAGUCACCCGGUAUUCAUAGACUGCAUUGGGUCCCGACUAAUCCGGAUUCGGACCGGAAGAUACGGGUCCUCCCAACAAGGGCGACUUCCCUACGACUCGAACUGGGGAGCACACCCAGUCGAGCCACUAAAGGGGGAUCAGUUGCCAAUUGAUCCAACGCCUCGUUGGUUUCUUUUGAUUGUUAGUUCCUAUUUCUAAGCAACUAAAUUGCUUAGUAGUACUGUCGGGUCUAUAACUGACCAAGAUUUUCCUUUAUAAAGGCAGCAAAUUAUACAAACACUACUCCCUUCUCUAAACUUCUUCCUUCACCUUAUCCGCUUCUGGUUCUUAUUAAUUUGUAUCAGAGGACUAUUCCGAUAAUGGACACCCGUGGCAAAACCAAUGCUGAAUUUUGCAAUGAAAUUAACGAGAUUCCAGCCCUACUCGAUUCUAGCUUUCAUGAAGUUAAUGCUACUCUACAAACAGGUUUCACAGAGGUUCAAUACUUGUGGGUUUCCCACAGCUCAAACACCACCAACACCAAAAUCAAUCCAUUUGCUCCUGGAGAAUCAUCACACCAACCAGCUGAACUAAACAUCUUCUGUUCUAGCUCUUUUCUGGACCAAAAUCACCAUCACCUCAAGCUCUUCUUUCUCAAGUUUUGGAGGAGAAGAUCCCACAAGAUGGAUUUACAAAGCGAAAUAAUAUUUUGAUUUUAAGGAUAUUGCUUCAGACCAGCUUGCCUCUCUCCAUCUUUGAAGGUAACUAAAUUUAAGGGACCAUUAACUUGGAGUGAAUUCACACAAACCAUGCUCCAACGAUUUGAACCAACAGAUUAUGAAGAUCCAUCUAAAACUCUAAUUGUAACACCUAAAAUCUAACACGUGCAGAGCACGUGGUAAAAGAGGUCACUCAUAAAUUAAAAUCCUUACACAAAAAUCUUAAACUGAAAUACCUCAAAUUUUAUUCAAAUAAAUCCACGAAUCCACAUGUCUAAUACUAAUUAUUUUCUUCCGAAAAUGUAAAUAUGACAGAAGUCUCAAAACUUCAUAAUUACAAGUUCAUAAAAUAAACAAACGUAAAGGAAAGAUGAGUUUAUCCUUAUCUUAUUCAACUAGCAAAAGUAAAUGAAUCUUUAGCUCCAAAGAUAACCAGUAAGCAUACCUCUCAACAAGGUACUUAGUAUGCAAAAAGUAAUGGCGAUGGAUGAGCUGUCAACUUAAUAAGUAAAACUAUUCCCAACACACUAAGCUUACCGGGUAACAAAAAUAUAGAAAGCCUUCUUUUUAUCAAAACAUAUGUUAUGAAUUAUAAAUUUCAUAAAACAACAUAUUAUAACAAAAUGGCAUAAAUUCAUAGAAAUUCAUAACAUCAAAAGCAUAAUUAAUCAUGGGAGCAAAUUGUAUAGUAGAUAUUCAGAAAACAAAAAGGUUAGCUCAUGUCACAUAGUGUUACCUACACUCCUUGUGACUCGGCCAGAAACAGAAUUAAAAUCAAAAUAUCGUGUACAUAUUCAAAACAAAAACCCAAUACUAGUCCAGAACAUAUACAUCGUAUAAUACGAUCAUAAUCAAAAUUAAAAUAACUACAGACAAUAAGUCAAAAUAUUUAAAUUCAUUUUCCAUACGUAAUGACUUGUAUGUGGCACUUAGUGCUAUAUGUGGCACUUUGCAGCACUCUGACCCUCGAAAGGUGGCCCCAAUAUAGUCUCAAGAGGUGGCCCGUGAACAAUGAUAAAUAAUCUUUAUCGUAUACCUGGUCAAAACAUUCUUAUCAGACUUGUAAAAAAUCAUAAUAAUGAAUUAGGCUUGCAAAAAAAAUUCCAUUAUAAUAUUUUAGAGACAAUUUCAUGAAAGAUAAUCAUUUAGCAAAAUAAAUUACAUAUUUAAAGGUAUUUAUAAUAUUAUGUUAAAACCAUAAAAAAAAAAAAAACACAAUUUUCACAUUUGAAAACAUUUACAUAAACUAAUUUCAUUAUGAAAAACAAUUAUUUUUUAAAGAACUAUGAAAGCACAUGUACUUAUAGUAGUAUCAAAAUAAUCAUACAUAUCCAAUAAAUUAGGAAUGAAGUUACUUACCUCGAUAAAAGUAAUGAUCUAAACACACCUCUAAGCAUCUAACAGCCUCAAAUACCUCCAACAUCUUAAACCGAUACAAGAUAUAACUAUUAACAACUUAUUCUAAGAACCUGAUUUUCUAAUUCAUACCCAUACAAGUCUGAUUCUUAUAAUUUUAACUCUUAAUCUAGAAAUCGGAAUGACACAAUAUUUUACAGAACUAUUCUGGACAUCGAUGGUAUCUCUCAUAAAUUUUUCAAGAGGACCCGACACCAAAAACAUUUUCAAAACUAUUUGUCUCUUGAAAAAUUCAAAACUAUCUCACAGUGCCUUAAUUAAAUAGUAUGGAUUCUGAGAUUUUUGUAAAAUUAUAUAUUAAUAAAAAAUUUAUGAAAUUAAAACUGGAAAUACUAUACAAAUAUAUUAACCUCUAUCUAAAAUUUAGAAUUUUUUGAGUUCAUUUGACACUGCAAAUAAUUUUGUGAAUUUGGUCAUUCUGCUGGAACCACAUUUUUCCAGUGCAAUAGUGUCAGUUUCGAAAAUCCAUAUAAAAUUGAAAACAAAAUCAAAUCUUAUAAAACAAAAUUUAUUCAAUAAGUCCUACAUGUAUAGUUUUCAGAAAGACAAGGUUCUUCGUAAAAAAUCGUUCAUAAAAUAUAUGUUUUACUUUGGGAUAUUCAUGCUAUCCAGAAUUGUUUAGUGUGUCUAUUGUAUCAGGGAUUAACUAACAUGACUCAACAAUAAAUUAGCGCACUAAACACAACUUAGAUACAUCCUAAAUCAUGUGUAAUGGUCUGUAACAAUCUAAAAUCAUGCCAAUAAAACCCUAAAUAGAGCAUAACGAUAGGGAAAUCAAGUGAAGAUAGAGAGAGUAAAACUUACCAAUCGUGAAUAGGCCUGGGCAAAUAACCCGAUCCGAUCCUACCCGACCCGACCCGAUCCAAAAAUAAUCGGGUUCGGAUCGGAUCGGGUUUUUAACAUAACCCGAUCGGAUUUAAUUUUGUCAACCCGAUCGGAUCGUCGUCGGAUCGGGUGAAACCCGACCCAAUUCGAAAAUCCGAUCGGAUUUGGCUAUUGAAAAAAAAUAAAAAUAAAAACACCCACACACAAAAGGGUGAAACACACAACACUGACACACUCAAACUCACUGACACACACCCACCCCCCAUCCACACACACACACUGACACACCCACCACCCACCCUCCAUCCACAAAAAAUCGCAAUAGACAACCUUUUACUCACAUUUCAGAUUUCACAGCCUCACGUUUCACUCUCUUCUUUGGUUCUUCUUCAGUUUUCACCCUUAAAUCUUCACAACCUCGCUUUCUUCUUUUUAAGUCUUCACUCUUCAGUUUUCACAAAUCGAUUUCUCACACAAUCGGGUUUCACAGAUCGGGUUUCAGUCACAAAAGCAAACCGAUGGUCACUCAAAGACGCAGCGCAAGAACUGAUGAUAAUUUGCAGACACAGCCACCGGAUCUGCGGUUCCGUCCAUCACCAAGUUUCUCGCCUCCAAGCUCCACUUCAACCCAGCAACCUGACUUCUCCAACCCGCAACCCGAGCCUUGUGUUUUGAAAUUUUGAUGGUUUUUCUUGAUGUUGUGAUUAUUAUCAUAUAUAAAUUGUAAAAUUUUAAUGUUCACCAGCUAAUGAUAAAGAAAAUCAGUGAUAAAGAAAGCUGUAAUGUAUUUUUUUUUUCCAAUGAUGGGCAUAAAUUUUUCAUUUUCCAGUCCAAACCGAUUUUAAUCCGAAUCCGAUCCGAACCGAACUCAACCCGAUUUUUUGACCCGAUCCGAAUAUAUAUUCGGAUCGGAUCGGAUCGGAUUACAAGUUCGGAUUGAAUUCGGAUGGAUUUCUGCCUAACCCGACCAACCCGAAAUCCGAUCGGGUCGAACCGAACCUGAUCCGUAUCCGAUUUUGCCCAGCCCUAAUUGUGAAGACUCUCUUUCCUAAGCAAAAGUUUGAAUCAUAGGAUGUGAGUAAAAGAGUAUUGAGCAGUAGAGAGAAUAAAAGAAAACGUUGUGGAUUUUGGGUUAUAGGAGAGGGAAAAGUAUAAAUUUAUAGGGAACUUUAAGAAACCCUAUUAACUUUGGAAAGAGUAAGUCUUUUCCAAAAUUAUCCCAUAAAUCCUAAUUAUGGACUUAAUAAUCCUUGUUAAUAAGGGCAAUAAUGUAAUUUAUGAUUUCUAAUAAAACUAAAUUUUCAUAAUUUAAAAUCAUGAACAUUUGGCAUUACACUAACUCAUUUAAAACAAACCUUAAGUGUAGAAGCUUAUUAGAAACCUUUUGAAAAACUGUCCCACCGUGUUGAUAGGUUACCUGACAAUUAUUAGUGGGUUGUUUUAUUGCAAGUCUCAAAGGCGAAAUUCACUUAGAUGUCAAGAUUAACCAGCUGCGAACCUUAACAGAUACUAUUGGUGUCGCUCAGUUCAUCGAGGAAUGUAAAAACCUGCAAAAAAAAAAAAAAGGUUCUUUUUGUCCUUCAACAAUUACAAGGGUACAAACAGCCAUGCCAAACAAUUUAACUGGUUUGUUGGGCCCUUCAGCAACUUAAAAAAUGAACCAUGGCCCUAGUAACUCACCGAUUCGCUUUCGGUGCAUCACAAGUCAAGAGGCCCAUAAAUGACGUGAGAAAGGACUUUAUUAUUAUUACGAUGAAAAAUUUUUUCCUGUCACCGUAGCCAAAGUCCCUAAUUAUUUAUGAUUGAAAUUCUUUAGAACACAACUAUAUUGAAGCUACAAAAGAUGAAGUUAAAUUGGACAUCAUUGAGUCAAUACUGAAGAUCUCGUACCAUGCAAUUACAGGCACUGAGCAUCCACAAACCAUCUACGUCUUAAGGAAAUUGAAAAAACAAGGAUAUCAUGGUAUUGAUUAAUGGCGGAAGUACCCACAACUUUAUAGAUCAAUAUGUAGUUUCCAAAUUUGGAUUGCUGGUAGUACGCGAUAUGAACUUCCAAAUCAUGACACAGAACCAUCAUCAUACUUCUAUGUACUACUAGUAUCCGCAUGGUAGGCUGUGUUAGGGGUCCAGUGGCUAGAAACCUCGGGUACCAUCAUAACUUAUUAUAGUAAGUUGACCAAGACCUUUACUUAAGAUGGAUAGGCUCACACUUAUAGAGGUAUAGGAAGACCGAAAAUUCACGGACUUGAAUGAUAAUGAAUUGUUAUGUUUAGAUGGCACUAGUUUCUUCUUUUAGAUCACUUUAGGUGAUGAACAAAUAUGGCCCCAAGAAGUAUCCUGCAGACCUCCGACCUCAACAGAAUAUGGUCAUGCCUUUAAUCUUCCUAAUGAAUUACCACUAAAGAGGUCUAUAACCACCACAUAUAGUUGCAACCAAAUCAAGGCCAAGUAAGCGUUCGUCCGUAUAGGUUCUUAUAUUAUCAAAAGACUGAAAUUGAAAAUAUAGUAAGGGAAUUACUCGAAUCUGGCAUAAUACAACAAAGCACCAGCCCUUUUUCAUCACCAGUAUUACUUGUCAAAAAAGCAGAUGGGGGUGGCGCUUUGUAUAGAUUGUCGAGUGUAGAACAACAUUACCAUUAAAUACAAGUAUCUGAUACUUAUAAUCGAUAAGCUUUUGGAUAAGUUGCACGAAGCUACAUGCUUUUCCAAGUUAGCCUUGAGAUCAAGUAUCAUCAAAUACGUGUUCAAGAAGCAAAAAAUCACAAGAUAGCAUUCAGAACCCAUGAUGGCUAUUACGGGUUUAUCGUCAUGCCAUUUGGCUUGACCAAUGCACUUUCAACAUUCCAAAGCUUGAUGAUUGAUUUAUUACGCCCAUGUUUACGAAAGCUUGUCCUAGUUUUUUUUUAACUAUAUUUUUGUGUAUAGUAAAACUUAGGCAAAUCAUAUUUUCCAUCUUCAAAUAGUCCAAUAGAUUUUAUCUGAUAACUCUUUGUUUGUGAAUAACGAAAGUGUUGUUUUGGAGUUUUGGAGGCAGAGUAUUUAGGCCAUCUUAUUUCCCUUGUUCAGUGGCAAUUGAUUUGAAAAAAAUCCAAACCAUACUUAAGCCGCCAAUUCCAAAGUCAACCAAAGAAAUAAAUGGCUUUUUGGAUUUGUCAAUUUUACCGAGGCUUUGAGGGAAUCACAACACCUUUAACAAGGUUAUUAACAAAGGAAGACUUACAUUGGACCUUAAAAGCAAAAUCUGCUUUCACCCAGUUGAAACAAGCAUUAAAACCCCCUCAUGUUCUCUGGUUGCUAGACUUUUCACAGUCGUUUGUUGUCGAGUGCGAUGCUUAUGGAGUCGGUAUUAGAGCCAUCUUAUCACAACAUGAUCAACUAGUGCCAUUUUUUAGUGACACACUCAAGGGUUCAGCAUUGGCCUUAUCUACCUACAAGAAAGAUAUGCUUGUAAUCAUCAAGGCAAUUCACAAAUGGCAUUCAUACUUGUUGGUAAGCCUUUCAUUGUUUGUGCAGACCAAAGGAGUCUCAAAUUUCUAAUGGAACAGCACAUUACACACUUGUUCAGAUAUGAUAGCUGCCAAAAAUUCUCAAAAAUGAUUAUACGAUUCAAUACAAAAAAGGAUUAGAAAAUUAGAGAGCCAACGCUUUUUCACGAUUGGCAAAGCUUGAAUUUUUAGCAAUCUCUCUUCCUUUAGCCGAUUGAUGGACCACUCUACAGAAUGAAGUAGCAUAAAAUCCCUUAUAUAGCCAAUUUUGACUUAAUCAUUAAUUCAAAGAGAUGGAGUCUAGUAUAAACAACGAAAGCUCUUUUUGAGUCCUGCUUAUUUCUACAAGCGAUUUUAUAGAAAGCGCACUCAUCACCAAUCAGAAGGUAUUUUGGCUAUUAAAAACUCUUAGCAGACUAAAAUCUAGUUUUUAUUAGCCUGGAAUGCAUGCAGAGAUUAAGAAUUUCAUACGGUGCUGUGAAGUCUUUCCAUGGUGUAAGGUUGAAAUCUACAACCAACAAAACUUCUCUAAUCUUUACCAAUUUUGGACAGAAUCUGGACAAAAAUUUCUAUGGAUUUCAUUGAUGGACUUCCACCAUCACAAGGUUACACUGUCAUUAUGGUAACUGUGGAUCAUUUGUCAAAAUACACACACUUCAUUAAUUUGAAACAUUCGUAUACAUCCCUGAUAGUGACUAAGGUUUUUAUAGCAUAAAUUGUGCGAUUCCAUUGGACACCAACUUCCAUCGUUAGUGAUAGAGAAACUAUUUUUUAUCCAUUCAUUUUGGAAGGCUUUGUUUCAAGGAACUAUACCAUCCACAAACUGACGGACAAAUAGAAGUUGUUAAUGGAAUCUUAAAAUAGUAUAUGUGUGUUUGGGAUUGAGGUUGGGCAGCUCUAACUUAAAAGGUAUAGCACUAAAGUGUUUGAUAAACACUAGAUGUUGUGACUUGGAAGCUAUGUUGAUAUGAUUUUUCACGUGUAUGAUGUAAAAUUUAUUAUGUCUUUAAUAAUUUUGUCAAAAUUAUUAUUUAAAAUUUAUAUUUACUACAUAUUGUUAACCUUUGUUUCAUAAUUACAAUUUGUUUUUCACAGCAGCUGUAGCUUAAAUGCUACAACACAUCAAUUCCAAACAAGAUCUAUCUCUAUUACUUCACAAGUGAACCAAACAGCUCGAUUGGCUCGAUUAGCUACCUUGGGCUGAGUAUAGCUAUAAUACGUCAACGCAUAUUUCCACCAAAAUUUCUCCUUUUAAAGCUAUCUAUAGCAUACCUCCUCUAAACUAAUAUUCAUGUUGUGGGUGAGACACUAAGGGACCAUGAAUCCAUUUUGUGUGAUCUUCGAUGCAAUUUGAUUGUUGCUUAAGAUAGAAUGAAAAAUCAAGCCGAUCAUCAUUACAGGGAAAUUGUUUCUAGUGUUGGCGAUUAUUUGUACCUCAAAUUUUUAUCCUUAUCAUCAUAAGUCUGUAGCUUUUCGUAGUUCUCUCAAGCUAGCUCCAUGUUUCUUAUGGCCUACAAAUUGGAGUUACUAAGAGGGUCCAAAUCCAUAAUGUGUUUUAUAUCAAUCUCCUAAGAAAGUUGGUUGAGCCCAUGCCCCUGCAGCUUUGAAACUACCCCUAUAUUGGAGGAUACAUCAACUAUACUGCCUCAGCCUGAGUGUAUACUUGAUAGACGUAUCAUUCAUAAAGGAAUUUAUACCUCUAAGGAGCAAUGAUAUAUGCUGCAGACUUAUAUCACCAUGCAAUCUUAGGAAAUGCUUAAAUAAGACCGAGUUAGGCAUAACUGUUAGUUGAUAAAUAUCGAAUAAGUUGGUGGCUUAUAUUUAGUGGUUAUUUAGUUUCUAUUUCCUCUUAGUUUUUGCUUGUUAGUUUCUAUUUCAAGGCAAUAAAGUGUGUAACUCAGUUGUGCUACAGGAUCUAUAAAUGACCAACAUUUUCAUUAAUAAAGGAAGCAAUUUAUAUAGACACUAUUCCCUUCUCUAAACUUCUUGCUUCACCUUAUCUGUUUGUGGUUCUUAUUAAAAGAAAAAUAAAAUAAAAUUACAAAAUAAAUUAUGUAUAUCUGUAAUUUAUGUAUAUCUGUAAUUUCAAUUGUUGACCUAGGACCUAAUUUUUGAAUUUGUAAUUGAGAUUGGUGUAGGUUGAUUUGAAGUGAUUAUUUUCAAGCAACAUGGCUUCUUUCAGUUGGCCCAGAAAAUUAAGGUGUUUGCGUCGAAAUUUGGAAGAUGACACAAUUUUUAAUUUUGCUUUUGAAAAGAUUAUGUUUACAAUGGUACCUUGAGGUUAAUUUUGGAUUUUGUCGUGAAUUGAUUAUUUUUAAAUCACCUCUUAUUUUAUUAAAAUUCAAUUUACCUCUUAUUCUUAUUAAGAAGACAAAAAAAAUAAAUUCAUCAACCCACACUUUUUUCUUAUCUUUUGAACAAAAAUAGAGAUAAUUUAAGUUUUUAGAAGUAAGGAGAUAAUUUAAAAAUAGUCAAUUUACUAGAGUAAUUCGAAAUUGAUCCUAAAUUGUCUAAUACUAGGUGCCGUUUCAUGCAAAAAGCUUAUAAUAUUAAGACAACUUCCAUUUCAUUUUUUUUAUUCGAGUCACUGUGGUAUAUUUAACCAUUCACUUUGUAUGGAAAAAUUAAAUCAAACAUCCUAAAUUUCAAUUUCUAAGUCGGUUACCAAAAAUGAUGACUUUUUCUUGAGUAGUGAUAUUCAACUCCCUAAAUAUUAUCUCACGAGACCCCAUUUUCUUUUAUGCCUCAUUAAUUUUCAAAAUUGAUUGUUUGUCAUACUAAUGUUUAUUAGAGGCUGUUUUAGACAAAUAAAUUUCUAAAGUUCAAUAUUUUAGAGUGAAAAAGAAAUAAAAAAUUAUAAAAAUAAAAUCAAGCUGGGAUUGUAUUGUACUACUCAUCAAAUUGCUAUAGGAUGAAUGCAAUAAAGAAAUAAAAGCAUUUGACGCUUAUAAGUUAUAACAUGCAAGCUAAAAUAUAAAGGAGAAGAGAAGCUGCGUUAUUGGGUUUGAUUGAAAAGUAAAUACAUGACAGUUUCUAUUCUUUGUGGUAAUUUCAAUAUUAGAGGGGUCUCAUGAGAUGAAACGGGGGGGCCAAAUAACUACACUCCUUUUACUUCUCAUACGAAUUAGGGGGUGUACCAAAUAAGCCUAGCCAAGCAGGGCCUGAGCUCCGUACCGGCUUGGUGAGGCCCCAUUUUCAGUUCAAAACAUAGAACUAUUAACACCCCUCCAUUCAUCUUACAAAACCCCGCUAUUGUGAUUACAAUAAAGGACAAAAUAUAAAUUUAACUCGACCUCGACGUGGUCGGUUCUAUUUCUCAUAACACUCUUCUAGUCUUUUUCAGACACACCCACACAAUCCAAUAAGUUGGCAGAGGAUUUGACACGAGUAGGAGAAGAAUCUUGCAAUGAAUUAGUGCAUGCAUUUAUUUCAUUGCCUCCAUAUCAAAAAUAUAUUGAUUUUAUUAUAAUUAAUACCCGAAAGUCUGAGAAGAUUGAGGAACAAAUCGUGGAAAACAGAUAGAUAGAGAGAAAUGUUGAUGAAAUGCUGUGGCACAAACACAAAAUGAAGUGAAAGUGUUGGGUAGCAAGAAUCAUGCGGAACAAGAAGCAAAAAUUUCAUGUUUAUCAAUCAACAAAACUUUUGUCACCGACAAAUCUGUAGAUUGUGGUGGCUAGCAAGACUCCAUAAGGAAAAGAAAAAAAAAACAUUUUCUUUUUUCUUUUUUCUUUUUUUGGUUUUUUUGAGUGAGAAAAAUUACUAUCUAGUAUGAUGACAUUUUCAGAAUUAAAGCGAACAAUUAAUAGCAAUAAAGGAUUUUUCAGUAUUAUUUAAUAGAAUUACUUAAAGAUGGAGUUCAAGAAGAUUUUAAAGGGUGCCAAUAGUUGAAUUCUUACAUGAAAUGAAAUUAUGUAACAUGGGCCUAAAAACAUUCGACAUAACCUAUCUUGUAAAAUGAAUUUUCCAAAAUGUUUAACCUGUCAACAUAUUUGAGAUAAACCAAUAAUUCAUCCGGAUUAGAAAGGUUUUCUUCAAUUACAUAGGUCUUGUUUGAAAUUCUCAAUCGGGUCAUGCUAGCUAGGAAAUUUGUGUAAUCAAACUAAAAAUUUAUUUCCAAAAACUUUACCCGGCGGCUUAGCUCCGCCCUUGGUAGUAUAUAUAUCGCUCUUGCAUAAUAAUUAUGAUCUCAUCAAAGGAGAUUAUUUGUUAAACAUAUGAAAUUUGAAAUUUAUUAAUUUUAGGCUUUUUUUAAUAUUUUUUUUUUUUUUAUAAUUUAUGUCUGAUUUUUAAACAUGUACAUCUACAUAUAAAAAGUAAAUUUUUGUUACUUUUUUUUUAUUAAAAGGAGCUCAACAGAACGAGCUAAACCGGAAUAAACCAGGGUUGAAUAACCCCAAACAUGUCUUGCAAUAUAAUUGAAUAAAUACCCACAGUCGGGCUAGUAAAUAAAUGCAAACCAUGAGAAACUGAAUGAGUCAUAUUAGCCAUGAAAUCCGCAACUAAAUUUGCUUCACGAAAAAUGUGUGUGAUAGAAAUUUGCCAGUUUCUGCUUAGUAAUUCCCGGACAAUAACAACUAUAGCAUAGAAAGUAUUAGGCACGACCACUUGCUUAGAUAUCAUCUGAGUAACACAAAGACUAUCCACUUCCACCAAAAGACGUUUUAUGCCAGCAUCCCACGCCAGGAUUAAGCCUUCAUAUAGACCUCAUAGCUCAACCAUAAUCACCGAACACUCCCCAAUAUUCAUACAAAAUCCAAAAAUCCAGUGACCGAUAGAAUCACGAAUAACACCACCAGCCCCUGCAUCCCGUGAAUUUUUUACAAGAUCCAUUCGUAUUCAAUUUACACCAUGGCCAUGGAGGAGGCUGCCAGCCAAUAAACAUCUCCUUUCUCCUCGGUUGCUGACUCGUGAGAAUUAUUCACUCUAUGAAUUUCAUUAGCUCUGGCCAUAAUAUCCAGAUAAAUUGUUGAGCUAUCCGCCAAUUUCCCAUCAACCAUAAAAUGAUUCCUCCAUAACCAUAACCUCCAAACGGCCACGCCGAAAACACACUCCCAAGGGAUAGGAGAAACAAACUUCCAUUUAUUCUGUAAAUUAGCAGCAAUCCAGUCCUGUAAAUUAGAGUGAAAAAAAGUAUAAUGCUCAUACACUGGGACAAGUUGAAGCCAAAACCGUUUAAUACAAUGGCAAUCUCGUAAUGCAUGAAAAAUAUCCUCAACCAAAGCCCCACAUCUAUCACAAGCCAUAGACACGGGAAUGUGACUCCGAGACAGCUCACCGUGAGUCUUCAAUUUCUCAUACAUAAUCUGCCAAAGAAAGAGGCGGAUAGACUGAGGCCCCUUCCAAGACCAUGGUAAGUUCCUUGCUUCAUCUUGAAUGACUAGGUUUUGAUGACAAAUAGAGUCAUAGGCUGAGCGUACAGUAAACACAGCUCUUGGAUGAAAACUCCAGUAAAUUUUUUCUGUGCCAAGAUGAGAAGCAGGAGGCAUAACCGAGGCAAUUUACAUGAGAAUAUAAUUUGGCAGCAAAUGUUCAAAGCUCAGCCAAUUCCAGCUCCCUUGUUCAUUUGUAAACUCACUCACAGUAGCAUUAACAACUUCAUGAAAGAUCGAUUGGAGGGUGAAAGUUAUCAAAGGUUAAACAAGCAACUUACCAAUUUUCCUAACCAGUUGACCAGUUGUUUUCAGUGAGUGAAGAUUAAACAAGCGGCUUACCGGUUUUUCUAACUGGCUAUUCGAUUAUGGUCCAAUACGUAAUCUUUAGGAAAUAGUUAAUCGAUUAUCUAUAUCCGGCUAUCUAGUUCUUGGCUAGAGAAGAAACAUAGAGAAAUGGCUUACUAAUUGGUUACAAGCAGUAUGCCAGUUUUGUCUUAGAAAACAUUUGGCCUUUUAUUGAAUUUUGGUUAAUCGGUAAACUUGUCUUGCACGCACCAAUUUAUUUUUGGCUUAAAACUUGAUCAAUUUUAAAUCAUUUUGUGAUUCAAAACUUUUUAAUAGGCCUUUUAAUGCAUGAAACAUAAGCGCAUACAAGAGAAAACAUAUGAAAUUACUCAUAUCAAACAAUGAUGCCAGCAUGACACUACAGCACUUCCCCGAAUCCCUUGUUCCCUCCGUAUAGAGCCAGCGUUGGUCAACCUUGGCAUGGGGAAGUAGUGUCACCACUACCACUUCCCCGGCGUGUAAAUUAUAGAGCUAUAACUGUCCCCAAGCACACACAACCUAAAAAAAAUUAUAAUUUAAGAUGCAACAUUCAUCAUUCCAAACUCAUGUCUAAUUUUUAUAAACUGCUCUUCACUAUGGGGUUUUGUAAAUAUAUCUGCAAGUCGAUUUUUAGUAAAAACAAAUUUAAUCACAAUAUCUCCUUUUUUAACAUGAUGUCUUAGAAAAUAAUGUCUAAUCUCUAUAUGUUUAGUCCUAGAAUGUUGAAUGAGAUUUUUCGAAAGAUUGAUAGUAUUUGUAUUGUCACAUAAGAUAGGUAUUUGAUCAAAAUUAAUAUUGUAGUCUCUGAGAAUUUGUUUCAUCCAAAGAGCUAUUUAUAUAUGAGUUUCUUGUUAAACAGAAACCAGCUGAGUCUGUAGGAGAGGGAAGGAAAAAGAAAAAAGAAAUAGCUAGAAAUCAGAUAAUCCAAAUCUAUAUAAUAUGGAAGCAAAAGCGACAGAUAUUGGGAGUUCUCUCGUGGAGCCUUCGAUUCUGGAGCUGGCACAUGAAGUCACUAUCCUCUUGAAUUUUUAUAACAAAAUUAUUAUUUUAUUAGACCCAAGUAGAUUGCAGUACAUGAUGAAACAAAAACAAACGUUAUGCCUUUAAUCGUGCAUUUCCAAAUAAACACAUAUUUUAAGUAAUUCCGAAAUUUACCACGAUCUCCCAUGAAUCCGAACUUGCAGCUUGUUAUGGAGCUUCAACAGAGUUGCUGCUGCUUCGGUCUAGCUUCUGAAUUCCGCUUUCUUUUCCUUAGCUCAAGGAUCGGCUUGCUUCAAAAUUUACUGUGCACACACACGGGAGACAAGAGAGAGAGAGAGGUGCACUGCACUCAUGCCACUAAUUUUUCGAACAGUUAACUUCCAAUGAGCUGAAGUUACUUAAAUACAGCGGUUGAGCGCAGGGACCCCUCAUGUGUUAGUAUAAAAUUGCCCAUCCCAUUAUGGGCGAAAAUAACACAAUUAAGGAUAUACUUGUCCAUAAUAUACUACUGUACAUGGUAUGUCAAAAUUGCUCAACAAUAUUUGACUUUAGUCACGUAUUAAUUCGGUAAAAUAUAGAAAAUAAUUAGAAUGAUUUAUGUCAGUCCACAUAAUGUGAGAAAUAAAUCUAACAAUCUCCCACUUGGACGACAGAAAUCACUCUAAUGAUAAAUUUAAAAUAAAAUAAUAUUUUGAAAACAACCGAAUUAAUCAAUAUGUGACUAUAACAAAAGGUCAAAUACAAGCAAUCACCCAAAACAUAAACAAGUCCAAAAUGUGCCAUAAAUAUCAAAUCAUAUGUGCACCGACAGGAUGCUCCAUAUAACAAGACACUUAUAAACACGUGACCAUGUAGUAGUAUACAAGUAUAAUUAUGGAAAUAACAUGACAAUGUGAUCAACAUGCUUGUUGAGUGUUAGAAAAUACAUAUUUAUAAAGGAGAAAACCAUCAUUUUACAUUUCAAGUCUUACUAACAACUCUUACUUUUAUGUAUUUAACCUUCUUGUGAUGUAAUUACGCGUGUGUUAUUUUAAUUAAGUAUUUUAUGUAUUUUAGGGGUAUUAUAGUCAUUUCACAAUAAAGGAGAGAUCAGAUGGCAAAACGGACAUCACUUUUGAACUCAGGACGGUCGAAAACCUUAGGAGGGGCAUAAAAGGAAAAAUGGCACUAUUCACAUGUACGGUACUAUUCACGUAUACGGUACUGUAUAUGUUACUGUUCACGGCAUUGACCGAUGAUGUGGCAUUGACUGAUGAGGUGUCACGAUCCUGUUGGACUAAAAUUCUUAUGUACUGUUGAUGGUAAAUUUCUUAUGUACUGUUGAUGGUGACGUGGCAGCAUAUCAGUGGACGAAAAAUCUCGCGUACGGUGCAUGCAUCACACAGGAUUAUUUUCAACUAAACCGCGUUACUGUUCAUCCGGGUCAAACCGUGUUACUGUUCAUCUGCGUGGUCAAACCGUGGACUGUUGACUGAUGACGUGGCGCAAUCCUGAGCGUCCAAACUGUUUUUAAUCCGAUGGCCAUGAUUUACUCCAUGUAUCUAUAAAAAGGGGGCCUCCCCCCCCUAAUUUGAUAUCUCUGAAUCCAUUUUUGGGAUCCAUUUUCUGUAAUUCCUUCUCCAUCUUGUAUUUUCUUUGUAUUUUAAUAAAUUCCCUUUUUGCCCCUAGUUCAAUUAUGAGUGGCUAAUUUUCUUUCAAGCUUGGGUUGAAGGUGAAGUCUCAACAUGUGUCAUGGGCUUUAUUUGGUAAAUUUAUUUUCUUUUCCCCUCUAGUUUUUGUGGAUGAUUUGACUUAUCGUCGACAAAUAAUACUGAUCUUGUCUAGAUACCGCCUUGGUUACACCGGCUCUCUAGUAUAAGGUUAUUAUUAUUUGGCACGAUAAGCCCUUAACACCAUAUUGAUUAGAGCGUGGUUCAUGAGGUGUGGAUUCCCCCCUCAUGAUUUAAUUGGCAUUAAUACGGAUUAUUUAGCCCAUGAUGCAUGUUGAUACGGAUCCAGAUACCCAAGUACGUCAUUUCAAUAGAAUUCUCUUCAAUUUAUUCUCGCCAUUUCAAUUCCAAUUUCAGAAUUUAUUCUCACCAUUUUAAUUUAAGUUUUAGCAUAUUCCAAAUCAUUUCCACCACAGAUCCAAUCAACCAUUUGCAAAAUUAAUUCUAUACACAAUUAAAAUCCACCUCCUCGUGGGAUCGACACUCGUCACCAUUGAUCUAUACUACAAUAGAUUCGUGCACUUGCGAGUACAUUAAAAUUUGCACAACAAGUUUUUGGCGCCGUUGCCGGGGAGGUAAGUAAUUUUAAUUCAUAGAAUUAAUUUUUGUGAAUAAUUUCUUUUAUUUUGUUUUCUUGUAUUUUUUUUAUAAAAAAAAAAAAGUUAAUCUACAUUUAAAGGUUAGUAUUUCUUUUCUUUUUCUCUUCUUUAAAAAUUCUGUAAUUUAAUUUUCAAUUUAUUUUUUCUUUGUAAUUUUUGUUUAUUUUAUUCAUUUAAUUUUUAGUUAAUUUAUUUCACGUAUUUGUUUUUGUGUAUUUUUAUAGAAAGGUUGUAAUAGCGCAAUAAGGUUAGUAUCGUAAUUUCUCCCUCUUCUUUAUUUUUAUUUGUUUUGUUCCCAUCUUUAUUUUUAUUUUAUUUGUUUUGCAUGCAUGGUCGUAGGUCAUUAUUACCUAAUCUUGAACCUAUAGACCUUGAAUUAGAAAAAACACUUCGCACACAAAAGCACAUUAAAAAUAAAUUUGGAAUGGAUUUACAAGCACCACAGGAGAGGCCAUUUAAGGACUAUUUUAGUCCCUUAGCUAAUUUGAGCACAUCAUGCAUAAGAUACCCAAAUGUAGCUGCUAGGAGUUUUGAAUUAAAACCUAGUGUGCUAAAUUGUCUCCCCACAUUUUAUGGCUUAGAAAAUGAGGACCCAUAUAAUCAUCUGAAUGAUUUUCAUGCCAUAUGUCAAACUUUUAAAUACGAAAAUUUUUCAGACGAUGAUGUAAAACUUAGAUUAUUCCCAUUUUCUUUAAAAGAUAGAGCUCGUUCAUGGCUUAAUACAUUGCCUGCUAAUAGCAUUGCAUCAUGGGAACAAAUGGUUACAAAAUUUCUAAAUAAAUAUUUCCCAGUGCAUAAAACCAAUUCUAUUCGCAGGGAAAUUUCAGAGUUUACACAAAGAGAGGACGAGCAGUUUUUCGAAACUUGGGAGCGAUUCAAUGGACUACUCUUGAAGUGUCCACAUCAUGGGUACGAGAAAUGGCACCAAUGCCAAUACUUUUUGGAGGGAUUAUUGCCGAAUGUGCAAGAAUGGCUAAUGGCAACAAGUGGAGGAGAGCUAAUGUCAAAAAGUGCAUAAGAGAUUUGGGAAUUCUUCCAGCGACAAGCGGAUAAUUCCCAACAACGGAGUCGAUCACUCAGGAAUACUAGAAGAAUUAAAGGAGUAAAUGAGGUUCACAUUGGCGAGUCAAGUUCAGAAAUCAAAGAAGUCAAGGAGAUAAUUGAAGGUCUCUCUCGACAAAUAGCAUCGUUAUCAACUGCUAAAUCAACAGAGCCACAUGACCAUGACACAUACUCAGAUCAAGCCAAUGCCAUAGGUGUAAUGAGAAAACCAUCAAAUUACAACCCAUACUCCAACACAUAUAACCCUGGGUGGAGAGACCACCCCAAUUUUUCAUGGUCUCAAGGAUUCCAACAGAAUGGACCAGCAGCUCCAGCUCCACAAAUUCCUCAAGUUCCUCAAGCCUCUCAGCCACCAUUCAAACCAUACAAUCAGAACCAGAACUACUCUCAACCCAGACCAUGGGAGGAUUCAUUCCAGAAUCUCAAGAAUGCUACUCACUCUACGAUUGAGCAACAGAAUCGCACCAUUGAUGGACUACGAAAUGAGUUGAGAGCGGGCUUCAAUUCACAAGCCCAAUCAGUUUCAAGCCUCGAGAAGAUGGUGGGACAGCUUGCUUCUUCAGUUCAGACCUUGGCAAUGACUGUUGAGAAAGGCAAGUUUCCGAGUCAACCAGUGCCUAAUCCUAAAGGAGUGCAUGAAGCAAGUACCAGUUCACCACAGCAGCAUGGAGAGGUCAAAGCAGUAAUGACCUUGAGAAAAGGAAAAGAAGUCGACAAUAAAGUGGAGAUGCCGGUGAUAAAAGAAAAUCAAAUUGUACCUGUAAAUGUUGACGACUCAUCACCGGAGGAGAAAGAAGAAACCAACCCACGAGAAUACAUUCCGAAAGCUCCAUUUCCUCAGAGGUUAGCGAAAGGAAAAAAGGGAAAAUCCACAGGUGAGAUUCUUGAAAUCUUCAAACAGGUAAGUGUUAACAUCCCUUUGCUUGAUGCUAUAAAGCAAGUUCCAUCUUAUGCUAAGUUUCUUAAAGACCUUUGUACUAAAAAGAGAAAUAUGCAUGUUCAAAAGAAGGCAUUUUUAACAGAAAAUGUUAGUUCUAUACUCCAACAUAAAAUUCCUCUAAAAUGCAAAGACCCAGGCUCCCCCACUAUCUCAUGUAGUAUAGGGAACCACACAAUUGAGAAUGCUUUGUUGGAUUUAGGAGCUAGUGUAAAUCUGUUGCCUUAUUCAGUAUUCGUGAAACUUGGACUGGGAGAAUUACACCCAACUCCAGUGGUGUUACAGCUUGCAGAUCGGUCCACGAAAAUACCUCGUGGUAUUGUGGAGGACGUGCUUAUCCAGGUAGACAAGUUUUAUUUUCCUGUUGAUUUCAUUGUAAUUGACACUCAACCAAUACAGGACUCAAGGAAGCACAUCCCCAUUAUUCUAGGCCGACCUUUCUUGGCAACUGCGGAUGCUCACAUUCAAUGCAGGACUGGAAAUAUGCAGUUGUCCUUCGGCAACAUGACUAUGGAGCUUAACAUCUUCAACAUUGCCAAACAACCUCACAGUGCAGAUGAUGGAAUUGUUGAUGUGGAUUUAAUAGAAACAAUAGUUGAUAAUACUUUUCUUUCAAACCUUAGUGAUGAUCCUUUACAAACAUGUUUAACUCACUUUGGUUUGGAUUUUAAUAUUGACAGAUCGAUUGAUGAGGUCAACGCCCUACUUGACUCAGCACCAUCCAUGGACACUAAUAAAUGGAAGUCAAGAGUUGAACAACUAGCACCAUCAGAGAAGAAACUCAUCCCAUCAUCAGAAUCACCACCGAAGCUCGAGCUCAAACCAUUGCCCAACACUCUGGAAUAUGCGUUUUUGGGAGAAGAAAGCACUCUGCCGGUAAUCAUCUCAUCAUCCCUAAAUGACGAACAAAAAGGUAAGUUGUUGGAUGUUUUAAAAGAGCACAAAGGGGCAUUAGGAUGGACCAUAGCAGACAUAAAAGGUAUAAACCCAGUAGACUGCAUGCAUUACAUUCACCUUGAUGAAAAUGCUAAAACUACUAGGGAAAUGCAACGUCGGUUAAAUCCUAAUAUGAAAGAAGUUGUUAGAACAGAAGUCCUUAAGCUAUUAGACGCAGGUAUCAUUUACCCAAUUUCUGAUAGUUCAUGGGUCAGUCCUGUACAAGUUGUCCCCAAAAAGUCAGGAGUCACAGUAGUUACCAAUGCUGAUAAUGAAUUGAUACCAACUAGAGUAACUACAGGAUGGCGUGUAUGCAUUGAUUAUAGAAAGUUGAAUUCUGUCACACGUAAAGACCAUUUUCCUUUACCAUUUAUCGAUCAAAUGCUUGAUAGAUUAGCAGGCCACGAAUUUUAUUGCUUUCUAGAUGGCUACUCAGGAUAUAAUCAGAUUCCCAUAGCACCAAAAGAUCAGGAGAAAACUACUUUCACUUGCCCUUUUGGCACUUUUGCAUAUAGGAGAAUGCCAUUUGGAUUAUGUAAUGCACCUGCUACAUUCCAACGAUGCAUAUUGAGCAUUUUUUCUGAUAUGGUUGAACGAUUCCUUGAAGUCUUUAUGGAUGAUUUUUCUGUCUUUGGUGACUCGUUUGAUCAAUGUUUACAUCAUCUAACGCUAGUUCUGCAGAGAUGUACCGAGAAGAACUUAGUCUUGAAUUGGGAGAAGUGCCAUUUUAUGGUAAAACAAGGUAUUGUUCUCGGUCACAUCAUUUCGAGCAAAGGUAUUGAGGUUGACAAAGCCAAGGUGGAUCUCAUUUCUAAUCUUCCUCCACCUAAAACAGUCAGAGAAGUAAGAUCUUUCCUUGGGCAUGCUGGUUUCUAUAGACGUUUCAUUAAAGAUUUUAGCAAAGUUUCUAGACCCUUAUGCAAUCUACUUGCUAAGGAUGUAUCUUUUAUCUUUAAUGAUUCAUGUCUAAUGGCGUUUGAAAAAUUAAAGCAGUUGUUGACAUCAUCACCCAUCAUUCAGGCCCCAAACUGGAACUUACCAUUUGAGCUCAUGUGUGAUGCAUCUGAUUAUGCAGUAGGAGCAGUAUUAGGACAAAGAGUUGAUCGAAUUCCCCAUGUUAUUUACUAUGCUAGUAUGACAUUGAAUGAUGCACAGUUGAAUUAUUCAACUACUGAAAAAGAAAUGCUAGCAGUAGUGUUUGCAUUAGAGAAAUUUCGAUCUUAUCUCAUUGGUUGUAAAAUAAUUAUAUUCACAGAUCAUGCUGCUCUUAAAUAUCUUUUCACAAAGAAAGAUGCAAAAGCUAGACUAAUUCGUUGGGUGUUACUUUUGCAGGAAUUUGACUUGGAAUUCAAAGAUAAGAAAGGCACAGAGAAUGUUGUAGCUGACCAUCUCUCUCGCCUCCAUUUUGAUACAAUUAUGGAACCAUUACCAUUGAAUGAGUCAUUUCCAGAUGAACAAUUAAUGAAUGUGGAAGUAUUACCUUGGUAUGCUGAUAUAGUUAAUUAUCUUGUUACAGGUAAACUUCCAGAGCAUUGGACCAAGCAAGAUAAGGCUAAAUUCUUUGCGGAAAUAAAGAAUUUCUUUUGGGAUGACCCGUAUUUGUUCAAGUAUUGUGCAGAUCAAAUUGUUAGACGAUGUGUCCCAGAAAGUGAAAUUCAAAAUAUUCUUUCAUUCUGCCAUGCACAAGCUUGUGGAGGCCACUUCAGUGCUAAGAAAACCGCGACUAAAGUUUUACAAUGUGGUUUUUAUUGGCCAACUAUAUUUCGAGAUGCUUACACUUUCUGUUCUUCAUGUGAUAGGUGUCAACGAAUGGGGAGUAUUACACGAAGGAACAUGAUGCCACUAAAUCCAAUUUUAGUGGUUGAGAUUUUUGACGUAUGGGGUAUCGACUUCAUGGGACCCUUUCCCCCUUCUUUUGGCCAUCAAUACAUAUUGGUUGGUGUUGACUACGUAUCGAAAUGGGUAGAAGCAAUUCCAUGUAGAACCAAUGAUCACAAGGUGGUGAUAGGAUUUUUGAAAAGCAACAUUGUUUCGCGCUUUGGAUUCCCUCGAGCAAUAAUCAGUGAUGGUGGUGCCCACUUUUGUAACAAAGCAUUCAAAGCUCUUUUGACAAAGUAUUCAAUCACACACAAAGUGGCAACUCCGUAUCAUCCGCAAACCAGUGGCCAAGUUGAGAUAUCCAAUCGUGAAAUAAAGCACAUAUUAGAAAAAACGGUGAGGCCAGACAGAAAAGAUUGGUCAUUAAGACUUGAUGAUGCAUUAUGGGCAUAUAGAACGGCUUUCAAGACCCCGAUUGGGAUGUCACCCUACAGGCUAGUGUAUGGAAAAGCUUGCCACCUACCUGUGGAACUCGAGCAUCGUGCAUAUUGGGCCAUCAAGAAAUUCAACUUUGACAUGCAGCAAGCCAGCUCAGAAAGAAGAUUACAGCUGGCAGAACUUGAAGAAAUUCGCAAUGAUGCAUACGAAAAUGCCAAGAUUUACAAGCAACGAAUGAAAGUCUUCCAUGAUAAGCAAAUUAUGAGAAAAUCGUUCACUCCAGGUCAGAAAGUGCUUUUAUUCAAUUCUCGCUUGCACCUAUUCCCAGGUAAGUUACGCUCUCGUUGGUCUGGCCCAUUUAUUGUACAUACUGUUUUUCCACAUGGGGCAAUUGAAAUUAAGGACCCAAAGAACGGUGUCACGUUUAAAGUUAAUGGUCAAAGAUUAAAGCCAUAUCUUGAGUACCAACCACAUGGAGAAGACACCGAAAUAAAUUUGAGUGACCCACCAGAUUUGAAUUGAUUUUUUCUUUUUGUUGAUUUGAUUUUUCUUUCUUUCUUUUUAUUAUUCUUUUGCUAAUUGAAAUUAUUUUUGCAUAAGUGUGUUUGUUUUACCAUUAAGUUUUUUCUUAUCAUUUUUAAUCAUGAGUCUCCUACUUAGACCGUUCCUCCUGAACAUUCUUAAACCACUUCAACGUGUCAAAACUCAUCUCAAAAAGCAGAUUCAAUUUUGUAAAACACAACGCAUUUGGGCUCUACAACCACCAGAGUUAGUAGCCUAUGUUGAGGGUUUAGAACGCCAACUCAGAGACAUUGAGAGAAGUGUUUACGACAUCCAGUUGGAGCUUGAGGUAAAUUCAAUAAGAGGACGAUUUUAAUUUUCUUUGUGUUUUAAUUUGUUUUUCUGUUUGUGUGCUUUAGUUUGUUACCCCGGUGAAGUGGCGGAUAACGGUACUCCGUGACAAUCAAGUCGGUUACUUCAGUUUCCCACAAUAACUGACAUUCUGAGGUGAAAGUAUGGACAGAAACGAGAUUCUAGCGAAGCUUCACAAGCGAUUCCCUUCACUUCCUCAGAAUGCCCUCCUUACGAUCUAUAAAGCCCGGUCUGAACGCAUGCGAUUGCUCAUGAGGAAUAACAUCCUGCAGACAUCCGUUGGUUAAUUGAGGCUAAAGUACGAUCGGCAGGUGAGUUACCUCCAAAAUUUAUUGCAUUCAUGCCUGGUUGUGGUAAAGGAAAUUAUGCAAGAAAACGACGAGCUCGAAGAAUUUCUGUUGCUUGUCAUAAGUGUGCCAGAAUGAGUUGCGAUAGAAACCCAUGUUCUUUAGGAAUGGUGUCUGAUAACAGGGAAGAUAAGAUUCAAUUCAUUAGGGAUGGCUUGAAUAAGGAGUCAUUGGAUGAUAUCCUUUUGUCUCUUGAAACGCAUCCCAGUGGAUAUGUGCAAGGAGCGAUUCUCCAGUUAUGGCCAUUAUUCCAGAAAGAGCAUACACGAUAUAGUCUCGGGAAUCUGACUAUAAACGACCCUGUUUGCCAGUUUAUAAGAAAACUGGAUGGGAAGCCCAUCCUCGACCCAUAGAGGGCGUUCAAGCCGUUUCUGGACGUAAAACCAGAGGAAGAUGUGAGCCACAGUCGCAACUACGUGUAAAUAUCCUUUUACUUUACUGUUAUUUUAUUUCAUUUCACUGUUGUUUUAUUGUUUGCAUUAUUGUCUUUAAUAAUUUUAUUACUGUUUGCUUUUUCCUUUUUACUGUUUCUUUUUUGACUCGCGAGCCACGUGCUUUAUGCGUUAUUUGACACUGACAUGUUACCUCAUUCACAGCUGUGAUCCAUUGUCACCAAGAUUUUUAAAUAUAACUUUUUGUUACGAACUCACAAAUUGUUUUUGAGAAGUAUCACAAUGGCAGCUACUCCCAAUAGACAAUUCAAGAACAUUUGUGUGCUUUCUGGAUUUACCUAUGGCAAACAUAAAGAGUUCGUGGAGGCAGCCAUAGAUCUUGGUCGAAGCAUAGCAGCGAGAAAAUUACACUUGGUGUAUGGAGGAGGUAACCGAGGGUUAUCAAAAAUGGUCUCAGAAGCAGCUUUUAUCAGAGGAAGUCAAGUGUUAGGCAUCAUCCCAAGAGUCCUAAAACCAUUGGGCAGUUCGUCUGACUCAUCAACUGGAGAAGAGUUAGUCGUCUCAGGUAUGCAAGAAAGAAUAACUGAAAUGCUUAAUCAUGCUGAUGCUUUUAUUUUCCUUCCAGGAGAUCUUGCAACACUAGAGGCACUUAUCACACUAGCAUCUUGGGCCCAUCUGCACAUCCACCAGAAACCCAUCGGUUUGUUAAAUGUCAAUAACUUUUAUGAUGGCUUUAUCGCAUUUCUUAACCAUGCAAUAAAAAACUAUUUCAUUCCUUCUAAUGUGAAAAAACUCUUUAUUUGUGCUCACACUGCUAAUGAGCUACUUGAUAUGUUACAAGCUUAUAAACCGGAGCCAGACCCCUGGACCUUUGUGUUGGAGCGACCAAAUAAUGAUGGUAACAGUAGCCGCAGUAAGAAGUACAAAUUAGAUUUAACUCUCCGCCUGUAAAUAUUUUCUUCUGUGUUGCACCACCCAGGUGAUGUCUUCUAAACUCUACUUCUUUCCUUUAAAACAUUGAGGACAAUGUUUCGUUCUGGUUGGGGGGAGGGAAUAGUCGACAAUUGUGGAAUCUUGGUUAAGUUUUUACUGAUUUUUUGUUGUAGAAACUAACUGUUGCUAACAUUUUGUGUUGAAGAUGGCUGAAUAUGGAGUGUAGUGACUCUAGAAACGCAUCUUCAUCGUUUAAAAAAAAAAAAAAAAUUCAGACAUUUUCUUUUUCUUUAUUAUGCGUUUAUGUUUAUUUUUCUUCUUUUUAAUUUCUCCUCUAUAAAUAUACAUUUUCCAACUUUUGAGUCGAAGAUGGCUGAAUAUGGAGUGUAGUUCCUCUAGAAACGCAUCUUCUUAAAAAAAAAAAAAAAAUCAUUUUCGUUUUCUAUCAUUUUACGUGUAACUUUUCUAAUUAGUUUUUAUGCAUCAUUUUCACAUUUCUGCAUGCAUAUUUUCCUUUCAUGUUUAGAAUAGGUUGGGGGUAGAAUGUUGUUAAAAAAAAAAAAAAAAAAAAAAAAAUUUUGUGAUUUGUUUUAACAUUGGAUGACAUGAUUAAUUUCAAAUUUUAGUAUUUGUAUUAUCUUUGGUCUUAAGUGAUGUUACGCUAUGUUUGCUACUUUACAUGUUGAUGUCGGAGACAAAUGUGAGUUGCUUGAAGGAAUGAACAUGUCAUAAUAAGUACCAAGUGAGUUUUUGAGCCUAUUAUUUUUCUUGGAGAAUAACCCUUUUGCCCACUCUUUAUACAGCUUAGCAGUUUAUUAUUUUACACACGAUCUCUAAAUUGCUUUUGAGUUAAAAAAAAAAAAAAAAAAAAAAUUGUAAAAUAAAAAAAAAAGAAGAAGAAAAGAAAAAAAGAGUAUGUUGCUACAUUUGGAGGCCCAUCUAACUAGUAGAUAUGAAAGAUUAUUUAGAGCCCUAAAAGACGAUGGAAAGGCCAUCUUUGAUCCGUUUGAGCCUUUCUAGCCAUCCCUUUUAUUAAAUAUCCAUAGUUAACCCUUUUGAGCCUUUAAAAAAAAAAAAAAAAAAAAAAAAAAAAAAAAACCUUUUUCUUUGUCAACUUAUCAUCUUGACCCACUCCGAUUUGGAGUAUUACCCAAUGUCUUAUAAGUUCCAUCACCUAUUUAUGUUUGAGAAAAUGUAAAUAAUUAUGUUGUUCAGUAAAGUUGUGCCAAAAAAAAAAAAAAAAAAAAAAAACAAAAAAAAAAACAAAACAAAAGUUGUUGUUUCAAAAGAAAAAAAAAAAAGUUGUUGUUUCAAAAGAAAAAAAUAAAAAUAAAAAUAAAAAUAAUAGGUGAAAUCCACCUUGCAACUUCUAAAAAAAAUAUAUUCUUUGCAUUUUUCUCAAACAUACACUUUGUUUUUCUUAUUUUCUUUCUUUGUUAGCCAUAUCCCUAGCCUACGUUACGUCCUAAUAAAAGUCCUUCUUGAUUUUAGGGAACUAUAGUUUGAAGUAGAAGCUAGUUAUAUGGGCUAAAAAGAUGUAGUGAUGCAUAAUAAUAAUAAAAAAAAAAAAAAAAAAAAGAUAAAUAAAGUGGGUUGACUAACAUUUUAUUUGACUUGAGAUCGUAUUAUUUCUAAGCUGAGGGCAUAUUUAUUUCAUCUUGGUGAGAGCAUGUGAUAUCAUUUCUUUAUUAUUUUCUCUCUCAAUUACCAUUCAUUGGAGUGACUAUGUUUAUCGGGUUUUAAUUUCUUUAUGAGAGUGUCACUACUUCCAGUGAGAUUUUGGGGUUUGACAUGUCAUUCUUGAAAGUAGCUAUAACAAAGUCUACUGGGCUAAUUCAUGUGGAUGGUUGAUGUGGGUGUGAUGUUGCUUUAGACUGGAGAUAAUGCUUAUACUUUUAUUUGAUUGCUAUCAUUAAUCUGAUUGAAUAAACACGAGUGUUUCAAAAAAAAAAAAAAAAAAAAAAAAUCAUUUUGAAUUUGAAUUUUGUUUUCGCUUUAUUUGCUAGGGACUAGCAAUAAGCUGGUUGGGGGGUGUGUUGAGUGUUAGAAAAUACAUAUUUAUAAAGGAGAAAACCGUCAUUUUACAUUUCAAGUCUUAUUAACAACCCUUACUUUUAUGUAUUUAACCUUCUUGUGAUUUAAUUACAUGUGUUUUAUUUUAAUUAAGUAUUUUAUGUAUUUUAGGGGCAUUAUAGUCAUUUCACAAUAAAGGAGAGAUCAGAUGGCAAAACGGACAUCACUUUUGAACUCAGGACGGUCGAAAACCUUAGGAGGGGCAUAAAAGGAAAAAUGGCACUAUUCACAUGUACGGUACUAUUCACGUAUACGGUACUGUAUAUGUUACUGUUCACGGCACUGUUCACAUAGACGGAUCGAUGACGUGGCAUUGACCGAUGAUGUGGCAUUGACUGAUGAGGUGUCACGAUCCUGUUGGACUAAAAUUCUUAUGUACUGUUGAUGGUGACGUGGCAGCAUAUCAGUGGACGAAAAAUCUCGCGUACGGUGCAUGCAUCACACAGGAUUAUUUUCAACCAAACCGCGUUACUGUUCAAAGUCGGGUCAAACCGCGUUACUGUUCAAAGUCGGGUCAAACCGUGUUACUGUUCAUCCGCGUGGUCAAACCGUGGACUGUUGACUGAUGACGUGGCGCAAUCCUGAGCGUCCAAACUGUUUUUAAUCCGAUGGCCAUGAUUUACUCCAUGUAUCUAUAAAAAGGGGGCCUCCCCCCCCUAAUUUGAUAUCUCUGAAUCCAUUUUUGGGAUCCAUUUUCUGUAAUUCCCUCUCCAUAUUGUAUUUUCUUCGUAUUUUAAUAAAUUCCCAUUUUGCCCUUAGUUCAAUUAUGAGUAGCUAAUUUCCUUUCAAGCUUGGGUUGAAGGUGAAGUCUCAACAUGUGUCAUGGGCUUUAUUUGGUAAAUUUAUUUUCUUUUCCCCUCUAGUUUUUGUGGAUGAUUUGACUUAUCGUCGACAAAUAAUACUGAUCUUGUCUAGAUACCGCCUUGGUUACACCGGCUCUCUAGUAUAAGGUUAUUAUUAUUUGGCACGAUAAGCCCUUAGCACCAUAUUGAUUAGAGCGUGGUUCAUGAUGUGUGGAUUCCCCCAUCAUGAUUUAAUUGGCAUUAAUACGGAUUAUUUAGCCCAUGAUGCAUGUUGAUACGGAUCCGAAUACCCAAGUACGUCAUUUCAAAUAGAAUUAUCUUCAAUUUAUUCUCGCCAUUUUAAUUUAAGUUUUAGCAUAUUCCAAAUCAUUUCCACCAUAAAUCCAACCACCCAUUUUGCAAAAUUAAUUCUAUACACAAUUAAAAUCCACCUCCUCGUGGGAUCGACACUCGUCACCAUUGAUCUAUACUACAAUAGAUUCGUGCGCUUGCGAGUACAUUAAAAUUUGCACAACAUAGUACCCCAAUUCUCCUAAGGAUAUUUACGUCUUUUUAAUUUUUAAUGAUCCUUUUUACCCUAAUAUAAAUAGAAUAAGAUGUCUUUCACAUUAUAAGAGAGAGAGAGAGAUGGAGAGAAAAGAGAGAGAAUAAAAGAAAAAUAAAAGAAGAAAGUCUUUUUCUUUGUUCUGUCAUGGGCAACACAUGGGAUCAAGUUGUUAUUGUUGGAAGAAGUUUUGGAGGUAAGUUUUAAUUAUUGGUUUCUAUUAAAUUGUUGUGGAGAAGUAUGAUUGCAAUAGAAGUAGAAACCUAAGAUUUUGCAGAAAUAUGCUGACAGUAACUUAUUUCGAAAAUCAUAGUAAUUUGUCCAAAUUGAUUUUGAUUCUGAUUUUUGGAUAUGUAAAACUAGGCAUCGUCUAUAAUGUUUUGAAACUUGUUUCAAGUUAAUCGGAUAAGAUUUCAAUUAAUUAUGAUUUUUCAAAUUCAAGUCUGAAAACCUGGAAAUUUAUGAUUUCAGUGAAUAACGUGAAAUACGAAAUUAUGUUUACCAUAGCCAGACUUCUUCAAAACUUAUGAAAUUUGGACCAAUGAUUUUAUAAAUGUCUAGUAUGAUUCUGUAAAUUUUCAUGAUUUUAUAAUAAAGCAAUAAAUUGUUUUGUAAUUUUAAAGCAAGUGUGUUCAAAACAGAAAACUGUUUGACAGUAUUGAUGAUGUCUGAAACGUCAAUUAUUUUCAAUAGUUUUUGAAUUAAUUAAGUUAUGAAAUUUUUAUCAAUGAACUUUCAAUGUGUCAACAUAUGGUCUGUAAAAUUUAAGAUUCUUCCAAUAAGGGAAUAAUUUAUUAAAACUCGAAGAAUAUGGACGGUUAUGUUUUGAGGGCCGAUUAUUGAGGACAUUGAGGUUGGGCUUAGGAGAUGUUUAAAUUGAGAUAUUUGAGGACAUUAGAGUUUAUGAUUGAGACUUGAUUAUAUCUUAUGCGAUAUUUAUUGAUGAUUUUAGGUUGAUGAUAUCAGUACGCAUUUGUUGCAUGAGGAUGCCAAGAGGUAAGUAAACUAGACUUUAAAAAUGAAUCACAAUAAACAAUAUAUAUGUUUGACUUGUAUGAGAAGCCUAUUUUGAUAUGUACGAAUAUAGAUUUAUAUGUCUCUGAUCAUGUGUUUAUGUGAUGUUUUGUUAUGUAUUGGGCGUGAUUAUGUACAUGGGCAUAUGUAUGUGUGAUGGUCCAUUGGCAUGAACAUAAAAAUGCAUUGUGUUUUCUAUGAAUGAGAAAGUGGAUUUUAGCAAAUGAGAUUUCUGUUUUAUGAGAUUUUGCAUUGGGGGCCAGCUCUUGAAGUUGUGUGGGGACCACCUCUUGAGACUAUGCAGGGGUCAUCUCUUGAGGGCCACAGUGCCGCAAAGUGCCACGCAUGGUGCAAAGUGUCACGCACAGCACAAAAGUGCCACAAUUGCAGAAUAUGUAUUUCAUUGAAAGAAAAUGAGAAAGUUUAAAAGCGACAUAAAGAGAUUUUACAGUAUUUCUAAAAGAUCAUGGCAUAGCAUUCAUCCGCAUUAUUUAUAAGUAUGUAUGUAUUUUCGUAUAAAAAAAAAAACUAGUUUGCUUACUGAGUUUUGUACUCAUUAUAGUUUAUUGUGAUUCAGUUUUCAGAAGUCAGGAAUGAUUCGUAAUGAGUGAGAAGGUAGACUUGAAUUGAGGAUGGUAGAUGGUUUGGCUAAAUUUUCAAAUUAUUCUGCUGCCUAUUAUAUUGGAGGUUUGAAUUAUUUUCGAUUGUAAAGGGUUAUUUAAAUUCAUAUGUUAGUGUGGUCAGAUUUACCCUCGGAGGAGUUCGGGCUAGGGUGUUACAGGUGGUGUUAUGCUUUUGUGGAAACUUGAGCAUCCUUCUACCUUGUGAAUUCUAGUUAAGCAUAGGUUUCCUAGUACAGGUUGAAAGCAUUGAUCAGCUUCCACUUUUGUUUCUUUUAAGAAUUAAGAAUUUCAAUUAUCUGUUGGUGUGUUGUGUGGUGUUACCAACCUCCUAUUUGCAAAUCGCUUGCUCUGUUGCCGUGUAUUUUGGGCAAUCUUUCAAAUGCAACGUCAAUGAAACGAUGCAAAUGGAAACCUCUAGAAACAGAUUCACUUUAUACAAACAGUUCCUGAGCUAUGGACUUACACAACCUUUCAGGUUGCUAUCAAGUCUGAGUCGUUUCUAUUCAAACCAUUAAUGAUUUUUUUUUUCUUUCCGUGUUUUAAAAUCUCUCCUACUUCAUUUUCAAUUUCUAGUUAGCAAUCCGCCCUAUUUAAGUCACUUGACUUGUCAUGGCAGUCGCGAUUUCGUAUCAACUGACGUACAACGACCAGCCUAUGUGAAUAGAUUACGUAUUAAAUAUUAGAAGAGCACACCUGCUCCACACACGUUAGUGGGAGAGAUAGCUAACCCAACUCAAAGUAAAAAUUUGGGCGCAGCGCUGAGGGUUGGGGAAUUAAUGCUUGGACUCGAACCAAUUCCAUUGGUAAAUUUCCACGGUAUUUGUAAGGGAGAUAUUUAGCCCUGCCAAAAUAACUUUACUAUAUUGCACAGCAAACUUUCUACCCCAUUAGUAAAAGAAGCUGCCACUCUUGAAAAUUUUGUCUCACUUCUCCAUGACCUCGAAAUAAAUAACUUCGUAGUCCAUAAUGACUGAUUUAAUCAAGCACAGCAAAGUGCUGAGAGCUGAGUGUUUAUACAUAAUUAUCUUUGAUUUUGUGUCUUUCAUUAAAUUAUUUACACAGAGUGUUUAGAAAAUUUUGAUUCUUUAUUAUUCAAUAUAUUUACAUGGGAUACUUAAAUAUCAUACUAUUAAGUAGAAAAAGAAUCUAUACAAGAUUAAUUUUAUUUGGGCUUAAUUGUUAUAUCUAUGAGAUGACUUAGAUUGAUUUCGAGUUGUCACUCUAAAAUUGGGGAUUAAUUAAUAAUCAGGCAAUUACUAAUUGAAUAGUGAUAGAUUCUGAAACCUUGGUAAUUUUUAUCUUUUUGAAUUCUCAUUUGCUUUAAUUGUUUUCUUAAUUUAAUUAGUUUUAUUUCUCUUAAAAAACUCAAUUUACUCAACUAGGUUAGAGUUAAUAUUAAUUUUAGAUUUAAAUUCGACUUUUCAGUUUAUAACAAUCCAUGUGGGUUCGACCUCGUUACCACUACUCUAUUUUUAAAUUUGUGCGCUUGCGAGUAAAUUAAAAUUUUUCACGAGCACUUGAUUUGUUACCCGUGUAUAGAACUAAAAUUAGCUUAACAAUGGCAUGUGACAUCAGUUCCUCCUUUUAUUUUGAUUGUCAUUGCUCAAAUUGUCAUUAUAAAUUGCCCCGGAAUUUUUACAAGUAUGGCCUCUUUAACUCCUCACAUAUUGAGAGCAGAAUGUAUGUGCCUCAUUUUUGGUCUAAUGUGCCUGAAUCUUGAACAGAGAAUAGAGGUUGAAUGGAUAUUUUGGCUACGUGGGUAUUUUCUGGAACAUGGGACUUUAUUAAUGCAGGAGAACAGUGUGCUGAUGCUUUUCAAAGAUAAAUUCAGUUUCCGCGUACAUUCGACAUUCCAAGGUGAAUGUCCCUUUUCCUUCACAAACUUGUGAAGCUUUCAAACAAUCAAUUUUUCUUACAUUGUAUAUUUGGAAGAAUUAGAACAAGGGAGCAAAAGAUUCUCAUGCUGAUAGUUCCCAUUCUCCAUAAUUGAUUGUAGCGCAUGUUUUAAAGCAUAUCUAGCAUUAAUGAAUGAAGUAGAAAUUUCAGGAAGCCAAGAAACUUUGUGUGCACUGAUUGCCUCUAGAUUGUAAAUUCAAUUGAUCUCGUCUUGGUUGAAGUAGAUGAUAGUAAAUAGUAUCUGAGUUUCAUUUCAGAUUCCAAAAACAAUCCUCCAUGUGAAUGGUUAAGUAGAGAUUCACGUUGCUUUCUUUUUCUUUAGAAGAAUGGCUGACCCUUUGAUCAUGAAAUUAUAUCACGGCUAUCACAAAAACUCGAGUAAUUAUAUUCAUAUAAUCAAAAUAGAGUUGAGAUCGAGCUCCUUCAUUUUAACUGAUUUAUUAUGAUGCAUAACCACAAAUGAUGAGAUGGUGUUGGAUAUGAUAAUGGGAAUUAGUUGUCAACGAGAAAAUUAAUUUCGCAAGAAUACAGUUAGUCGCAGAACUCUCCUAGUCCUUGGAAGUAAUUUAAUGGACAGGUGCAUCAAUUUGUUUGUGUAGCUUACUGUAUGGUUAGAGAGUGUUGUGUUUUCAAAAGAAUUCAAGUGCGUUACAAAACGGUGCCAUCAAACAAGUUUUUCAUUUUUUUUCUUUUUAAAAAACCAAAAGACACCAUGAUUAUAUAGUUUCUCAUUUCUUCUUAUUUUUAGCAGUAACGCAACAAUAAAUAUUGAUUAAGCAAAUUAGUUUUCGGGAAUACUUGAAGGAUACAUUACACAAGAUAUAAAGAGGAGAUUAAACAAUCCUCCAUGCUUGCUUAGUUAAAGAUUAUAUGCCCGAUAAAAAGAGAGCAUCUGUAGUCAACAUAAAUUGUAUCUUGCUUAUUUUGAAUUCAACAUAAAUUGUAUAUUUGGAUGGACUAGAAACUGUGGUUCAGAAAUUCAAGCAGGAACGGUCAAAUUUGGACACCCUAAAGAAGCUGGGAGCAUCCGUUCUCCAUGGGGUUGAUGUAACUGAAAUGAAGGAACAUCCUGAAUUGAGCAAGCGGAAGUUUGAUAGAAUAAUCUUCAACUUCCUCGGCCCAUGCUGGCUUUUAUGGAAAGGAAGACGACGAUGAAGUUAUUCGGUGAACUGCCUCAUGGAUAUGUGUCAAUAUAGUGAGUUAAAAUGUUUGUAUAUAAUACGAGGGAGCUUGAUAAAUAAAGUGAUCCAUAUUUCUUAAUAAUUCGAGAUGCAUGUAGUGUUCAGGAGUUUGCUGGGAUAUUUCCACUUCACCAUUCUUAAAAAGUUGGCUCCUACACCUGUUCCAUGAUCUUUCUUCCGGUAAUUAUCACAGAAUGCAUAUGAGCCUUGUGGAAGGAUUCUUCAGAAAUGCAAGUAGUAUGCUAAGGACUGAUAGUGAAGUUCAUGUAAGCCACAAAACAACAGCUCCAUUUGUCAAAUGGCGUAUCAAGGAACUCGAUAGCAAACACUCUUUUGGCAAGACUUCACUGUGUCCAAUUUGGAAAAAAUAGACGUCCCAGGUCACAACAACAAGAAAGGAGCUGGUUCGCAAUGCGAUGACCAUUUUCCCUUGAGAAAGUGCAGUACGUUCAAAUUUGGAUUCUAUCGUGUUCGCAAGAGGUCUAAAGUAAUGAGUUAUAGAGGAUUUGCUAUCAAAAGACCUAAGGCUAUUCAAGAGAUUCCAAUCCAAGCGCAGAAGCGUGAAACGGAUCCAUUUGACUGGAGAUAUACUAAUGCAAGGUCAGCUACUGAUGUGAAUGAAUUUACAUUGUGUGUGAAGUUUGAUGAUAGCUGGGUGGGUUACUCUGUUCCAAGCUUCGCCAGAAAUAUGACUGAUCGUCCAGGAUAUAAGAGACAAGCUUUGAUGAGUAAUGCUACGUCCCAUAAUGGCUGCUUUAAUACUCCCAACACGACGCUUAGAACAGUUGCUGACGACGUGCGCUAUGUUGUUCCCGAAUCACCAAUUCCAUAUGAAAGAUAUAACACGGAAGUACCAGGAUUUCAAAGAUAAAAUACUAGGAGUUAUGAUAAAGCAGUGCGACCAGGAAGAACCUUAAACGGAUUUUUGUAUUCUAUGGAGGGACGUGACUGUGAGGGAACUUUGAGACCAGCACAGCCGCCAAGGAUGAGGUUAGGAUUUAGACACCAGCUGCUUUAAGGGAGAACGUGGUGCUAUUAUGCUUUCGUGGAAGAUUGAGCGACUUUUUGUCGUUAGUCGUGAAUUCUAGCUAGUUAAGCAUAUAUAGGUAUCGUAGUGCUGGUAAAAAGUUUUGAUUUGCUUUCAUUUGUGUUUGUUUUAACAAUUAAGAAUUUCAGCAAUCUGUUAGUGUGUUGCAUGGUGUUGUCAAUCUCCCAUUUGCAAAGAACUCGAUCUGUUUCCUGUUGAUAGAACUAAAUUUAGCUUAACCAAGAUCGAUGAACUCAUCAAUGCAUUCACCGCAAGGAAGAUACUCCUCCAUCGGUCAAUUAAGACAUGCAAAUUAUGGUAAUGCUAAAAUUAAUAUACUUUAAUCAGUGUUAAUAUGUAAUAUAUGCUUACGUGAGUAGUUGCUGCUGUGAGUUAGUGUAAUCUUUGUAUAUCUAAGACAGUAAUUUUAGAAUUGUUGUAAUUCUAUUGUCAUCAUAUCGUCAUCAGGUUUUAAUUUAAAAAAAAAAAAUUGUGUCCCAAUGUGAUUACCACUGCUGUAUGUUAAUUUAUGCGGAAUGAUGCAUGCUUUAAUUAUGUUUGAGUUUUCAAAUUUUUUUAAUCAAACAUAUGCAGUUGAUAAGAAUUGUCCUUAGUUUUAGAUUCGAUACACUAGCAAUCAUCAAGUAAUUGAUUAUCAAAUAUAAUUUGGAAGUAGGAUCCAGUACAAUUGAUAAAUUGCCCAAUCCCAAACACGUGCAAAGAGUUGUUUGUUUUUUGUCUGAAGUCUAAAUUUUACUUAUUUUCAGAUAUUUAUAGUUUUUAAUUUAUUUGUUUUCUAUCACUUAUGUCUGGUUAUAAGAUGUUUACACUAAAUAAAAAAAAAAUUGAAUAUUUUAACUUUUAUCUAAAUGGCAAAAUAUCUUAAUAUAACUUUAAUAUUCUCUAAUUAUUACCCCUUUUAAAUAAAUUUAUUUCCUAUUAUACAAAUUAUUCUUUUAUUUUUGUAAUUUAUCCUUUUUUUUGUUAUAUGUGCGUAUUCAACUUUUUUUUUGAAUGAGAAUUUUAAAAUAAUAAAUUUUUUAGGUGAGUGCGUUUUAUAACAGGUCCAUCUUUUUAAUUUAUAUUUACUAUUCUUAUAAUGGAUUUUGAAUUUUGUUUAAUACAUUAAUUUUAAUUCAAAUUAUUAAACAAUUCUUAAUUGACUUUUGUAAUUAAUAAGAAUAUCAACCUAAUAUACCAAAAAGAACAUUAUAAGUAUCAUAUAUUAAUGUAAAAAAAUACAUAUGUUAUAUAUUUUCUUGCUUUGUUAAGGUAAACAUUAUCAACCUUUUCUUUUUACUAAUUAAAUAAUUUAUCUAUAACUUGUCAUGUGUUUAACCAGUAAAAUUUAAGUAUUGUUAAUAUUUAUAAGUUAUAUAUGUCAAAAUAUCAUAUUUCAGAUGUUUUAAUUUUGAAAAAUAAACAACUUAACGCUUAUAUUUAGAUAUUGAAAAAAGAAAAAUAAACAUGUUAUUCAGAUAUAUGUAUUUAAACCUAAUUAAAUUUUUGUUAAAUUCAAACCCAUUCAGAUUUCAGACAAAAAAAAAAAAAAACACGCUAUCUAAGUCCUAUAAAUAAAUAAAAAUACAUAAAUUAUGUGAUUUUAAAGGGUUCAUUUCAGUUACAAGACAAAAGUUUGCUUUCAAAUUAUAGUUUAAGAUAUGUGUAAUUUUAUUUAAUAAUUGACUUUAAAAAAAUAAUUGUGCCUCAAUUUUAAGCUUUUAAAAAAUUAUUAAUUGUGAUAUAUCUCAAAUUAAUAUAUUAAUUAAUUUAUUAUAAGGGUAUAAUAGUAAUUAAAAAUUAAAAAUAAAUUUACCGUUAAAACAAACAGUGUUUGUUAACGAAAAUAGGGUUAUAAGUCCUUUUUGAAACGUUGAGGAGUUUUUUAUCUCUUUUCCUAAACGUUGGGGGGUUGAAUGUCCUUUUCCCUAAAAUAAAAGCAAUCAACUUGCAAAUUGAAAAUUCUGCAUUCCUAAACCAAUGUCCAAACAGGGGUAAACAUGUCUGCAAACAUAAACAAUAAUCAAACACUGUCUGCAAAAGCAUCUAUCUGCGUUGUAAAUUAGACCUGCUGGCGUGAUAUGGCGGAGGCUGCGGUGAACUUUGCUAUAGAGACCUUGGGUCCUUUGCUUGUCGAAGAAAUCAGAUUGUGGGGAGGUGUUAGAAAAGAAGUUCAAAGCAUCAAAAGCGAACUGGAGAGUCUCAGAUCUUUCCUCAAAGAAGCGGAUGCAAGGGCAGCAGUCGAAGAAUU